RNAcentral lists this long non-coding RNA (129761 nucleotides) under Vitis vinifera (wine grape). Its description in RNAcentral is "long non-coding RNA (VVIN_LNC007105)". Lineage: Eukaryota; Viridiplantae; Streptophyta; Magnoliopsida; Vitales; Vitaceae. The record is from RNAcentral.
CAUAGAUAAUUCCUCCUACGUACCACAUCGAUUGAUUUGGAGAACCCCCCCCAUUGACCACAAUUCCAUGAAUUUCAUUACAAAAACUCCGCAAUCGUGCCUACGUCAAUAUAAUUACCAAAACGUUAUUAAGUGUGGAAUUAUAAAUAAGAGAUGAACUUCAAAUAAAUUACAAUCCUAUACAAUAUCCCGGACUGCAAGGUCAACACUCACUCAUUAGUUUGGAGGGGUACAUCAGGUGUUAUGAAAUUGAAUGUCCUCAAAUCAUAAGGUGAUACCUCUUUUUUGUGGGCAGCCAACCACAGGACAACCUUGGCCUGAAACAUUUAUUAACGCAACAAUUGAAAUUUUUAUGGGAAGACAUACCUAACAAAUUAUUACUUGUUGCUUGUUACUUUACCAGAUUUUGUUGAACUCCACUCAACAUUGUCUUCUUUCUACCAGGACGAGAAUCUAGCAGUUGGAUUCUCCUGUUUUCUAGGUCAUAUACAUACAAUGUCCAAUGGUUCUUUAUGAGAACCGGUAAGAAGACCUACACCAAUAGACUGCCAUUAAACAUACAUCUAAAUAUUGUACAUUCAUGCAAUAAAAAUACAAAUCCAAGCAUUAAACAUAGGAAUCCACCUCGUUAACAUUGACAUAUGGAAUAUCAAUCUGAUACAGAUGUGGUUCAAAGCGUCCAAUAACUGCCUCCCUCACUAAGUGUUUUGCCUGGGAGUGGAUUACCAUUUCCUGCAUGUCAAAUACGGGAUAAUAUCAGGUUUGUCAUUGUAGGUGAUGCCUGGUUCAAGACAAAAAAUAAAGAUAAGCAAGGAUUUAAUGGAUUAGUCAUCAUUACAGCUAUGUAGGGGGAUAGAAAAAGUUUCGACUUCGGUUCAUGUUGAUACUGCAACAAUCUACAGUAGGCAUCGACGACCUGAUUUCGUAUAUCAUAAAAGUGUAAGCAACAAAUUAUAUUAGAACGACACUUUCAUUUUCAAACUUAAAAUAAUACAUAAAGAGGGAUAAGAAAUGAUAUGCACGUCGUUUCCUAUCCACCCAUUCCCUUCGAAGCAGCCCAAAUUGCCUCUGGUUAGGAUAGUGUCAUGCAUAGACACUAGUUCCUCACUGUUACAAAAAAAUACAAUUUAGUUUUUAUGUUUUCACUAUCAUACAAUGAGAGGAGUGUCACUCAAGUAUGUUACCUUGCAUCCAAAUCGUCUCCAAAUACCAGUGCAGCUCCUUGUUUUAGGUCAAUUUUGAUGGCAGAUUGUUUCGUUUGUGGUUGGGAUAUGUAUGGGGACAACAGGUUUGGAGCCAUUCGACGCACUCGACGUCUCCGGACGUUUCUAUUUGUGGGGACAACAUUACCUUCUGGUUGUUCUUCACCAUCUGCAAUACGAGAUUUAGAACUAGUCAGCAAAGGUAUACAUUAUGAUUGGGUACUUGGGUUGUUAACCAUAUGGGUGUUUGCAUAAAUUUUAUCACUUACUGCUUACUACAUUAAUGGGUACACUGGGCUGCAACUCAUACUCAGGGGCGACAACGCGAUCUGGUGUGUCUAGCACAUGGUAUGCAGCAUGCGAAGCCAUGUACUCAUCACCAGGAAAUGCAUGGUCAUCGGCUGUGGGAGUGCUGGCUGGUGCAUAGCUAGAGUGACCACCCGCAUCUGAAUUUACCCCACUAUGUCUGCGAGUCCCUAACUUAUGCAUAAGGCCACGCAUUAUUCUCAGCUGCUGCUGAAUGCCCCUUUGAUAUUGGUCGAUUGCUCGUUCUGCAUCAUGAUAUUGAUGCCAUAUUUCCUAUGACAUGAUAUUGAUAUCAAUCUUUGAGAACAGAAUGUAACAACAACAUAUUUCUUUGUAGUUAAGAAGUAAAAAUAAAUUACAAUGACAAUGAAGUGAACAUUUAUUAAGUUUUUGAAAAAUUCACAGCUUACAUCACUAUUUUCAGCAUCAACAUUUGUGUCAUGGUCCACAUUAGUCUCUGGCUCCAUAGUUCUCUCUACGGUUGGAGAUCUCUGGGACGCCUAUAAUUAGCACUGAAGAUUAGUACUUAAAUAAUGAGUGUUAUGCUAGUAAUGACAAUAUAUUUAUGCAUGCAUAACUUACAAAAUCAAUCUCAGCAUGUCCGAAUGCUCCAAACUCCUUUAUCUCAGCGACUAGUCGUCGCUUAAUCAAAUCGUCAGUCCAUGCCAGUGCUGGGGGCACUGUAAAGGGGACUUGGACUGAAGGAAUUUUGAAUUUAAUGACAUAAUGCAGCUGCAAAAUAAAUAGAAACAUCAGUAGGCAAAUGUGAAUAUGUUGUGCAAUAAAAUUAGAUAACAAAAUGGAAGACAAAGACUGAAUAAGUUCACUACCUGAAGAAAUAAAACGCAGCCAUGUACCCAAGAGGUCUUAGAUUGUUGGUAUCGCCUAAUUCCCUCAACUAGUUGGUCAAGCACAAACUGGGCCCAAUUAACAUCAUUUCGGAAUCCAUCCUCAUGGAUGGUAUGCCACAAGUUACGGCAACCAUUGAGCCUAGACGUGGGGGCCAACAAUGUGGCACAUGCGUAGUAAAUGAAUGCUCUACGGAACUCCUCGCCUACAGGUAAGUCUAGGAGUUUCUCCUCGCAUGCCCGAAUAGUCCCAAAUGGAUGAUCUGAUGAUGUGGAGGUCACCUGCAAAUUCCGUCCUUCUGUUGGGAGGCCUAAAAUGAGGCCAACAUCGGUGGCUGUAACAGGAUAGUGUUUCUGGGCUGAGAACUCUAUCCGUCUAAAUCCAACAUUGAAAUGUUGGAUUAGAAAGAUACAGAGGUUGUGGCGCACCUCUGUGCAGUUUAAGUUUAAGAGACCUCCAAAUUGGAGGUCUCUUAUGGCUUGAAUUUUUGCCUCUGGUAAUCGGUUGCACAGUUUCUUAAAUCUUGCAGCUGAGCAUCGUGUAAACAUUGAUGUGCCCUGCAUGCAAUGUUUGAAAACAUGGACAUGUUAGGAAUAGCAACAUUCUUGCAGUUGGUAAUGCAAUAAAAUAAGUGAAAAAGUAAAGCUGUCAUUUCUCAAAGUUACAAAGAUUUGUCUGCUUGUAUUUAGAAAUAUACAGCAGGGUAAGACAUUAGAUGGGGUUGGGUGCUACUAACAGUGAGAUAUCCUGUAAGAGGGAGGAUUGAAAAUUUAUGAAUAAGGCUAUAUAGAAUAGGCAAUAACAGUCAAAAUGUACAGAAUAGACUAUAAAAGAAAAAAAUAAAUAUGAGAAUACUACAUGAUAUAUAAAAGAAAGAAAUCAAAUCAAUUUAUGGAAAUAAAUUGACUAAUUAUAUUAGAGAAAGAAACCAUCAACAAAUCAAUGAAUAAUCCUAUUUAACCUGCUCCUUUUGAUACUUCUGACAUACACAAAAUCUAGAGGAACUGCUAGAGCAAGCACUUUGCUACUGCCAUUGAACAUGGACAAGGUUUGGAAUCCAAGUUUCUGUUGAGAGUAUUCCCACAUGGUACUAACUAUCAGUGAAGAAUUGUACACUAUCAUUUGAUACCACAAAUCAUGUGUUUGACCAAAGUUCAUUCAUACCUAAGUUGUUAGCUGAGUGAGGAUUCAUGGGAAAAUAAAUGUAACCUAGGACUAUUAAUCUAAACUUGUGAAAGUUUUGAGGCUUGAAUCUGAUUCAAUGGCCAUAAUAAUCUAAAAUUUGCAGAAAAGAGGAAGUGGGCAUUUAAAAUAAGGUAAUGAUACACUAUGAAAUGCUACUACAUACUUUUUUGUAGAAUAGUAAACAAAGAGUAUGUUUACGCUUGAAAACAAGAAUAAAUAAGAUGAAUCCAUGAGUGUUGGAGAAUUAAAUGAAUGAAGAGGAGUUUGGAAACCAUACUUUAUGUUGGAGAAUAAAAGUUAUGUGCUAUGACUUUAUGUUUUUUUUUUCUGUUAACUUAUAGAAGUAUUUUCAUUGUUGUAAGGAUUCUGCAAGAAGAUAUACAUGAGCAAUUUUAAAUGUCUGUACUGCUCCUGGCAAAAGCCACAUUGGGUACAAGUUUGCCACAUCAGUUUGCUUGGUCAGUGCGUGAAUCACCGUAAAUGAAUUUAUGUAACUGGUUCAAAAUACUGGUAUAUGAAGUGUCUAGAGAGCUAUGCACCUUGCUUAAGUCAAUUGUUUGAAUCUUAGAGACAAAAAAUAAUACAGAAUUUGCCACCCGAAAAUAAGGUAUGUCCAGAGUCCAAGGCACUGAGAAAUUGGCAAGGCAUGGCUCUCCACCUUCAUAUUUAAAUCACUUAGAAAGUGAAGCAAAAAGAAGCCUAAUGUCUCAAUACCAUUGAGGUCCCCAUAAAUAAUUGUGAUCAUUUAACCCUGGAGACCUGGCUAAAGUGGCUACAGAGGUAAGGGUUACCUAUAACUCAAGUGGCUAAAGAGUUAAUCCCAUCCCCAUCACCAUUCCUACCAGAACACCUCUCUUUAUCCCUUCCUCUACCCUCCUCCCUCAUCCUAGAGGACAUGGUUUUUGCCUAUCCCCACAGCUGUAUAACGAAGACCAUUAGAUCCCUAAAGCAUAAUUGUAUAUGGUGUUAGUGAACCACAUUUUCUAUAUUACCAAAUUGAACACAAAUAUUACCCGACAACUUACAAAGCUGAUAUAAUAGUAUUUAAUAAAUAAACGUUGAAUUGUUAAAACUUCAAUAUUAGAGAACUUUCCAACAUAACUGAUACAUGGUAACUAUAAUAAGGGACAUGAAGAAAUCACUUAAAUUUCAUGCAUAAUAUAUAUAUAUACUAACUUAAAAGGUAUCUGAAAAUGAAAAUUUCAUAAAAGGAUUUCAGAUUAUAUAUAAACAAGGGAGUAAUUUGUUCACACCAAUUCAAAUAUGUAAAAUAUCAUAAAAUGAAAUUUCACCCAUUUUGAGACCAACAUGCAUUCUGAUUUAUGUUCUGACAAUACAUUAAAAUUGCAUGACUAUAGAUUAUAAGUUCUUGUGGCACUGUACUACAGAAGCGAAAACCUCUCAAAUAGUAUGUUGGCAACGGAAGAAUGCAAAAAACAACAAAGAUAAGCAAGUAUGAUGAACCAUACCGAGAGUGGGAGUGAACUGGCAGCAGAACCAUCUAAGCCAUUACCAACCAUUGUUAAUAUUAGAACUGCAUCAUUGGGCAUAGAAAAGUAGAAUGUAAUGCACAGAUAAACUGACCAACUGAAUAACUAGACAGCAAGUAUAGUACAAUACUAUGAAAGUUCAGCUAAGUGAUAAGAAAAAUGCACGCAUCCAAUGAUGUGAGUAGGACAUACUUAAAAUAGGGAAGUGAAAGUAUACAUCAAGUUAAAGGAUACCACAUUGAAAGUGCAAUUUCAAAUUAAAUCAGUAAUGAAAGCAACUCCAAAUCAUGAAAAUUAAAAAGUAGUCUUAUAAAAAAUAAAAUCAAAAGGUAGUGCAUCGUGUCUAUAAUAAGGACAAUACAUAACAUCCAAAAGCAACAACCUUAUGACCAUAAAGCAAAUAAUGGAACAAUGAGGGAUCGUACACAAAAUGAAAACCUUACAAGCAAAGAAAUGAACAUGUCACGGCAAUGGAUUAUUACAUUUAGACCGAUUGUGACCUAUGCCAUUGCAUCGAGAGCAAUGAAUAGCUCUCUUAUGGCUAAAUUGUGACUCAAUACGCCUUUGUCGGGGUCUUCCUGGAGGACGUCUCACUUGCGGGGGUUGGAGACUAGGAAAUACGUUGCCUUGCCCAUCUUGCAAAGUCCCAACCUCACAAACUUUAGGCAUGUUGUGUGUUGGUAAUGGUUGAAACUGACCCGAGUAAAUCAACUGUUGGGUGGAGACUUUAAAACAUGGGUCGAUAUAGUCAUACACAUCGUGUCUCAAUGUACGGAUCACAGCACAUACAUGUGGACAUGGCAACCGGACAUUUGCCAUGUUAGACAUGUACACUUAUGUUGCUGCAUAUCCACAACCAAAUAAACUUCUCUAGUAAAAACCUUGAACGUCCCACCCAAAUAAGGCAUCACAGUAAUCGGAGCAGAUCUCGUGAUAUUUGACAUUAGGUUUUCCUCUGUUUUGGGUCCAACCACGCUCUUCCACUUAUCUGUACCACGCAUAUGGGUGUCCAACAUGGCUACAAGCUUAUCCAUGUGCAUCAUCAGCAACGUAUAAAUUGUUUGGUGGCGUUCCUCUCUUAACCACGCAUUAAAGGACUCUGCAAUAUUAGUUGUCAUUUUAUCCCAACGUUUUUUAAGGAACUUUGACAUCGCCCAAUGCUCCAGACUAUUCUCCACAACCCACCUUGCUAGGUCGCCAUUAAAACACACAAGUUUUUCAAACGCCUCAUUGUAGUCUAUAUCCAACCGAGCAUAUGCAAUGUUGUCUAAAAGCAACAAAGCAUCUUCUUUCCCUUUCUUUCCCCUAAUGUUUUGCCUGUUGAAGAAGCUUGAAAAGUUCUCUUUCACAUGUCGAUAACAAUAGGCGUGAUUUUUUACCUGAUUACUACCAAAAAGUGCUUUUUUGUAGACCUAAUUAUAAUGGUUUUAAGCACCUUUGAGUAGUAAUCAUAUUCAUUUAACCCAAUUAAUUCAUUAAGGUCCUUAGUGAUUGGUUUUAACCUUUUUGUGGCAAGUUGACAUGUUUUUAUCAGCUUAUGAAUCGAUUCAAGCAUGCCAAUUGAUGGAGGAGCUAUUUGGGCGAGUUAAGCAAGGAUUUUGGACGAUUACAGGCUUGAAUUUCAAGUGGAAACACGAGCACAAGCAAUGGAGAAGAGGAAAACAGAGUGAAGAAAACAGAAUGAAGAAACACCUUGCGAAAAUUUCGCAAGGUAGAUUUAGGCACAUUGCGAAAUUCCUUUGAAUCUCCUGUUUUGAGACGUUGUUGAUGUUAUUCCACUACCGGUUCUCCAAGAUAUUUUGCUUGAUUUUUAGCUUUGUAAAUACCUAUUUUACCCUUGUAAUCAACCAAUGAAUAGGUUGCUUUUGUAAUAGCUCUUGUAAUUUAGCUUGUUAUUGUCUUUAAAUAGAGGUGAAGAGCCUCAGACAAUCAUCAUCUAAUCUUGUAACCUGUAACUUUAUAAGUUAUAAGAUCACUUUUGUUCAUACGUUUCUUUUCUCUUUUCUUUCUCAUUUUCUUAGUAGCCAAACAUCNNNNNNNNNNNNNNNNNNNNNNNNNNNNNNNNNNNNNNNNNNNNNNNNNNNNNNNNNNNNNNNNNNNNNNNNNNNNNNNNNNNNNNNNNNNNNNNNNNNNNNNNNNNNNNNNNNNNNNNNNNNNNNNNNNNNNNNNNNNNNNNNNNNNNNNNNNNNNNNNNNNNNNNNNNNNNNNNNNNNNNNNNNNNNNNNNNNNNNNNNNNNNNNNNNNNNNNNNNNNNNNNNNNNNNNNNNNNNNNNNNNNNNNNNNNNNNNNNNNNNNNNNNNUCCCAAAAUCUCCAUUUUUACACAGUGAGUUAAGCAUGGCUAUCCAAAGCUUUGAGAAACUUCUUUUUCCAUCUUUUAACCUAUUUUCAUGUUAGUUUAGUUUACAACACCUUCAUCUUUUUAUGUUUUCAUCUUAACCUACUUUUUAUUAAGAAAAGUUCACUCCAUCCUCCGAACUUCACCAGUUAAAGUAAAAACCCUUCCCAGUGUUCGAUCCUAGAGCCACUAUGCUAUAGUAGCUUUGCUACUUUAGUGUAAGGACCUUAGGUAUAAAUUUUGUUGAUACCCUUACAUGCCAAGCUACCAAGAGUCGGGUUAUCAAAUGGCGCCGCUGCCGGGGAGGGUGCUACUUCACUGUGAAUAAAUCAGCCGGAGGUAACUUGUGAGACUUCUCAUGAGUAAGGUGAAUUCUAUCUCAUUUUUCAUUUACUAACUUUUUAUUUUAGUUUUAGAACAUUUUUAACUUAGUUUAGAUAAGUUUCUUUUAGCUUUUAACUUUCAUUUUUAGUUUAUUUUUCAUACUCUGUUUUUCCUUCCGCAUGCUCUGUUUUUUUCUUCUUUUUCUUUGUUUUGUUUAUUUGUUUUGUUCCAGCUGAAUCCGUGCAUGCCCUAUUGGAUUAGAGACCAAGAGGGAAGGUUAGUGUGGAUAGAGACUCCACGAGCUACUGAAUUAGAAAUUAUUUUGGAAGUCAUGGAGAAUCAGCCAGAGGAUCAACAUUCACAACACGGGCAGGGGAAUGAUCCGAACUUGUAUAGGUCCAUGAGGGACAGGAUGCACCCUCCGAGGAUGAGUGCACCAUCUUGCAUCAUUCCUCCUACAGAGCAAUUGAUUAUCAGGCCACACAUCGUGCCUCUGCUUCCUACUUUCCAUGGGAUGGAAAGUGAAAAUCCAUAUGCGCACAUAAAGGAGUUCGAAGAUGUGUGCAAUACUUUUCAAGAAGGAGGAACAGCUAUUGAGCUUAUGAGGUUGAAGCUCUUUCCAUUCACAUUAAAGGACAAGGCCAAGAUAUGGCUCAAUUCCUUGAGGCCGAGAAGCAUAAGAACAUGGACAGAACUUCAAGCUGAUUUUUUGAAGAAGUUUUUCCCUACUCACAGAACAAAUGGAUUGAAGAGACAAAUCUCCAACUUCUCAGCACGUGAGAAUGAAAAAUUUUAUGAAUGCUGGGAGAGGUAUAUGGAGGCCAUCAAUGCAUGUCCUCACCACGGCUUUGAUACAUGGCUUUUGGUGAGCUAUUUUUAUGAUGGCAUGUCAUCUUCAAUGAAGCAGAUAUUGGAGACAAUGUGUGGGGGCGAUUUCAUGAGCAAGAACCCUGAGGAGGCUAUGGAUUUCCUAAGUUAUGUCUCAGAGGUUUCCCGUGGAUGGGAUGAGCCCACUAACAGAGAAAUGGGGAAGAGGCCAGUUCAGCAAAUGUCAAGAGUCGGGUUAUCAAAUGAUGGAGGUUCCACCGAGAUGUACAGUCUGAGUGAAGACAUGGAGAUGAAAGCCAAGGUAGCUGCCAUGGCUAGAAAAAUAGAGGAAAUGGAGUUGAGAAAAGUUCACGAAGUCCAAGCUAUUUCAGAACCUCAACAACCAGCCAAUCCUUGCUCCAUAUGUCAGUCAUUUGAACAUAUGGUGGAAGAAUGUCCCACCAUUCCGGCAGCAAGAGAAAUGUUUGGGGAACAAGCUAACCUGAUUGGCCAAUGGAAGCCAAAUUCAAAUGCUCCCUAUGGCAACACGUACAACUCUAACUGGAGGAAUCACCCAAACUUUGCAUGGAAGCCAAGGCCAAACUCAUAUCAGUCACCAGCCCAAUCAAGCCAACAGAGUCAAGGUCAAUCCUCAGUUGAGCAAGCACUCAUAAGCCUUAGCAAGGUUAUGGGUGACUUUGUGAGUGAGCAAAAAUCCAUCAACUCUCAACUAAAUCAAAAGAUUGACAACGUAGAGAGUACAUUGAACAAGAAGAUAGAUGGGAUGCAUAAUGAGUUGUCUCAGAAAAUUGAUAACAUCCAAUAUUCCAUCUCAAGGCUCACAAAUUUGAACACUGUCAAUGAGAAAGGGAAGUUUCCCUCUCAGCCUCACCAAAAUCCUAAGGGGAUACAUGAAGUGGAAUCCAAAGACGAGGAUUCUUCAAAGGUGAGAGACGUGCAAGCUAUUAUCACUUUGAGAAGUGGUAAGGAAGUGCAUCAGCCGGAGCAUGAUCAGAGGAAAGCCAAAGAAGACAAGGCUGAUAGAAAUGAAGAAAAGAAGAAUGAACAAAAGGGAAAGGAAGUUCAGAUGAAAGAAAGCAUCAUUCCUAGCAUGGAUGAGGAACCUCAAAUUCUUUUAAAGGAAGGCAUGAUGAAGAAGCACAUGCCUCCUCCAUUUCCUCAAGCCUUGCGUGGGAAGAAACCGAUCAAGAAUGCUUCUGAGAUUCUUGAUGUGCUAAGACAAGUGAAGGUGAAUAUUCCUUUACUUGAUAUGAUCAAGCAAGUACCCACAUAUGCAAAGUUUUUGAAGGACUUGUGCACUGUGAAAAGAGGACUCAAUGUUACAAAGCAAGCCUUCCUAACUGAGCAAGUGAGUGCUAUAAUCCAAUGCAAGUCUCCAAUCAAAUACAAAGAUCCUGGGUGUCCUACAAUCUCAGUCAAUAUUGGAGGAACCCAAGUGGAGAAGGCAUUGCUUGAUUUGGGGGCAAGUGUUAACUUGCUUCCAUACUCUGUAUACAAGGAGCUGGGGUUGGGAGAACUCAAGCCAACAUCGAUCACCCUAUCCUUAGCUGACCGAUCAGUGAAAAUCCCCAGGGGGGUAAUAAAGGAUGUAUUGGUUCAAGUUGACAAAUUCUACUAUCCAGUAGAUUUUGUGGUGCUUGAUACGGAUCCCAUUGUCAAAGGGAUCAACUAUGUUCCAAUCAUCCUUGGAAGACCAUUCCUUGCAACAUCCAAUGCAAUCAUCAAUUGUAGGAAUGGGGUCAUGCAACUCACUUUUGGGAAUAUGACAUUGGAACUCAACAUCUUCCAUCUAUGUCAAAAGCACAUCCAUCCUGAAGAAGAUGAGGGCCCGGAAGAAGUGUGUAUGAUAGAUACCCUGGUGGAGGAGCAUUGUAAUCAGAGUAUCCUUGAUCAGUUUGAAGAGAAUUCAGAUGAAAGCCAUGAAGAUCUUGAUGAUGGGUUAGCUGAACCCAUGGGAAUGAAUGCCAUUAUGUCAAACUGGAGACAAAAGCCAGUGAUCCUCCCUUUGUUCAAGGAUGAGGAAGAGAUGAAAGAAGCUAAGGAUGCAAUCUUUAAGCUUGAAUUGAAGACCCUUCCUGCCGAGUUGAAGUAUGCUUACUUGGAGGAAGGCAAUAAAGCCCCGGUGGUAAUUUCUUCUUCUUUAACCGUUUCACAAGAGGACAAUCUUCUGAGAAUCCUUAGAAAGCAUAAGAAGGCCAUCGGAUGGCAAAUUUCUGAUUUGAAGGGGAUAAGCCCAUUGAUUUGCACGCACCAUAUUUAUAUGGAGGAGGAAGCUAAGCCAACUCGUCAGCCACAGAGGAGAUUGAAUCCUCAUAUGCAAGAGGUAGUAAGGGCUGAAGUGUUGAAGCUUCUUCAAGCGGGCAUCAUUUACCCCAUUUCGGAUAGCACUUGGGUGAGUCCAACCCAAGUUGUUCCAAAGAAGUCCGGGAUAACCGUAGUCAAGGGGGAAAAUGGAGAUGAAGUGUCCACACGCCUCACAACUGGUUGGAGGGUGUGCAUUGACUAUAGGAAGCUGAACGCAGUAACGAGAAAGGAUCACUUCCCUUUACCUUUCAUGGAUCAAGUCCUUGAGAGAGUAUCUGGGCAUCCUUUUUAUUGCUUCUUGGAUGGGUAUUCUGGGUAUUUUCAAAUAGAGAUUGAUGUGGAGGACCAGGAGAAGACUACCUUCACUUGUCCAUUCGGCACCUAUGCUUAUAGGCGGAUGCCUUUUGGAUUAUGCAACACUCCUGCUACCUUCCAAAGAUGCAUGCUUAGCAUCUUCAGUGACAUGGUUGAAUGAAUCAUGGAAGUCUUCAUGGAUGACAUAACUGUGUAUGGGACUUCUUUUGAGGAUUGUUUGUCACAUCUUGAAGAUGUUUUGAAAAGAUGCAUAGAGAAAGACCUCGUACUCAAUUGGGAGAAGUGCCAUUUUAUGGUAAAUCAAGGUAUUGUUCUUGGGCACGUAAUCUCAAAGAAGGGUAUAGAGGUAGAUAGAGCUAAGGUGGAACUAAUUGUGAAGUUGCCACCUCCCACCAAUGUAAAAGGAAUAAGGCAAUUCCUUGGGCAUGUCGGGUUCUAUAGGAGGUUUAUAAAGGAUUUUUCCAAGAUUGCCAAACCUCUUUGUGAGUUAUUGGUGAAGGAUGCCAAGUUUGAGUGGGAUGAUAAAUGUCAAAGGAGUUUUGAGCUUCUUAAGCAAUUCUUGACAUCAGCGCCCAUUGUGAGAGCACCAAAUUGGGAGUUGCCAUUUGAAGUGAUGUGUGACUCAAGUGAUUAUGCUAUUGGGGCUGUUUUGGGACAAAAAGAAGAUGGCAAACCUUAUGUGAUCUACUAUGCAAGCAAGUCUUUGAAUGAUGCUCAAAAGAAUUACACCACCACUGAGAAGGAAUUACUUGUUGUGGUGUAUGCUUUGGAUAAGUUCAGAGCUUAUUUGAUNNNNNNNNNNNNNNNNNNNNNNNNNNNNNNNNNNNNNNNNNNNNNNNNNNNNNNNNNNNNNNNNNNNNNNNNNNNNNNNNNNNNNNNNNNNNNNNNNNNNNNNNNNNNNNNNNNNNNNNNNNNNNNNNNNNNNNNNNNNNNNNNNNNNNNNNNNNNNNNNNNNNNNNNNNNNNNNNNNNNNNNNNNNNNNNNNNNNNNNNNNNNNNNNNNNNNNNNNNNNNNNNNNNNNNNNNNNNNNNNNNNNNNNNNNNNNNNNNNNNNNNNNNNNNNNNNNNNNNNNNNNNNNNNNNNNNNNNNNNNNNNNNNNNNNNNNNNNNNNNNNNNNNNNNNNNNNNNNNNNNNNNNNNUUGGGAUGUCACCAUACCGUCUUGUUUAUGGCAAAGCUUGCCAUCUUCCCGUUGAGAUCGAGUUCAAGGCAUGGUGGGCCAUUAAAAAACUCAACAUGGAUUUAACUAAGGCUGGGCUAAAGAGGAGUUUGGAUUUAAAUGAGCUUGAGGAAUUGAGAAAUGAUGCCUAUCUCAACUCAAAAAUAGCUAAGGAAAAGCUAAAGAGAUGGCAUGAUCAGUUGGUGACCAAGAAAGAAUUUUUCAAGGGACAAAGAGUCUUGCUAUAUGACUCUAAGCUUCACCUAUUUCCGGGAAAGCUCAAAUCAAGGUGGGUAGGGCCUUUUGUCAUCCACCAAGUACACUCACAUGGAGUAAUUGAGUUACUCAACUCAAAUAGUGCAAAGACCUUCAAGGUAAAUGGGCAAAGACUCAAGCCCUACAUCGAGCCAUUUUCCCGUGACAAGGAGGUACUCAUCCUCCAUGACCCAUCACAUCCUUGAGAAAGUGUGGUAAGUUGAUGAGCUUAGCAUGAAAAGCUAAGUGCUCAUCUCUUUUUGUUUUAAUUUUAGUAGUACAUUCUUGUUUACUUUGCAUUUUUAGUACUUUUGCACAUAUUUUGUUUAGGUUUCUUAGUUUUGAUUUUGUUUUUUUUAUGUUUUUAAUGGAGCUUUGAUGUCCAAUAGCAGGUACGAAAGCUCACAAGCUCACAAAUGUGGAGAGAAAGGUGAAAUAAGGGAGAAAUAUAUCUAAGUCCAAGCUUAAAAGCCCAUUUCGCAACUCAAAAAGUGAGUUGCGAAAUGCACAUUUUGGCAAGAUGCAAAAUGCAACCUCUCGGGAUUGCACUUUCGCAAGGAGUAACCAGUGCGAAAAUUUUCGCAAGUCAUUUUUCACCUUGCGAAAUUGUUUUCAAAGCAAAUAUCAAAAUGCAACCUCUCGGGAUUGGUUUUUAAGGGGAGUAGCCAGUGCGAAAAUUUGGCAAGGUGAAUUUUCACCUUGCGAAAUUUCCAGCACUCCGCCAUGCUCUCUCAAAUCCACCAUCACCUGGACAUAUCACCUCCUCCACCUCAGGAGCCACAUCCAUGAUUGGAUAUUUCUAUCUCCAUUUUGUAUAUGUUUUUCUGUAUAUGUACAUGUUUUAUAUUCUGAGAUUGUAUGUACCUCAUGCUUAUAUCUUGUACUCAACUCUCUCAGUUUAUAUAAGCAUCAUUUUUUGUAUCUUAUUUCCUCUCUCACGUUUCUUAUGGUUUUUGAAUCAUGUGGAUGCACUCACACGCUUUGAAUACCACAUCACCAUAAGGUAUAUCAUUCCUUCCUCGUAUUUUUCGAUAGAAACAUUGGGGACAAUGUUCAUCUCGGUUGGGAGGAGAGUUGAGGAAGUAAGUAUUUCCUAUUCUAGUUAGUUAUUUUGUUGAUUUAGUAGUUUUUGCCCUUUUUCAAAAUUUUUUGUUUCAUUCUCUAUGGUUGUUAAAGAUAAUUUCUCAAAAUAAAAUAGGAUAAGUCGAGUUUUAACUUAAUUACUUAAGUCUUAGAGUUUGUUUUAUGCUUUCAAAGUUGAUAAUCUAUUGAAGCCCUCUUUGAUUUCGAACUUAUUUCUUCCAUUUCAAGCUUUACACACACCAUGCACAUUAGAUCCCGGAUUUAUGAUGUAAAACUUUCUCACCCUCUAAGCUUAGGAAAAUUUUGACUUGGUUUAUUACUUAACCUCUUUUUAAUAGUGUUGGGACACCUCAAAAAGACCAAUAAGUCUUAGAAAAAGAAAAAGAGAAAAAGAAAAAGGAAAAGAGAAAAAGAAAAAGAAAAAGAGAAUAAGCUUCUAUUCUUUCCUUGAAACCUAAGCAUGAUCCGAAGGGGUGGCGAAAGCCUUUAAAACCCGAUGCCCUAAACCUUGAUUGGUUGGGAGUCAUCGAUCCUCUGCUUGCUACAUAGGUGAAUUGGUUAAGUUUAGUGAGUAAAAAGAAUUGUGAAUAAGAAGGUGCGUUCCUAACCUAUUAAGAGUUGGUUAAUUUUGCCAAUGUCCGAGAAAAGCUUAGGUUGGGGGGAGAGGAUAGUUGUGCAUACUAUAUCCGGAAGCUAAUCUCAUUAACACUUAGCUCAUUAUGGAAGAGUUUGAUCCGGAACCUUGAGAGUAGAGAUUCUUUUGAUACUUAAUUGCAUAAUCUCCACUCUUUGUACUUUUUGUUUAAGUUUUAGCUUUGACAACUCCUAUUGCAUUUUGAAUCUUCGUAUCUUUAGUUCACCAUGUGAGAUGUGUUUUGAUUUCAGUCAUCCCACUCAAUUAUUUUUUGGAGUGAUUUUCAUGAUCCCUUUUAUGUAUAUUAUUAUAGUUUACUUAGUUUUUAUCUCCUCCAUUGCUAAGGGACUAGCAAUGAGUCGGUUGGGGGGUGUGAUUACUACCAAAAAGUGCUUUUUUGUAGACCUAAUUAUAAUGGUUUUAAGCACCUUUGAGUAGUAAUCAUAUUCAUUUAACCCAAUUAAUUCAUUAAGGUCCUUAGUAAUUGGUUUUAACCUUUUUGUGGCAAGUUGACAUGUUUUUAUCAGCUUAUGAAUCGAUUCAAGCAUGCCAAUUGAUGGAGGAGCUAUUUGGGCGAGUUAAGCAAGGAUUUUGGACGAUUACAGGCUUGAAUUUCAAGUGGAAACACGAGCACAAGCAAUGGAGAAGAGGAAAACAGAGUGAAGAAAACAGAAUGAAGAAACACCUUGCGAAAAUUUCGCAAGGUAGAUUUAGGCACAUUGCGAAAUUCCUUUGAAUCUCCUGUUUUGAGACGUUGUUGAUGUUAUUCCACUACCGGUUCUCCAAGAUAUUUUGCUUGAUUUUUAGCUUUGUAAAUACCUAUUUUACCCUUGUAAUCAACCAAUGAAUAGGUUGCUUUUGUAAUAGCUCUUGUAAUUUAGCUUGUUAUUGUCUUUAAAUAGAGGUGAAGAGCCUCAGACAAUCAUCAUCUAAUCUUGUAACCUGUAACUUUAUAAGUUAUAAGAUCACUUUUGUUCAUACGUUUCUUUUCUCUUUUCUUUCUCAUUUUCUUAGUAGCCAAACAUCCUUGGAGGAUGAAAUCCCCAAGGAUGAGAGGCUAAAACCUUUUAGUUUCUUGAAGUAAUGGAUGCCAUGUGAAGCUCCCGUGUCAGGAUGGAGAUUUCCAAGCCAUGAAUGUAAGUAGUUGAGCGUCAUAAAUGUUUUCAUUCAAAGUAAAGCUUUUAAUCCCUCUAACUUGCUUUGAAUGGCCAAUACUUGAUAACCUUUUGGUCUCAGUGGAUUCUUAUUGUUAGAUCCACUGACGUUCAUUAGUUAUCCCCUACGAGCCAUUGUAUUGCAAGUCGAGGAGAUGACCUAUAUCAUUAAAAGGGCAUUUAUGAGGUUCAGCUACCCUUUUUGUAAGUUUUCAAGGACUAAAACUCAGUUGUUAAACUCAUACCGGUUCGAGAAGUAAGCAUCACCUUAGUUGCUUCCCCAACUCGAGGUGAAAAGUCCCAAAAUCUCCAUUUUUACACAGUGAGUUAAGCAUGGCUAUCCAAAGCUUUGAGAAACUUCUUUUUCCAUCUUUUAACCUAUUUUCAUGUUAGUUUAGUUUACAACACCUUCAUCUUUUUAUGUUUUCAUCUUAACCUACUUUUUAUUAAGAAAAGUUCACUCCAUCCUCCGAACUUCACCAGUUAAAGUAAAAACCCUUCCCAGUGUUCGAUCCUAGAGCCACUAUGCUAUAGUAGCUUUGCUACUUUAGUGAAAGGACCUUAGGUAUAAAUUUUGUUGAUACCCUUACAUGCCAAGCUACCAAGAGUCGGGUUAUCACUACCCCAAACAACUCCGAAACACUACGCAAUAUCCCUUGAUGUCUAUCUGAUAUAAUAAUUACUUCUUGACCAUCUAGGAUCCCCUUCAAUUUCUCCAAGAACCAAUACCAAUCCUCAUAAUUUUCUGAACCAACCACACCCAAGGCUAGAGGGAACAUUCCAUCAUCUGCAUCAUAUGCAAUGGCAGACAAAAGAGCUCCUUUGUAUGGACCACUUAGGUGGCAAGAAUCAAUAGCCAAUAUCGGUCGACACCCCAUGGUGAACCCUUGAAUUGAAAAUGCGUGGGCAAUGAACAAUUGCUUGAAGUGACCUUCAUGAGAAGUGUACUCGGCAAUAGUUCCAGGGUUAAUUUCCCUUAGCCUAUGGCAUAACCAAGGCAAAUACGCGUAGGACGCACGUGGAGAUCCAUAUACACGCUCUUUUGCCUUCUCUUUAAGAUGCCAUGCUUGGUUAUAAGUCAAUUGAACUCCAUGAUCACGUUCAAAAUCCUUGCAAAUUUGUCGAGGAAGGUAUUCUAGAGUUGUUCUAAACACGUCUUCAACAACAACAGCACCUCUCUUGGAAGAAACCCGUACCUUAGAUGAACACUCAUCUUGAGCUAUAUGAUUAUGAUUAACUUGGUAAGUAUAAACUCGCAAUAUUUCAUUUCCUUCAACAGCAUGAGUUGUUAUCUUCCAAGGACAAUCCUCAACCGAACACUUUACUGACAUAUGUGUAGGUGAAUUUUUCUUGUACUUGUAUUGAAACCUUCCAGCUAAUGACAUUUGGUAUAUUGCAUUCCGAAACUCAUCUGCAUUCUUAAAUGUAUGUCCGGAACCUAAUAUUGCCUCACGAAACCGAUUCGAUUCCAAAAGGGUGUACUCAGUAUCUGCACAACGCGAUGCAAAACCUCUUAAUAACAUCAUAGUAUUAGGAUUUGCAUCGCAUGAUGCAUUAGACGAAGGAAACGUAGGAUGUGGACCUCUGCAUUUACAUUCAUAACCAAAAUUAGACUACAUAAUGCGUAAAAUUGAUAUUCAUCACAUUUUAAAUAGACAUCCAAGUGAAAACGCAUUACCCAAGUGCCAACUGUGUAUUCGGUAUAUUUGCCUCUAUGGCUUCCACACCGGGUGACUCGACUAUGUACACAUUUGCAAAGUCAUCACUGUGGGAAACCACGUUAUCCAAGUCAUCCUCAUCUUCUAAAUCUUGGAUGACUCUAGGGUUAAACUUGAGGGUGUAGUGCAUCCUCAUCACAUGAAGGGAAAUGUCGAAUUUUUCUAAGACCUUCUGAGUGAAUUCUUCAAAUGUCAUUCCUUUAUAAAUGUGAAUACCUUUGCUUCUUCCACCAACAUAUUCCCAAAGGCCAUCAUUUUUUUGGACAAGUUUGCCUCCCACGAAAAUAUAACAGUAUAUUCUAUUUGUGGCAUCCAUCAACCUAUUGAAAUAAAGCACAAAUUUAUAUUGUUGAACAAACAAUAAUGCAUAUUCAAUGUGAUCUUAAAAGUUUUUUCAUCUCACAAUAUACUAUGUUCCCAUACAAAAAAGUUAUAUUUUAAAAAAUGUAUAUACAAAAAAAUGUAACUUUAAAGUCUUAAAAAAUAAUUUUUGUUGCUCCUUUUGAUUAUUCUAACCAUUGUCAACGGUAAGAUUAUUUUAAGAUAGGCACUAAUAAACAAACGGUGAGUUGAACUAAGAUAUGAAGACCGAGCUUCUCUCUUCUCUUGNNNNNNNNNNNNNNNNNNNNNNNNNNNNNNNNNNNNNNNNNNNNNNNNNNNNNNNNNNNNNNNNNNNNNNNNNNNNNNNNNNNNNNNNNNNNNNNNNNNNNNNNNNNNNNNNNNNNNNNNNNNNNNNNNNNNNNNNNNNNNNNNNNNNNNNNNNNNNNNNNNNNNNNNNNNNNNNNNNNNNNNNNNNNNNNNNNNNNNNNNNNNNNNNNNNNNNNNNNNNNNNNNNNNNNNNNNNNNNNNNNNNNNNNNNNNNNNNNNNNNNNNNNNNNNNNNNNNNNNNNNNNNNNNNNNNNNNNNNNNNNNNNNNNNNNNNNNNNNNNNNNNNNNNNNNNNNNNNNNNNNNNNNNNNNNNNNNNNNNNNNNNNNNNNNNNNNNNNNNNNNNNNNNNNNNNNNNNNNNNNNNNNNNNNNNNNNNNNNNNNNNNNNNNNNNNNNNNNNNNNNNNNNNNNNNNNNNNNNNNNNNNNNNNNNNNNNNNNNNNNNNNNNNNNNNNNNNNNNNNNNNNNNNNNNNNNNNNNNNNNNNNNNNNNNNNNNNNNNNNNNNNNNNNNNNNNNNNNNNNNNNACACCAAAAACAUUAGAAUUAUGGAACUAUAAGACAUUCAAUAGGAAAUAAUCCCCCACGUUUUAUUAAGCUCUGACCUAUACUUACACUAGGUAGAAAACAAAUUCUCAUUCUCACUCAAACCCUUAGACAAUUUCUGUUGGUACUACUAUAUCAGACAUGCCUACAAACUUAUUCAAAGAGAAUGGAGAUAUUUAAAUAUUAAUUAUAAAGCGUUGCUUUUCAAAAUAAUAUGAAGAGAUAAUAGCCUAAAAAAUGUAACAAAUACAGAAUUCUCUUCUAAACUAUCAUGUCCUACUUUAGAUGAUUCAUACAAAACCAUAAGCAAUAGUUUAACACAUUUAAGGUUUAAGGGUAAAAAAAACUAAUAGAUAAAAAGAGAUAAAUCUGUUACUUGUGCCUACAUCUCAAGCCAAUGCACCAUAAGAAAACUUUAGGGUUUUUAGGUUAUUCAUUUCCCCUUUCCAUUUUUCCUCUCCUGGUUUUCUAGCAACCAAUUAAACAAUUAUAAAUUAUUUUCAAGUAUAUAUGACAAUUUUUCACAAAUAUUUUUUUGAAUUUAAAAUAUACAAAUACCAUGAAAAAAAAUCUAAAAAAAAUUACAAAAAUAUAAUCAGAUCGAUUAAGCCAUGAAUCAUGAGUUGCAGGUAAAGUGCAUUUUCUGUAUUCUCAAGGAUUAAAGAAAAAAUUAUGGUUCAAAAUUUUUCCUUUCUUUUUCUCAUUACUUUCUCAGCAUCCGAAUAAUAGUACCAAACCAAGAUGUCAAUUAUUGAAUGGGAACACUAACUUGAACUCCGGAGAUCAAGUUGAACACAGUUUAGAGAUUUGGACUAAGAAAAUUUAGGUCGAGAUUUAGGCAAUCUACUAACCUCAAAUAUGCAACAAGAGAGACCCAACUGAAAUCCAUACCUUAUUCAAAUUCUCGAGAGAGACGGAUGCGAGAAAAAAUGAAAGAGUCGCAGAGAUUGAGAUGCAAGCGAUGGAGGUGCUCGGGAGGAAGAGAAGAAAACGGCUUCUAGGCUUGAAAUGCUGAAGAGACCAAAAUUUAGGCAAUCUACUAACCUCAAAUAUGCAACAAGAGAUACCCAACUGAAAUCCAUACCUUAUUCAAAUUUUCGAGACAGCCGAAUGUGAGAAAAAAUGAAAGAGCCGCAGAGAUUGAGAUGCAAGCGAUGGAAGUGCUCGAGAGGAAGAGAAGACAACGGCUUCUAGGCUUGAAAUUGCUGAAGAGAGACCAAAAUUAGGGCAAAAUUCCAAAAAGCCACAGAGAUUGAGAUGCAAGCGAUGGAGAAACUCGGGAGGAACAGAAAAAACGGCUUCUAAGCAGAGAAGAAAACGACUUCUAGGUAGAGAAGAAAACGGCUUCUAGGCAAAGAAGAAAUCGGUUUCUAGACAGAGAAGAAAACGACUUCUAGGCAGAGAAGAAAACGACUUCUAGGCAGAGAAGAAAAUGGCUUAUAGGCUUGAAAUGCUGAAGAGAGCAAAAUUAGGGCAAAAUUCCCAAGAGCCGCAGACAAAGAGAAGAAAACGGAGGCUUGAAAUCUGAAGAGACAUAGGGCAAAAUUCCAACCUGGCUUUUUUUGUUUAUUAUAUUUUUUUUUUUCAUAAUCAGCAAAGGUUAUUUUUGGAAUUAAUAAAAGUGCAUAUCCUUCUUUUUAAUUUUGACACUUCCUAUGGGUUUUCAGCUUAAAUGGGUCGGUUAGAUGGACCAUUUCUUAAUUUUUGGGCCCAGCUGGGCCCAAAACACAAUUCUCCCUUCAUCAAUUAGCGUCAAGUCACUCACAUCAAAGCUUCAUUCAGAAUAACCACCUUGAUGGGCCUUAAUGUAAUUAAGGAAUGUGGAAUUGGUCCAGUGUAUGUUAAUGAAGAGAUGAAUUACUCUAUCUUCACUCCUAAUGAGUCAUCUGUUGUCCUUCAAGAAAUCCAUGAGGAGGGACCUAGUGCAAGCGGGUGCUCUAAUAUUGAACUCUGAUUACUAUUCUGCUGAUGAGGGGGAACCCACUGCACCCCUACUGUAAGGAUCACUCUGAAUCAGAGAUGUGGCUAGAGAAACACUUGCAAUGCAGCCAUUAUCAGAGCAUCCCUUGGCGAGGAGGAACCGGGCAGGCAAAUGCUUGAUAUGCACCCAAAUCUUCCGAUAUCAACUAUUGGUGAGUUGUGUGCUUCCUUUGUUUCUUAUCCUGAAACUGACUUUGAGUUAUUUAGCAAAAUACUUUAAUUUCUAAUAUUUUUGAUACAUGCUGGGUGGUUGUUGCUGGUUUUUGCUUUAAAUUUGCCUUGAUACAUGUUGAGUUGUUUAGCAAACUCACUCUUGACCGAUUUUGGUUAUUCUUUCCCACAUGCUAAUGUGAUGUAUCCUUAAGGGCAUAUGUUCUCUUCUAAUGUUAGAACGAAUAUGAUAGAGCUGUUAACAGUUCAUGGUUACUUCGUAAGAAUUGUAAAUUCUUUGGUUGAUUUUUAUACCAUAUUUUGUAGUUUCAUUUUGAUGGAUUCUAAGGUCAUCCAUGACUCAUUUUUCUUCAUUUUGUUUGUAAUGAUGUAUAAGAUACUCGCAGCCAAUGUUUUGAGAAUCGAACUGAACCAUUAUCGGCCAUCUCUCAGGUCCAGUUUACCCUAGGGAACCAUUUUCAUAUUAAACCGAUGUUGAACUGCUCAAGCCGGACUGGUUUGCCCCAGGGAACUGUUUUCAUAUUAAAUCGGUGUUGAACGCUUGAGCCGUGGUUGGAUCGUUGAACCGGAUGGACCAUCCGGCUUCCUAAGAAGCAGUCAAGCCCAAAACUCAGUCAAACUUCCACUUGUUGUAGAAGCCCAAUAGGCGCUACAGCCAAUCAUCUAUUAAAAGCCCAAACCGGUUGAGCCCAAGAGGGUUUAAACGAGCCAAAGCCCAACCCAAUCCGAUGUGGGAUUGAUUCCAGGUGGUAAGGAAAAAAAGUUGUGCAUGCUGCAGGUGGAUUUGAGGUCAGCUUUAAAAUCAAGGGCGAGGCCAUUGAGCUAUUUGCCAUCCAUGUACAAUAGUGCUGUAAAACUAAAUAUAUAGAAAGAUUAAUGGUGUUUUUUUAAAUUAUUUUCAUGUAAAUAUUUACAUGCAUGUCUAUUUUUAUAAUAAUUAUUAUGAAAAUAAUUAAUAUAAUAAUUUUAAAGUAAUAAAAUACAACAACAAGGAGAUAAAAUUAAAUACUAUGAUUUUAUUUUCAUCUUAAACACUUUAUAUUUAAAUAUUAUACAUAUUCUACUUAAUAAGGUUUAAAAUAUUAAUAUAUUUAUAUUUAUCUGUAUAAUUUAAUUUGACCUAUCUAAUAUAAAAUCGAAAUAUUAUUUAAAAAUUUUAAUUAUAUAUUCUAAAAAUUUUAUAAUUAUUACUUCACUAUUUCCAUUGUGGUUCAACUAUUGAUCCGGCAUAAACCAUAAAUCGAUAACUUUCUCAAUCCAAUAAUCAAAUUGGUUUUUAAAGUAUUGCUCGUUUCUUAUUAAGUUGGGUUGUUUCUUCAUUUUAUACCAAGGAUGUUGUCUUUUAUUGUAAACAAUCUAUCACCAAUGGAGAAAGCAUAGAGAAAAGAAGAUUUUCUUUUCAGAAUUGACAUUUGGGUUUUGAUAUUUUAUGUAUUCUCUAACAUUUGAUAUUUUAUGUUUUCUUAGAAUAUAGUAAGAAAUUAUUGAAAAAAAAAAAAAGGAAAAAUCCAGUUAAGAAAACUUCUUAGAAGAAGCCUAAAAUCCAAACAAAGAAGGUUUUCAAGAAAAAUGAUAAAUAAAAAGUUACAAAUACCAUAGGAGAAGGGGUUGAAGGGAAAUCUCUCUUCACUCGUUCCUAGUGUACAAAUGGAAGUAAUUUAUUGCUUUGAUAAGAUUAAGGAAGGGAAGAUAGAAUAAGGCCUCCUCUAUCGAAGGCCCCUUCAGGUAACAAAACCUAAGCUAUCCCUUGUAUAUUUCAUGACAUAAUUUUAAGCAAAGAGGUAUAUUUAGCAAAUAAUCAUUCUCUUCCCCUUACUUUCAUCCUGCUCACUGUCCUAAGAAAAAUUUAGCAUCGUCAACCUUGUACCACGUGUGCUCUCGGGUCCUAUGGCUUUGUAUCUAAUCCCCGUUUGCAAAACGUUCAGAGUGUGAAGCCCAAGGGUCUUAACAAAAAAUCAUGGUAUAAAAUGUGAACCAACCAAAAGACUUUAUCCAAUUCUUGUGGCCAUGCAAAGCCCUUGUCUUUCUCUGCCCCACUUUCCACCCACACCUCUCACUCCACCCCCUCACCUCUCCUCUCUCUCACCUCCCACUUCUCCACGGCCACAGCCGCUGCCGACAAGCACACGCCCCAUCUCCUUUCUCUCUCCUCCCCCCUCCGUCGCCGGAAACCCCUGCUGCACCACCUCCCUCCGCCGCUGCCCCGGAAUGACCGUUCUGCUGCCUUAACACUGGGACUCUCUAGCCGGAGAAUUACUUGCAAGGCGACGGAAGUGUCGGUGGCGGAGGAGCCGUCGGCUGCGGGCGAUGGCGAGAACUGGGUGCCAGUGGUGCCGCUGUCGGCAUUGCCCAAGGGGGAGCGGCGCGUGAUUAUACAGGACGGAGAGACGAUUCUGUUGUUGUGAUUAUACACGAAAUUUAUGUGAAGAAUGAAAGGCUCUUUUGAGGCUCAUGCAAGCCAUGUAAGAAUUUUAUGUGGCCUUGGUGUAUAUUAUUAUGUGAUAUUCCUUUAAAUAUUAUGGUCUAAUAAAUAAUAAAACUAAAAUUUUAUUUCCUAAAUUAAAGGUACUUUGAUGAAAAGCAUACUCCUCAUUCUAUAUGGAAAUUGAUCUUCUCUCCAUCCUAUAAAAUAAAUGUUCAGAAAACCUAAGGAUAAAAGGGUUUAGGGAGAACAACACAAUUUCUACUUGGCUUAUUGUUUGGUCUCUUCAAGACUUCUAUAUAGUUUAAAGGUAUGUCUUUUCUCAAUAAUGGAAUUGUGAAAAUCAUAUUAUUCUAUAAUUCUUGACUAUUUUGAUUUAAGUAAAAUUAGGAUUUGAUUUACAUAAUUAAAUAAUUACUUAUGAGUUUCAUUGGUGAGCAUAUAAUACCAUUGACAUAUGUUGAUUAAGUGACAUGUAUACCUUUGAUGCUACUGUAAUGAAGUUUAUGAUAAUAAAAGUUUAUUUUAUCAAUUUUCGAUAUGUUAUAUACAAUGUAUGUUUAUGGCUAAUAUAUAAAGUGAAUGACUUUCUUGAUUUAUGAAAUUUAGUGAAUCGAUUUAUGCAUCAACCGCUUUUGAUUGAACCAAAAGUAUGAUUUUGUUCAUGGUAUUGCAUCUUCAUCAUCAAAAUAGAUAUCUAUAUGUAUGUGAAAUAAAUUAUGCUAUAUAUAUAUGUCAAUAGUGAAUUUUGUGUCUUCAAUGGUAAUGUUUUAACGAUAUACAUAUACUAUAUAUAAAAAACCAAGAAAAUUCUAUAAGAGUAAACACAUUGAGAGGAAGUACCACAUAAUCUAUAGAUAGUACAAAAAGGUGAUAUGGUAGUUUAGAAGAUAUCUUUCGGAAAGAGCCUAAUAGAUUCAUAUACUAAGACAUUGACUGGAAAAGUCUUUGAUUGUAACCGGGACAACAUAGGUGUCAGAUAUGCACCUAAUUUACUUUUAUUGCAUUAUGUUUUGAGGGCUUAUGGAAGAUUGUUAUGAUAUCAUCCUACAAAGCUUUACAUGAUAUAAGACAUUUGGAUUUAUCAUUUAUUUAAUUAUAUUCUAAUUGCUCUUUUAUCUAUGCUUGUAAUAGAGAGUUCCCUACGCUCAGAUCCCAACACUUAUAUCAUAUAAAAUAAAGUUUCAUGCUAGUAGAAUAUCUAAAUAUAUUCUUGGUAGUUUUUGGUCAUGCAUGCAUUCGCAUAACUUUGGGCUAUGCACAAUAAUUUUCCAUAUAAUUGGCUUUUAGGUAUAAAUUUAAUUUCUAUAUGAAAUCGUUCAAUAUAUAACUUUCUGCUACAUGAGUCUAAAAGUUAUUAACUUCCAUGCAUGGUGCGACUGGUGGGGUUUCCAGUCACUUGGAAACCAUGUCCAGAUACAUAUGAAGAGAUCAAUAAAACCAACCUUCCACUUCCUACAAUAAUCGUUUACCAAGUGUAUCUUCAAUCCUAAGCCAGUCUGGUAUUCGUUGUUGCAGCUCCUGUAAACUGGCCUCUGCUUGGUCCAGCUCCAGAUAUAGCUGCUCUACUUCAGCUAUCUUCUCAUUCAAGCGCCUACGAAUCACGUCCCUCUUGCCCUCUGCUUGUGCAUACUCAACUAAAGGUUGCACUCCAACAAAUGGGCUUCUUAACCAAUCAACCUUAACCUGAGCCCUCUCCAAAUCACUCAAUGUUCUAUCAAUGAAGUAGGUGUCUGCACCAGACAGGCUACGGGCAGUAUUCUUCUGCAUCAGCUCCACAAUCUGCAGUAUGGAACCUUUGAUUAUCUCUACAAACUGGGGUGCUGUAAAGGAGCAAUUGGCAGUUACGUCUCCAUAUUUGGUCAAUAUUUGCUGCCAAAUCGACUCCCUGGUAUUGGAAGUUACACCAGAUCCCUCAACCAUCUCAAGAAGCCCUGCAGCGGCUGUGUUAGGAUCUGUGAGAGUUUUGUCUGUGUCCUCAGCUUCAGUUGGAGCGAAGGUAGUUUGGAUCUCCUAAAGCCCAAAAAAGAGAAGGAAAAGUAUAGAACUUGUGCUUGGAAUUAACCAACAAAAAAGAUUAAUUUUGAUGUAAAAGUGCCCAAGGAAAAAUAUUUUGGUAGUUUCAGUUGAAAAUUUUGACAAACCUUGUCAGCUCCCGAAGCACCUUCCACUUCAUCUGAAGGCCAAUUAAGUGUAUCUAGGCAUUGCAACCUGUGAUUAUGCUCAAGAUGAAGUUUUGUGAUCACCCAUUGUCCAUUGUCAAGUUUGACUUGGAUCUGGACAUUGCAACCUGUUCUUGUUUCUGAUCUCUUAUACUUUGUUCCCUGGUUGGGAUGCUUCUUGGUCCGGAAGCCUUCACAUGAACAAAGAAAGCAUCGCCCUUUCAGUGUACCAUUUGCUUUCCUUUGUACCUUUCCUUUUCUUACUGUAAAACCAAUUCUCUUGGCAUACUUUUUACAAAAUUCUUCAGCUUCUAACUCAGAAGAAAACGCCAUCCCUCUCCGUGGUAUCUGAUCAUCGUCUUCAGGAUUUUUCUCAUUUACAUUAACCAAUGUUCCAAUCUCAUCACCAUUUACAUUAAUAGCCAUUUCAGUCUCACCACUAUAGAACGAACUCCACCAAGAAUCAAAAUUAAGCUCAUCCUGUACAAAGUGAGAUAGAGAGAGAAGUUUUCUAUGAGAAAAAUGAGAAGCAAAAAGCGGUACAAUGCAUAACAACAAUUUUCUUCUGUUACACCAACUAUUGAUUCAAACUACAUCUUAUCCUGUAACUCUUGUAGAACAAUGAAUUAAUAUAAGAAGAGUGACACUGUAAGACGGCUUAUAGACAAGUAGAUGGAGCAACAAAUUCUUGAUUUGCUGGUUGCAGCUUUAUUUGGGCAGAAAAGUUCAUGAAUUAUUUAUCUUUAAAAUUAACCGUUGUUCUAGAAAAUGGAUCGAGCUUACCUGGAUAGUGAGGCCCCUGAAGGAACCGCCAACUCUGUGGUGGUUUACUAAAUCAUCAGAUUCCUGUAUGGCACCCCAAACAUCUGGGCGUGAACCGAUGGAACUAUACCUGCCAAGAUGAUAGGGUUCGAUAGACAUUCUGGUGCAGUUGAUGGGUGUGGAUCCAGAGGAUCGGUGCUUGAUUGCUUUGCUUCCGGCUGGACCUUGGGAUCUCGCCUUCUCAAGACAGGACUCGUUUUAUAGCUCUCGCAGCCUGCUGUGUGGGACAGCGUCCCUUUUUCCUUGUUUGCUUUGCUUCCAUUUCCAAAUUCCAACCCACUGCGCUUUGACCAAAUGGUCCAAAUCUCCAUUUCUCGGCGACGUCGGUGCGUUCGGUUCUCUUUUCCCUUGUUUUAUUUCCUUCAGUGCCUCUUUCCUCCCAAGAGGCUACUACUCGCCCUCUCAAAAAGUCAAAACUUUAGAAACAUUAAAUAUAUAUAUUUUUUUUUAAAUAGAGAACUAUCAAAACGGUGGGCGGAAAGUGAUAAUCCUUUUUAAAAGUCAUCAUGUUGACCAAUUCUACUCUUCGAGUAAUCAUUUGAAAGCUUAACCAUUCGAAAUUUUCAAUUAUAUCCUAUUUAAACUUUAUUUUUUUAUUUUUUUUCUUUUGUAUUAUUAUUAUUAUUAAAUAUUAAUAUUACUCUUAAUAUUAUUAUUUAUGAUAUUAGUAUUUUAAAUUAUUCAUAUUAUUAUUAAUAUCAUUCUUAUUAAUAUUAUUUAUUAUUUUUUUAUUAUUAUUCAUAUUUUUAAUAUUAUAUUAAAAAUAAUAUUAUUAUAUUUUUAUUACUACUACUACAAAGAAACCUUAGGAGAUAAUUUAUAUUUUUUAGUUCUUAAAACUUGUAAACUUUAUUAAAAAAUUAUUCUUUUUUUUCAAUUUAUACUUUAUAUGUUAUAUUAAGAUUAAUUAAAUUAUUAUUAUUCUUCUUAUUAUUACUAUUAAUAUUUAUGAUAUUAGUUUUAUAUUAUUAAUAUUUUAAUAAAAUAAUAUUAUAUCCAAGUUAUAGAUAUAAUAAAAAUGCAUUGAUGUUAAUGAUAUAGUAGAAUAAAACAAUGUUUCUAAUAUAGAUAAAUACAACAUUUAUCUAUUGAAUUUAUAACAUAAAUACAUUAAAAAUACAAUAUAUUACAACAUUUUUAAUAGUUUUCAUGUAAAAAUAAAAUAAAAUUUUAUCAUUCAAUGCGCUUUUUCUAUUUGAGUCGUAACACCCGACUUUUUCUUUUCCUCUUUAUCAUUCAACGCGCUUUUUCUUUUCUUUGUUGCGUAAAAUAUUUGAAGUUUUGUUGUGAGACUUGCUUCGAUCACAGUUGUAUUCUCAAUUUUGCAAUUAAGCAAAUUUAGCUUUAUUAGUCAGUUGUGGUUGAUAUAAAUGAACUUUUUCUACUGCAAUUAAGUCAGGACUCAUAUCUCAGACUUGGUGUCUCUACUGCUCAGUAAUGGCUGCUGCUGCUGCUUCUUCUGCGUCUUCUCAGGGGCGCUAUGAUGUGUUCCUGAGCUUUAGAGGGGAAGACACCCGCAAUAACUUCACUGCCCAUCUCUGUGAGGAGUUGCACACCAAAGGAAUCAACACUUUCAUAGACGAGGAGAAGCUCGAGAGAGGGCAAGCCGUAUCUGCUGCACUUGUUUCUGCUAUUGAAAACUCCAUGUUUUCUAUCAUUGUUUUAUCAGAAAAUUAUGCAUCUUCUAGAUGGUGUUUAGAGGAGCUGGUGAAGAUAAUACAGUGCAUGAAAAACAGGGGGCACAGGGUUCUCCCAAUUUUCUAUAAUGUGGCUCCCUCGGAUGUGAGAAAUCACAAGGGAAAAUUUGGAGAAGCCUUGGCUAAACAUGAAGAGAAUUCCAAGGAGGGUAUGGAGAGGGUGCAGAUUUGGAAGGAUGCUCUCACUCAAGUCACCAAUUUCUCUGGUUGGGAUUCAAGGAAUAAGUAAUUAUUUAAAGCUUUUUUUCACUCUUACUUUUAUUUUUUAUUUUUAAUAUUGCCAUUUUAAAUGCUCUUGCUAAUUCAACUAUUAGUUAUUACAACACAAAGGGUAUGAUAAUAUAUACCAUGUUAACAUUAUCUGAUUAAAGGACUGGGUUCAUAGGAUUUAGAAAUAUUUUACUGGACUUUUUUAAAUUAGAUAUAAGAUACCAACCAUAUCUUGACACAUAUUCUCAUAUUCUCUUUAUUUUUAUUAUCUUUUUGUAGAUAGCUGGACUUAUUAUGUGUUUAUGCUUUAAAUAUGACAGGAAUGAGUCUCUACUAAUCAAGCAAAUUGUUAAAGAUAUUUUGAAUAAAUUGUUAUCUUCAUCCGGUAGUGAUACCAAGAAUCAAGUUGGAAUAGAUGCUCACAUACAAGAAAUGGAAACCUUAUUAUGCUUGGCGUCAGAUGAUGUUCGAAUGGUAGGAAUAUGGGGCAUGGGUGGAAUAGGGAAAACAACCCUUGUCAGAGCUGUUUAUAGUCGAAUCUCCUAUCAAUUUGAAGGUUGCUCCUUUCUUGAAAAUGUUGCAGAGGGUUUAAAAAAGAAGGGCUUAAUUGGGUUGCAAGAGAAACUUCUUUCUCAUCUAUUAGAGGAAGAAAAUCUAAAUAUGAAAGAACUCACAUCUAUAAAGGCAAGGCUCCACUCAAAAAAGGUCCUUAUUGUUCUCGAUAACGUGAAUGAUCCAACAAUAUUGGAAUGCUUAAUUGGAAAUCGGGAUUGGUUUGGUCAAGGAAGUAGAAUUAUUAUAACGACUAGGGAUAAACGUUUAUUACUUUCACAUAAAGUCAAUCUUUAUAAGGUUCAUAAAUUCAAUGAUGAUGAAGCUCUUGAGUUUCUUGCACGUUAUUCAUUAAAACACGAACUCCUUCGAGAAGAUUUCCUAGAGCUUUCAAGAGCUGUGAUAUGUUAUGCUCAAGGCCUUCCAUUGGCUCUUACGGUUUUGGGUUCUUUUUUAUUUAGCAUGAGCAAAGAAGAAUGGAGAGAUCAAUUAGACAAAUUAAAAAGUAUUCCUAAUAUGAAAAUUCAUGAAGUUCUUAAAAUAAGUUAUGAUGGGCUAGAUUUUGAGGAGAAGAAUAUAUUUUUGGAUAUUGCAUGUUUCCUUAAAAGAGAGGAUAAAAAUUACAUUAAGGAAAUACUAGACUAUUGUGGCUUCUUCUCAGUUAGUGGUAUACGAGCUCUCGUUGAUAAGUCACUCAGUAAGUUUUUUUCACAAUAGGAUAAUGAUGCAUGACUUAAUACAAGAAAUGGGUAUGGAAAUUGUUCGCCAAGAAUCUCAUACUCCCGGCCAGCGUAGUAGAUUGUGGCUCCAUAAAGAUAUCAACGAUGCAUUGAAAAAAAACAUGGUAAGAGCAAAAAAAUGAAAUUUAUUUUAUGCAACACAAGUUAAGAUUUGAAAUUAUUUUGGCUUAAGUAGUUAUAUGCUAAUAAAAUUGUAGCAGACAUAUAUUUAUUCACUAUGCAUGUUUUUAACUUAGUCUCCUUCUUGGUAUGCAGGAAAAUGAAAAAAUUGAAGGCAUAUUCCUCGACUUGUCUCAUUCACAAGAGAUAAUAGACUUUAGCACUCAAGCCUUCCCAAGGAUGUAUAAACUAAGAUUGCUCAAAGUCUAUGAAUCUAACAAAAUUUCAAGAAACUUUGGAGAUACCUUAAAUAAGGAGAAUUGUAAAGUGCAUUUUUCUCCGAACUUAAGAUUUUGUUACGACGAAUUGAGGUACUUAUAUUUGUAUGGAUACUCUUUGAAAUCAUUGGACAAUGAUUUCAAUGCAAAGAAUCUUGUUCACCUCAGCAUGCAUUAUAGUCACAUUAAACGACUUUGGAAAGGAAUCAAGGUAUGAUUAUGAUGUAUUGAUAUUAUUUUCUUUAAAAAGCGUUUAAUGUGCAUGAAAGCUAAUUUUUAAGUCAACUUUCUUUCAUGGUAGGUUCUUGAAAAGUUAAAAGUCAUGGAUCUCAGUCACUCCAAGUCCUUAAUAGAAACCCUAGAUUUCUCAAGAGUCCCCAAUCUUGAACGAUUAGUUCUCGAAGGUUGUAUAUCUUUGCAUAAGGUACAUCCGUCUCUUGGAGUUUUGAAUAAACUCAAUUUCUUGAGUUUGAAAAAUUGUGAAAAGCUCAAAAGUCUUCCAAGCAGCAUGUGUGAUUUGAAAUCCCUCGAAACAUUUAUUCUUUCUGGUUGUUCGAGACUCGAAGAUUUUCCUGAGAACUUUGGGAACUUAGAAAUGUUAAAGGAACUUCACGCAGAUGGUAUUCCUGUAAGAGUACUACCCUCCUCUUUUUCGCUCUUGAGAAACCUUGAAAUAUUAUCCUUUAAGGGAUGUAGAGGACCCCCAUCUACCUCAUGGUUGUUGCCAAGAAGAAGUUCAAGUUCUACUGGUUCCAUACUGCAUCAUUUGUCUGAUGUAGGACAACCCUAGGAUGGUUGCCUACACUCAAGGGUAGGUGGGCUAGGGUUUUAUUUUUAGGGUGUAAGGAGGGGAACAAGGAAUAAACUUUAUGGUAGAGAAAAUUAUAAGAUAAGAAAAAGAGAGAAAGAAGAAACAAUGAAGAAAAGAUGGAAAACCUUAGAGUCUCACUAAGGCCUUCUAGGAGUCUCACCUAGAAGAAAAUCAAUGGAGUCUCACCAUUGAGGGUUGCAACCUUGCAAUGAAAGAAAGUAUAAUAUUAUUCAUCAAAAAUUCAUUCCUUUGAUUUACAUUGAUUAGCCUAUUUAUAGGCUUCUCUAAGAAAUCCAAAGUCUACUAGGACUCUAAUAACCUAUUCUACUAGGACUCUAAUAGGACUCUAAUAACCUAUUCUACUAGGACUCUAAUAACCUAUCAUGACUCAAAUUCUAAUUAUAUUAAUCCUACUUAAAGUUUACUUAGGUCUUCCCUUUCUUCCUUGAAUAAACUUUAAAAGGCUUUCCCCCAUCAUUGUCAGGUCUAUAUUCUUUAACAAGGCUAAACCUAGGUUAUUGUAAUUUAUCAGAUGAAACAAACCUUAGCAGUCUUUGCCUCUUAUCUUCAUUGGAAGUGUUAGAUCUAUCUGGGAACAACUUUGUUACUUUGCCAAACAUCAGGGGACUUUCUAGCCUAGAAGGUCUGUUGUUGGAGAAGUGUAAAAGACUGCAAGUACUGCCAGAACUUCCAUCAAGCAUAUAUAGUUUAAUUGCGCAAGAUUGCAUAUCAUUGGAAAAUGCCUCAAAUCAAGUACUCAAGUCACUCUUUCCAACUACAAAGUCCCCGAAGAAAACUUUCAAGGUGGGUUCUAUUUGUAUACGAUGUAUCAUAAUUUUAAUUAUAUAUGCAUAUAUAUAAUUAUUUCGAUUCUAUCUCUCUAACAUCCUAAUAAUUUUGAUUCUACAGCGUAAUUCGGGUGCACACUUGAUAUAUGUGAUGGUUUAUGGGAGUAGAAUACCAGAUUGGAUAAGGUAUCAGAGCUCAGGGUGUGAAGUAGAAGCAGAUCUACCUCCAAAUUGGUAUAAUUCCAACUUGCUGGGUCUUGCUUUGAGCUUUGUCACUUAUGUUUUCGCAUCUAAUGUGAUUAUUCCAGUAUCGUAUACCUUGCGCUAUUCAACAUCCAGUUACAUUGCUAACCGCAUUAGUAUCAGAUUUGAUAAGGAAGGUGUAGGGUUAGAUCACGUGUGGCUACUUUAUAUAAAACUCCCCCUCUUCAGCAAUUGGCAUAAUGGAACUCCCAUAAAUUGGCAUGAAGUGACUCACAUCAGUGUAUCAUUUGGGACUCAGGUCAUGGGGUGGUAUCCUCCGAUUAAGAGGAGUGGGUUUGAUCUAGUGUACAGUAAUGAUCAAGACGUGAAUCCCCCAGUGAUCCAAUUCAGUUCUAUCUCCUCUCCUCCUCUUCCGAACAAGUCAACAGUAGUCCUUAAAGAAAUCCAUAAGAAGGAGGAACCCAGUGGAAGUGAGUUGUCGAAUGUUGAUGGCUCAGAAUCAGACAGCUCUGAUUACCAUACUGCUGAUGAGGAAGAACCCACAACUGCAAAAGAAACUGACCGCUCAGAGGAUCACUCUGAAUCAGAGAUGCGGCCGCAGAAACGUUUGAAGUGCAGGCAUUAUGAGGGCAUCCCUUGAUGAUCGGAGAAACAGACCUAAAACUCUUCCCAUAACAUCAUCUCUUGGUAAUGGUAGGUUGUGUGUUUCUUUUCUUUCUGCCUUUCUUUCUUAAUCUGAUUUUCAACAUUUUUGCUUGGGUAGAUGUCUUAAGAUCAUUUAGAACUGUUUAAAGCGGGAACUAAAAAAUCCCAUAACACUGUUUGAAAUUAGAGUACUCUCACAUAUCGUCGAUUUCAUGCUUAAUCAUCCCGGGAUACACAUGGUUCCAUAUCAUUAGAAUCAUUUGUAUUAAUAAUGCAUUCUCAGUUUACUAAUUGUGGCAACUAAACAGAGUCCCAAAAUCUCUCUCGGGGUUGAUCAUCUUCAAUAGAUACGCAUUGUUUUAGCAGUGAUAAUGUAUUUUGUGAAUUGCAGUCGCAUGAUCUCCAUUCCUGUGAGCAUUGCAAUUAACUAGGGAGAUUAUUUUAGUGGGGGUGAUGCUACAGCACCAGCGAAGGAGCAGAAGCAGAAGCAGAAGAGAGAAAAGAUCUUGUAACGGAACCCAAUCUUCCAUAAACUAACUAUUUUUGGAUUGUUUUUCAUUUCUAGAAAUGGAACGACUAUGUAAAUUAAAGGAUUACUGGAUUCUUCAAUUCAAAGAGUCAUCACAAAUUUGAGUCACUACUCACCUACAUUUGAUUUCAUUCCUUCUACUAUCUCCACCUUGCUCCUUAAUUCUUAUAAUGAUAAAUGUGUUAUAUAAAAUUUUGAUUAUAUUUCAUUUAACCAUUUUUGCAUUAGGGUCACAUCUCUUAGUCGUAUAGAUAUUGUUUACUUUAAUCCAAAGGACUCCCACGAUUUUAAAACGCACCUAUAAGGUUAAAAGGAAUCCAUGCAUAUAUAGAUAUAUCACAUCCAAUAGGGUGAAAAAGCUUUUACUCUCUUACGCCAUCCCUUCCCAUGAAACCCUCUAUUUUGUGCCCACCUAUACCUAUCCUUUCCCUCUUUCUCUCAUGGGCAUAUCCUUUGCAUGAUACACAUUUUAAUCAACAAAUUAUAAUUAAUUUGUUCACUAAAAUAUUUCUUUAGGUUGUAUUUGGUUCCAAAAAUUACUAAGAAAAAAAAAGAAAAAUAUAAAGAAAUAUUAUUUUUUCAUAUUUGGUUAUCGUAUGAAAAAUAUAUAAAAAAUCAAAUAUAAUUAAAAUUAAGUAAAAUUUUUUGUAUGUUUAAAUUAUUUAAUUUUUAUAUCGAUGAGUUAAAAUAAAUAAAGUCAGUUUAAAGUAACAAAUAAAAAUAAAAUUUCAAAUUUUAAUCUAUUUUUUUAUUUUUCUUUAUUGUUUUUUUCUUUUACUUUUUCUUUCUAUUUUCUUCCUCCCAUAUUUUCCCCUAAUUUUCCACCUUAAAAUUGUAUUUUUGUGAUAACUUUCGAAUAUAUUUGACAUAGUGGUUGCCUAGGGUUCAUUCUAAACCAUUUGUUUGGAUUUCGAAUAUAUUUGACAAUUUUUUAAAUCCUUCCUCCCACCUAUACCUAUCCUUUCCCUCUCUCUCACACACACAACCAUCCCGUUCGGGCCAUUCCCAUGAAACCCAUUUUUUCUCUCUUUUCUCAUCCCUCUCACAAAUCACAACCACUUUUUUCUUCCUUUCUUCUCAUCAUUUCAUGUUCUUUAUUUUUUUUCUCUCUCUCUCCCUCUCUUUCUUUUUUCCAUAGCCAUUUUCAUCUGCCCAUCACCGACGCCACCAUCCAUUGUCCGCCGCGACGUGCCACUACCGACGCUGGCGUCACUCUUUCAUGGCUUCCUCCUCUCUCAUCUCAUCAUUUCUCUCUUCUUCUCUCCCUCUAAAAUACCAAGAGCAUGGCAUGGAGGGAAAAUGGGAAGUUCGGGUGAGCUAAACACCAAGGCAACUUGUAGAGUCAUUGCUAUGGCUACUUUCAUCUUGUUUUCAAGACAUGCAUGGGUAUACUCUUUGAUCUCUACACAGUAGAUGUUAGUAAUUUGUGGGUUUUGUUUUCAUUUGAUGUUUUGUUUAUUGAUUUAUAUUUUUGAUGUUGGGUUUGGACUUGUUGGAUUUUGUUUAAUUCUUUUAGGCGUCAAUUAUUAAUGUUAGGCUUGGUUAUUCCAUGCAGACUUGGGCCUGUGCGUAUUGAAUAUUUAGGUUGGGCCUCAUUCCUUGAUUUGAGCCUGGUAGGGAGGUUUUGGACUUGACCUUGGGUUAAUUUUAUCCUUUAUAGUUCAUUUAUGAUUCAUUGUCGUGUUUAGAUCAUUCAAAAAAUUUGUUUUCAACUAUGUUCUUGAAAAUAAUUUCACUAAAAGUAUCAGAAAUCAGAAGGUGUCCAAUUAGUCGAGUUUUAAAAAUAUUGUUGACAAAUUUACCAAUAAAUUCUUAACAGCCCAACCACCCAAAAUAUAAUUGCCUACUUGAAUGAAAUAAAUAAUAAACUUUAAUUUAUACAAAAUAUUUAUUAUUAUAAUUAAUAUUUUAAUAUCCUUCAUUUAAAAAUAAAAUGAAUAAAUAAAUAAAUAAUCAACACAGACUCUUCUUCAAUGAUCGCAUUUAAUUUACUGCAAAUUUUGCUAAGAGUAUAUUAUUCCCAAUUCUCAUUUUCAUACAUAUUCUAUUAUUUUUCUUUUGCAAAUAAUCAAAUAUAGUUAUCUGUUUGUUUGAUUUGUUCAUCAAUUUGGAAUUAUAUGUAUCUUUUUGUUUCCCACUGGAUAAUUUAGGAUUCACAACUCAAAAUUUCUGAAUCCAUCUUCUCCACUCCUCAUAAUGGCUGAUCCUUCUUCUUCUCCCUUUCUUUACAACAGGGCUAUAACGUGCUCUUGAGCUUUGGAAGAGAAGAGAAGACACCCACAAUAGCUUCACUGCUCAUCUCUAUAAUGAGCUUGAAAAGGUGUUUAUACUUAUGAUAUCUUAAUCUAAUUUCUAGAUUUGGACUCAAUUUUUCGUAAUCAUGUUUUUUUUAUUAAAAAAUGAGUUACAUUAGAAUUUUAUUUCUUAUAUUAUUUUUCUUUAAAAACAAAUAAAAAUAAGUAAUGGCUCUAAUUUUUAAAAAUUAAUAUGUUUUUUAAUAAAAAUGAGUUUCACCAUUAAAUGGAAAUACAAGUAAAACAUACAAAUCAUAGUUUCAUUGUUGUUUUCCUCUUAUGAUCUUUUAUGUUUAUAAAGAGAAAUAUGAAAAAAGUAAUACAAAAGGUAAAAUUAAGUCCUUAUACAAAUUCUAAAAACUGAUGACCCCAUAGACUACUUAUCCUUGCCAAUUCACACUGUUCCACAAUUUUGCAUGUUCACAUUGCUCAAAAUAAAACUAUUAUAGAUCAAAAGAUGCGUCUAGGUUCAAAGAGUUUAGCAGAUUUUUAGGAAUGCUAGUUGAAGGGUGAGAUGAAGAAAUCUACUUGUUGCUGAGUAAGUUGAGGAAAAUGGUCGAAAGCAGGACAUCUUGCAAAGGAAGGAAGAAGAAAUCGGUGUCCGUUUCUCACUUUGAAAUGGAGCUUAGAAGGUUGGAUUGUUCGAUUAGUUAUGGAGAUUUUGUGUUCACUUCCAAAAAGGGUGGCAAAAACUAUUGGGAGCUAAUUUUGGUGGAUUGAUGAAGAUCAAAUCCUCUCUUGGAAUGUUAGAGGGCUCAAUGACAGGGAGAAAUAAAAACUGCUUAAGUCAGUGAUUAGGUCUCAGAAGAAAGAUUUGGUUUGUCUUAUUGAGAUGAACAUGCAGGAGAUGUUGUUAAAGGUGGUGAAAAGUCUGGAUGUUGGUAGGUUUUUGGACUAGGGUGUAGUUGAUGCUAGGGGAGUGUCCGGAGACAUCUUGAUUUUUUGGGACAAUAGAGUUUUGGAUCUUCUAGAGCUAAAAUGUGGAGGUUUCACCAUCUCGAGUAGUUUUAGGAAUGUGGAAGAUGGUUUUGUUUGGGUAUUCACAGGUGUCUAUGGUCUAGUCCUCUCAAGGAAGAGAAAAAAAAAAAGACUUUUGGGAUGAGUUGGGUGUAAUUAAAGGUAUGUAGAACGAUCCCUGGUGUGUAAGAGGGGAUUUCAACUCUGUUAGAUUUCCAAGGGAAAUGAGGAAAGAGGUCAGUUUAACGGCAAAGAUGAGAAGAUUCUAUUAAGUCAAUGAGGAACUAAGACUAAAAGAUUUACCCCUUUCUGAUGGUCAGUUCACGUGAUGUGGUGGCUCAAACUCUCAAGCAGCGUCAAGGUUGUAUCAUUUUUUAGUUUUUAAUGAAUGGGAGGACCACUUUUCAAGUGCCUUCCAAUGCGCUCUUCCUAAGAUCGUCUCUGAUCACUAUCCUAUUACACUAGAGGGUGGAGGGGUUAAAAGAGGUAAGACUGUGGACCCACAUUUUUCACGUGCGUCCCCACUCGAUCGGCGAGACUCGCUUUUUAUUACUAGUGAAAAAAUAAUUUUGGAAAAAGUCGGAAUCGCCACUUAUUUUAUUUUUAUUUUAAAGGGAAAAUAAAACAAAAAAGAAAAACCUUAAAAUGUGACUCCAUAAUUUUUGGAAAAAACAUGUCUUUGAAAAACCUGAGUUUAGGUCCAGGGAUCAAGUUACUUAUUGGGAAGGUACCUCUAGGAGGUAGCACCCCUCUAAGCCUAAAAGAGGUCUCUACUUACUAAGUUGGGGGAAGUGUGGCAAUUAAUUAAUUAAUUGAGGAUACCUAGAUAGGCUAAGGUGAUUUCAAAAAUAACAUGCCAAACAUGAUCAAAUUACAAUAAAUGAGAGUUAGGGUGCAUACCUGGACUGCUUCUUAAGCGCCAUCUAAAGACAUCAAUGAUUAGUUUGGAAAAUAAAACGCACAACAUAUAUUUUAUCCUAGUCUCUUAAUCAAACAUGGCAAGCUAAACAAACAAUAAAAAAGAUAUGUUGAAAAAUUUGAGAAUCGCAUACGAAGCAAUACAUAACGAUCAUAUAUAAAGCAAUACAUAAUUUAUGGAAUUAAGAUACGAAGGUAAGAAGCAUACCUGAAUAGCAUGGGUAACUCAUAAUGCUCUUCCACAAGACAUGAGGGGUUAGAUAAUAAAUAAUGAGAUAAAUUCUAGCAUGCUUGUUAUCUAAUUAGCAUAGCAAAAAUUAUCAGAGUAUACUAAUUCAUCAAUUAUCACAUAGUCUUGUAUAUAAUUCCUAAAAAAAUUGAUAUGAUUGUAACAACCAACAAAGGUGGUAGCAAAAAUAAGUUUUGAAUAUAUUUUUUUGUGUAGGGGUUUCACCAAUUCCCCAAUUGAUAUACACAAAUCUAACCUAGAAUUAUCCCAUUUAUGUGGGACCACAAGCUUGGAUUCGUGUUUGAUUUAAAACCAAAAUUUUCAUUAAAAAAACCGAGAAAGAUGCAAACCAAUAAAAAAAAAUGGUUGCAUAUUAUUUUAAGAAAAUGGGGUUUUUGAUUCUAAGGACUCUAAAUGAAUUUUUAAAAUAGGUUUUUAUAAGGAACAUUUUGGGAAAAGUAUUUUAUUUUAAAGGGAAAGACAUUAUUCACAAACAAACGAUUCGCAAAGGUCAAAUAUAGGCAACCCAAAAUAAAACAAAAUCACAAAGUAAAAUUUUCUCAAUAAUCAACAAAACUAAUAAAGGUGAGGGUAGAGGCCAAUCUUCAUGAUUUGCCAAUGGCCUCUAAAAAUUAAUCUUCACAAAAAAAUAUCAAAGCAAUAAACUAAAUGAUUUUAGAUCAGAUAAGAUUAGAAGAUAUUAAUCAGGAGUUAAAAAUGGGGAAUCAAACACAGAAGAAUAAUAAAAAAACUAACAUAAGAUCAAUUAAGCUAAUUAACUAAAAUUUUAGAGAAACAUAUGAACUAAAUUAUGAUUAAUCCAAGAAUGAAAAUUUAUACAUUUAAGAUGAAAAUAAUACAACUUAAGAUCAAUUAAAACAGUUAUCUAAAGCUUUGAAAAAACAUACAAACUAAAAGUGGACCAACCAAGAAAUAAAAUUAACAAGUUCAGAAUAUGAAAAUGACAUGGAACCAAUCAACUUAAACAACCCCAAGUCUUAAAAACUCACGUACUAAAAGAUGAAAUAAAAAAAUAAGAUUAAUAUUGGAAAACAUAAAUUCAAUUGCAUAGGAUCAAUUAAACUAAUAAACUAGAAUUCUAAAACCACUUAAACUAGAUAACAUGAAUCAAAACAAGGAUAAACAAUUUUAAAAGACAUGAGAUUAAUUACAUGGAUCAGCCAAAUUGAUAAACUAAAAUUAAAAAAAAAAAAAAAGAACCUAAACUAAAUAGAUAAAUCAAAACAAAACUAAAGCAAGGCUAAAAACAUGAACUUUAUCAAUAGAAUUGGUUAAAUUAAUGAACUAAGAUUAUAUAAAAAAAAAAAUGCAAACCAAACAAAUAAAUUGCAAUUAAACUAAAACAAGAUCAGAAGCAUAAAUUUUAUCAAUAAAAUUAAUUAAUCUAAUAAACUAAACCAAGAUUAUAAAAAUACAUCAACUAAAAAGAUGGGACAAAACAAAAUCAAAACUCGUUUUAAAAAACAUAAACCUUAUCUAAUAAAAUUAUUUAACUAAUGAAUUAAAAUUACUAUUACAUUCAAACUAAAACUAAACUAAUGUGGAAUUAAAAAAAUAAACUUUACUUUACAAAUUACUUAAACUAAGGAAUUAAAGUCACUAACACACUCGAAUUAAAUCAUAAGCUAAAAUUAAGUUAAUCCGGAAUUUUAAAAAAUAAACUUUACUUCACAAAUUACUUAAACUAAGGAAUAAAAAUCACUAACUCAUUUAAAUUAAAUCAUAAGCUAAAAUUAAGUUAAUCCGAAAUUUAAAAAAAUAAACUUUACUUCACAAAUUAUUUAAACUAAGGAAUUAAAGUCACUAACACAUUCAAAUUAAAUCAUAAACUAAAAUUAAGUUAAUCCAGAAUUUUUAAAAACAAAUUUUAUCUCUCAAAUUAUUUAAACUAAGGAAUUAAAGUCACUAACACAUUCAAAUUAAAUCAUAAACUAAAAUUAAGUUAAUCCGGAAUUUAAAAAAAUAAACUUUACCUCUCAAAUUAUUUAAACUAAGGAAUUAAAGUCACUAACACAUUCAAAUUAAAUCAUAAACCAAAAUUAAGUUGAUCCGGAAUUUAAAAAAAUAAACUUUACUUCACAAAUUACUUAAACUGAGGAAUAAAAAUCACUAACUCAUUUAAAUUAAAUCAUAAACUAAAAUUAAGUUUAAAAAAUAAACUUUACCUCUCGAAUUAUUUAAACUAAGGAAUAAAAAUCAUUAACACAUUCAAAUUAAAUCGUAAACUAAAACUAAAAGGUGGAUUAGAACUAAACUAAUUGAGAAUUUAAAAAACAAAAUAAACUUUAACACAAAGAAUUAAUCAAAAACUGAAAUUUGUUUUAAAAGAAAUCUAGACUAAAUAAGAAUAUUAUAUGGAAAACUAACCUGUGAAGUGAAAGAGAAAAUCCCUUCUUGGUGACUAAGGUGAUAGCCCGGUCUCUGCCUGAAGUCCCUUGCUCUCCUCUAAAGUUCCGCGUGAAAAUUCUUUCUGUCUCUUCCCCUCUGAAAAAAAGUUCCUUAUGCUUGGAUUCUCUCCUUUAUUUAUAAGGCAACCCACUCCUUAUGGAAUAUCUUAUUUCCAUUUUUUCUACAUGCCCGUGGAUAUGGGAAGUCCAUUAUGUGUGGCUCACUUGGACAUUUCCCCAAGGAUGCAGCCGUAUCUUGUUUGGUAAGUGAUCAGAUCCCUUUUAAUCUUCUUUCCAUAUGCUCCCGGAUUCCUUCUUAAAGCAAAUCAUAUGCAGCCCGGAUUGUUCUUAAAGCCGUGAUCUGCCCACUUUCUAUAUGCAGCCCGGAUUCCUUCCAAGUUUCCCUAUUUGGCCGUGAUCUCCUCUCCUUGAUGUCUUCAAUUGUUUCCUUAUCUCCUAGAGCCACCUUUCCUUAAACUCUCCCAAAACGUAUCUUCCAAUCUCAAUAUGGUAUCCAUUCCAUCUCCAAUGAUCAAGCAUCCAAGGAAAUCCCACAUUCCAAAUAUCAAUACCGUGCACAUCUUCCAUACAUUUCCUAUAAAAUUUCAAAUAAAUAAGGACAAGUAAUAAAAUAAUAAUAAUAAUAAUAAUAACAAUAACAAUAAUAAUAAUACUAAAAAAAAUAAAAAUAAAAAUAAAUAAAAAUAUUUACACAAAAUUAUUAAAUUAAAAUAGAUAAGUAAGGACAAGCAUUAUGGAAAAAGUGACAAAAUAAUAAGGAAAUAAAAUAGAUUAAGAAAUAGACAAGAUAAUAAAUAAAAUAAAUAAGAAUUAAAUAAUAAAAAGUCAAGUCAUGCAACUUUAAAAUAAACAAGUCAUGCAAGUCAUGCAAGCCAUACAAAAAAUGCAAUCAUGCAAACAUGCAAAAAAUUGCCUGAAAGGUGACCUAAGUGGGCCUAAAUGAGCCUAAGUAGGCCAAGUGUAUCUAAAUGGGCUUAGGGUGUCUAAAUGGGCCUAGGGUGCCUAAAUGGGCCUAGGGUGCCUAAGUGGGCCUAGGGUGCCUAAGUGGGCCUAGGGUGCCUAAGUGGGCCUAGGGUGCCUAAAUGGGCCUAGGGUGCCUAAAUGGGCUUAAAGUGCCUAGGUGGGUCUAGGGUGCCUAAAUGGGCCUAGGGUGCCUAAAUGGGCCUAAGGUGUCUAAAUGGGCCAAGAGUGCCUAAACGGGCCUAGAGUGUCUAAGUGGGCCUAGAGUGCCUAAGUGGGCCUAGAGUGCCUAAGUGGGCUUAAGGUGCCUAAGUGGGCCUAGGGUGUCUAAGUGGGCCUAGGGUGCCUAAAUGGGCGUAGGGUGUCUAAAUAGGCCUAGGGUGCCUAAAUGAGCCUCGGGUACCUAAAUGGGCCUCAGGUGCUUAAAUGGGCCUUAUGUGCCUAAAUGGGCCUAGGGUGUCUAAAUGAGCCUAAGGUGCCUAAAUGGGCCAAGAGUGCCUAAACGGGCCUAGAGUGCCUAAGUGGGCCUAGAGUGCCUAAGUGGACUUAGGGUGCCUAAAUGGGCCAAGGGUGUCUAAGUGUGCCUAGGGUGUACUAAGUGGGCCUAGGGUGGUGCCUAAUGGGCCAAGUGUAUCUAAAAACUAUCCUAAAAAUGAAUGAAAAGCCUAAGUCUAAAUUAGGGCUGCCAAGGGUCACAAUAAGGGGUCAGAUAAUCCCUAAACCAAAGUCUCCGAGGUGGCUAAAAAAAGGUAAGUAGUGUGAGUAGCUAUGGGCCACCAAGGAACUACUGUAAAGUAUCGAAUAAGUAUCUAAUAGGACAUGUGCUAGGAGGACAAAAUUGAGGGUCUACAAAGACCCAUUUCCGUUUUGAGAAUAUGUGGCUAUUAUCGAAUGGUUUCAAAGUGUUAGUGAGGAAGUGGUGGACCGAGUACUUGAUUACAAGGAGUAGUAGUCAUUGUCUUGAUGAGACAUUGAAGGGCUCUUAAAAAGGAUCUCAUAGUGUGGAAUAAAUAAAUUUUUGGCAACCUCUUCUUUAAAAAAUCAGAAGCCUUUUCUCGAGCUCAUUUUUAGGAUUCCAAGAGAGAGUUAAUCCCCUCUCUAUUAAGGAGGCAAAGGCUAGAAAAGAGGUUGUCAAGGAGUAUAAGAAAUGGUUUUUAUUGGAAGAAGCUUCUUGGAGACAGAAAUCUAGGGAAAUCUGGUUAAAGAAGGGCAACAAAAACACCAGGUUUUUUCACAAGGUGGCCAAUGCUCGGGCAAGAAGGAAUCUAUUAUCCAAGGUGAAAAUUAAUGGGGUUAUUUUAACUAACAAUGAGGAUAUCAAGGCUAAGGUGUGCAGGGCUUACCAAACUCUACUGACUGAAAAUGGGGACUGGAGACCAAGCCUUGGGAAUCUUCAAUUUAGAGUGUUGGAAAAAGAUAGGUCCAGAAGUUUAGAGGAGCCUUUUUGGAAGAAAAGGUGUUUAAAGCCCUUUCCAACCUUUGUGGUGAUAAAAAGUCAAGUCCAGACAACUUCACCAUGGCGUUCUGGCACUUCUGUUAGGAUUUCACAAAAGUUGAGAUUAUAACCCUCUUUGAAUAUUUCUUCUACCUUGGCACAUUCCAAAGGAGUUUAAACUCCACUUUCCUAGUUCAGAAAAAUGGGUGCAGAAGAGUUGAAAGACUUCAGACCGAUUAACCUGGUUGGUGGACUAUACAAGUUGUUUGCCAAAGUCCUGACAAACAAGUUAAAGUCAACCAUGGGGAAGUUGGUUUUAGACAGUCAACAGGCCAUUAUGUGGACCCGCAUUUUUCACGUGCGCCCCCACUCGAUCUGCGAGACUCGCUUUUUAUUUGUGAAAAAUUAAUUUUUGGAAAAAAAGUUGGAGUCGCCACUUUUUUUAUUUUUAUUUUAAAGGGAAAAUAAAACAAGAAAGAAAAACCCUAAAUGUGACUCCAUAAUUUUUGGAAAAAGCAUGUCUUCGAAAAACCCGAGUCUAAGUCCGGGGAUCAGGUUACCUAUUGGGAAGGUACCUUUAAAAGGUAGCACCCCUCUAAGCCCUAAAAAGGUCUCUAUUGACAAAGUUAAGGGGAGUGUGGCAAUUAAUCAGUUAAUUAUAGAUACCUAAGUAGGCUAGGUGAUUCCAAAAAUAGCAUGCCAAACAAGAUCAAAUCACAAUAAAGGAAGGUUAGGGUACGUACCCGGACCGCUUCUCAAGCGCUAUCAUAAAACAUAAGAGAUUAGUUUGGAAAUAUAACACAUAAUAUGUAUUUUAUCAAAGAUGAUCAAACAUCAAGACAAUCAAUUAUGGCAUUAGACAUGGUCAUGAUUCAUGAUAACAUAUAGAAUUUUAGAGUUGAAGGGUAGAAGGAGCGUACCCGUUUAGCGAGCAUCCACACGUCUAUGGGAACAAGGGUAUCUCAACAAUAGAUAUAAAGUGAAUUCAAGUAUUGCAUCAAGAAGAAAAAAAAUCAACAUAUCAAGCAAACAGUAUUGAAGUGAGUGUUAUGAAUGUUGGGCCCCCACCAAAGCCCUAAUUAAUUUCGCAUGAGUUGAUCCCAUAAAUUCCAUGACUUGAAAUUAUGGAGUUUGUUCGUGCUUAAGAAAAUCGAGAAAAAUCAAGAAGAUCGGUUGAAAAUCAAAUAAAAUAGUGAAAGCGCAUGCCAGAAGAAAAAUGGCAGCAAGAGUAUGUUAGAAUAUGGAUUUUAUACCUAGAAAGGAUCUAAGAUGAAUUUUUCAAAGCCAGGAAUGUUUAGUUGAACAAUGAUUAAAAAAUUCAAUUUAAAAAAAUAAGUUCCCAAUCAAGGAAGCAAAUAGAGGAGAAGAUGUGUAUAGCAAGGUUGCCAUGAAGUGAAGCCAGGGAAAUUUUGGAUAGAAGGGACCAAUUCACUGCAAGAGCGUUCAACUGUCAAAUGCUUCAACGAGCCAAGCUAUCCAGGUGGAGUGUUAAUCGUUGGCCACAAAUGCUAUCCGAAUAAGCGUUAUCGAAGGAUCCGGACAUGUCUGUCCAGGGGAAGUUGAAUCGUCCUCAUCUCCCAUCUGGUGGCAGGCGCCGGAUGUGAAAUAUCUGGAGAAGGUGGAACGUCGGUCGGAUAGAAUUGCGGCGGUGAGAUAUCCGGAGAAAGCGGGGUGUCGGCCGGAUAGAAUGGCGGCUAUGAGACAUCCGGGUGGAAUUGGGAUGUUGGCCGGAUAGAAUGGCGGCUGUGAGACAUCCGAAGAAAGUGGGAUGUCAGCCGAAUAUAAUGGCGGCUGUGAGAUAUCCGGAGAAAGUGGGAUGUCUGCCGGAUAGAAUUGCGGCUGUGAAACAUCCGGACAAGGUAGAACGUUGGCUGGGCAGAAUUCCGGAUGUGAGACAUCCGGGUGGAAUUGGGAUGUCGGUCGGAUAGAAUUGUGGUUGUGAGAUAUCCGGAGAAAGUGGGAUGUCGGCCAGAUAGAAUUGUGGCUGUGAGAUAUCCGGAGAAAGUGGGAUGUCGGCCGGAUAGAAUUGUGGCUGUGAAACAUCCGGACAAGGUAGAACGUUGGCCGGGCAGAAUUCCGGAUGUGAGACAUCUGGGUGGAAUUGGGAUGUCUGUCGGAUAGAAUUGCGGCUGUGAGAUAUCCGGAGAAAGUGGGAUGUCGGCCGGAUAGAAUUGCGGCUGUGAAACAUCCGGACAAGGUAGAACGUUGGCCAGGCAGAAUUCCGGAUGUGAGACAUCCGGGUGGAACUAGUGAGAAUUUCCGUCCGGGUGGAAUGAGCGAUGCCACAAACCAAGAACCCUCAAGAACUAUGGUAACCUCUGCAUCUGUUUAACCCCAAGAAAAACCCGUUUUACACAGCCUUUAUCAAGUUCCCAUCUUUCUUGGAAUGCUCAUGGUCUCCAUAUCCAAGAAUACCAAGGUAAAGAGAGGAAAGAAACGUAGAUACAGAAGCACACAAAAAGACCAAGAAAGAAAAGAAAAGAAAAAACAGGGGAAAAGAAGACCACCAGUGGGUAUUUUGAAGCCAGAUUGGGACAUAAAUGGGGGCAAGACCCAUAACAUCAAAUUCAAAGGUAAACCUAUAUUCAGAUUACUUUCAGAGGAAACCAAAGACAUUAAAAGGAAUAUUAAAAUAGCAUAAACAUGCAAGUAAACCAGUCUCAACUAAUCAAAUUGUGGCCCUUGCGUCCACACCAAACGACGAGAAUGAAUCUUCAGAAAACUAAGAAGUCAGGAAAGAUUGAAACCAAAUGGUGAUAUAGCAAAAAUCUGGAAACAUACCUGCACGUUCUCCUCUCCAAUUGCUUGGUUCCAGGCUGCUGCACCUUUUCCCGACUGAAAAAUCUGCUCCCCAAACCUUUUUCCAUCCACCAAUCUUCUCCCUCUCUAUACAUGUUCCAAGUCCCUCUCUUCUAUGCUUCCUCUUCCAAACCCCUCUCCUGCCCCCCAAACCUUUUUUCGUCCGCCAAUCUUCUCCCUCUCUACACGCGUUCCAAGUCCCUCUCUUCUAUGCUUCCUCUUCCAGACCCCUCUCCUGCUUUCUUUUCUCGCUAAUGCCCCACUUGUUCUUUUUCUUUUCUCCUUAUAUUCGUAUCAGCCUCUCAAACUCAAUCUGCUCAAGAGAAUCCACUUUCCUUUCUUCUAUUUCCCUUCAUUUUUUCAAAAAUCAAAAUGCUUCUCUCUUCUCAUGCAGGAUCUUCUCUUUCCAUAUGUAUGCAGCCACAUUAAUUCCUUUUUCCUCACAAAAUAUUUCUCUUACCUUUUUGAGUGCACAUACCUUAGUGAGAGUUGAAUAGCAACCCCUAUUCUCUUAUCAAGUCAUACAAAAAAGUGGGUCUAAAAGUGCCUACUGGGCCAAGUGUGUCUAAGUGGGCCUAGAGCGAUGCCUAAUGGGCCAAGUGUACCUAAAAGCUAUCCUAAAAAUAAACGAGAAAGCUUAAGUCUAAAUUAGGGCUGCCAAGAGUCACAAUAAGGGGUUAGAUAAUCCCUCAACCAAAAUCUCCGAGGUGACUCAGAAAAAGGUAAGUUGUACGAGUAGUAAUAGGCCACCAAGGAACUACCGUGGAGCACUGGAAGUGAAUUUAAAGACAUGUGCUAAAGGGACAAAAUUGAGGGUCUACACAUUAUUCAAGGUAGGCAUAUUUUCGAUGUUGCCCUUAUAGCAAAUGAGGUUGUGGAUUCUAAGUUAAAGGUCAACAUUCCUGGCCUUCUCCUAAAAUUGGACAUUGAAAAGGUGUUUGACCAUGUCAAUUGGGACUAUCUUCUUUUUAUUAUGGCUAAAAUGGGGUUUGGGGAAAGAUGGAUUAGCUAGAUUAGUUAGUGUAUUUCCAUUGCUAGCUUCAGUUUUAAUCAACAGAACUCCAUUCGGCUUUUUCCAUAACACUAGAGGCUUGAGACAAGGGGACCCGUUAUCUCCCUAUUUUUUCAUUUUGGUCAUGGAGACUCUCAAUCAAUUGCUAUCUAGAGCCAGUUGUGGGGACUUCAUUAAGGGGUUUAAGGUGGGAAGAAGUAGUGGGAAGGGAGAGACUUGCUUCAUUUCCCAUUUGCUAAUGACACUCUAAUUUUUUGUAAUGUCAAUAGCAACCAUCUGAGAUACUUGAGUUGGGUGUUUUUGUAGUUUUAGGCAAUCUCGGAUUUAAAAGUGAAUAGAGAUAAAAGUGAGGUUAUUACCAUAAGAAGGUUAGAGUCUUGGGAGGAUGUUGCUUCGGUGAUGGGGUGUAGAGUUGGGAAGCUUCCCACUUCUUAUUUGGGACUCUUUUUGGGUGCCUUUUUCAAGUCUUCAAGGGUAUAGGAUGCAAUGGAUGAGAGAUUUAGAAAAAAAUUGUCUCUAUGGAAGAGGCACUAUCUCUCUAAGGGGGGAAGGCUCACCUUGAUAAAAAGCACUCUAUGAGGUCUUCAAAUUUAUUUCCUUUCUCUCUUUGUUAUUCUGCGGAAGGCGUGUGUAAGACUUGAAAAGAUUCAAAGGGACUUUUUGUGGGGCGGUGGUGUCUUAGAGAAAAAACCCCACUUGGUGAAUUGGAGCUUGGUUUGUACUUAUAAAAGGAGGGGGGCUUGGGAAUUUGUAGACUUGUGGUUCUAAACAAAGCCUUACUUGGGAAGCGGAGUUAGAGAUUUGCAGUAAAGAGUGAUACCUUUUGGAAACAAGUCAUAAUCAACAAAUUUGGGUUAGAGGAAAGAGAGUGGUGUUCGAGAGUAGCAGGGAGAGGCUACGGUGUGGGGGUGUGGAAAGCCAUUAGAAAAGAAUGGAAGAGUAUUUGUUGCAGAUAUCGCUUUAUUGUUGAGAAUGGGAAGAAGGUCAAAUUUUGGAAGGACUUGUGAUGUGAGGACUAAACAUUGAAAGAAGUUUUCCUUAACUUAUACUGGUUGGCUGUUAAUAAAGAUGAGUGGGUGUCAAAUGUUUGGGAAGGGAGUGAGGAGUUGGGUUGUUGGAAUCCUCACUUCCCCAGGCAUUUUAAUGAUUGGGAAUUGGAGAAAGUGGAGGGUUUGUUCCUGAAACGGCAUCCUUUGGUAGUGAGAAGAGAAGUGGGGGAUGUAUUGAGUUGGAAAGAAAGUAGGGAUGACAUUUUCUCUGUUAGAUCCCUCUACCAUUCCUUCACAAGGGCCUCUAGUGAUCCUUUUCCUUAGGAUAUUAUUUGGAGGUCUUGGACUCCAAUGAGAGUACACUUUUUUUCUUAGGAAGCAUCUUGGAACAAAAUUUUAACCCCUUGAUCAGUUCAAAAGAAGGGGAUAGAAUAUGCCGAAUAGGUGCUACUUGUGUAACGAGAAAGAGGACACUAACAAUAAUUUAAUCUUAUUUUGUGAAAAAAUUACAAUGCUUUGGAGUUUGAUUUUCUCCAUUUUUGGUGUGUAGUGGGUUUUGCAUUCUUCAAUUAAAAGGAAUUUGCUUAAUUUGCAUGAUGUCUUUGUGGGUAAGAAGAGGGAGAAGGCUUGGAAGGCUGCCCCUUUAUGUUUAAUGUGCACCUUAUGAAAGGAAAGAAAUGAAAGAGCGUUCAAUGAUAUCGAACAAUCAAACCAAGCUAUAAAACAUUCAUUUUUGUAUACUCUUGUAAAUUAGGUUAGGGUAUUUAUAGAGGAUCAUACUUUGUCUAUGAUUGAUUUUAUAAAUUGACUAUGUCUAGUUAGGAGAAGGUUUUUUGGCUUCUUUGCCUAAUUUCUUGGGCGUUCUGAUUGUAUACUUCAUUUGUACUUUUUUUUUGCCACUUCUAGGCGUUUCUAAUACAAGCUUUAUUUACCUAUAUAUAUAAAAAAAAAUGCUUCCACUCCUUUGCCUUGCUUUUGAAGUAAACUAGUUUUAUUUUGACCAAUUAAUGUCACACGGCUUUUAUCUUACCUUCUAUCCUUCAAGCUUUUGAAGCAAAUAGUUUGACCAAUGUCACACGACUUUGACCAUCUCUUCCAGCCUUCAUUGUGCUCUCGUCCACCUAAAAAUGGGAGCAUUUUCUUUACCUGUUGUAGAAGCAACUUAUUCCCCUCGUUUACUGCAAGUUUUGUAGUAAAAAAGCAUCAUCACCAAACACUUGUCACUGUUUUUAGUUAUUACUAUUGGUCAUGAUUCUCUUGUGUUUAGAUUUCUUAGUCGUAUUCUUCAGUUAUUAUUAUUAUUAUCUGUUUGUUCAUGAAAUAUUCAUCUGUAAUAUCUAAUAUUAUUUUAAUAGAUUGAUCAAAGCACCUUUUUUCUGCAAGUUAAUUAUUUGAAGUUACAGUUGAAGUCUUUAUAACUUACAUCUCUUCGUCUCUCUGCUUCUCGAUAAUGACUUCUUCUGUUUUUUUUCCUUCUCCUUCUUCCUCAUCUCUCUACUUAUUGACAAUGGCUAUAUAGCUCACAUCUCUUCAUCCCUCCACUUUUCCACGAUGGUUUUUUCUUAACUCAACUCCCUUCAUCUCUCUUUCUCAACAAUGGCUUCUUCUUCUUCUCGACAAUAACUUUAUAACUCGUAUCUCUCUACUUCUCAAUAAUGGCUUCUUCUUCUUUACUCAAAUCUCUUCAUCUCUCUCCUUCUUGACGAUGGCUUUUUCUUCUCAAUAAUGGCUUUAUAAUUCAAAUCUCUUCAUUUCUCUACUAAAUUCCUGAUAAUGGUUUUUUCUUAACUUAAAGCUUUUCAUUUCUCUCCUUAUCGACAAUGUCUUCUUCUUCUUAACUCAAAUCUCUUCAUCUCUCUACUUCUCGUAAUGACGUUUUCUUAACUCAAAUUAUCUUCAUCUCUCUCUUUCUCCUAACUCAAAUCUCUUCAUCUCUUUCCAUCUCGACAAUGGCUUCUUCUUCUUCUUCUUCUUCUUCUUCUUCUUCUUCUUCUUCUUCUUCCCACUAUGAUGUCUUUCUCAGUUUUAGAGGUGAAGACACUCGUAAUUCCUUCACUGCUCAUCUCUAUAGGCAGUUGUGCCAGAAGGGAAUCAACGUUUUUAUAGAUGAUGAGAAGCUUAAGGGAGGGCAAGCCAUAACCCCUGCACUUGUUACAGCUAUCGAGAACUCCACUGCUUAUGUCGUUCUUUUAUCAGAAAAUUAUGCGUCAUCUAGCUGGUGUCUAGAGGAGCUUGUGAAUGAGUGCAGGAGAACAAAGGGACAGAGGGUUCUUCCAAUUUUCUAUAAGAUCGAUCCAUCAGAUGUGGGGAAUCAAAGGGGGAAAUUUGGAGAAGCCUUGGCUAAACAUGAAAAGAAUUUGGAGGGUAGGGAGAUAGUGCGGAUUUGGAGGGAUGCUCUUACUAAAGUUGCCAAUUUAUUUGGUUGGGAUUCAAGGAAUUGGUAAGUUUUUAAACCCUGCAUGUAUUUUUAAUAUGUUUCUAUUAUUAUUAUUAUUAUUAUCAUCAUUAUUAUUAAAAUGAAAAUUGGUUAAGGAAAUAUUAUGAAUGUAUUAUGAUUGUCCACUUAGACUUAAAUAUAGACUUUCAUAAUUAUAGAAUUACAUCUAUUAUGUGAAACCUUUUAUCUUUAAGUCCAAUCUAAAAUUUAAAAUAGAAUAUGAAGAUUUAGAUACUUAGGUGGUGUUUGUUUUUUUACUCUAACUCUAAAUAGAACUUUAAUGCUUAGAGUGCAUUUUGUAGUGAUUUUAGGAAGUGUUUUUACUUUUUUCAACACUCAAAAUUUUUUAUCUUUCAAAUAUCAAAAAUACUAAAAACAUUUCUUAAAAUCACGGUCAAAUGCACUCUUAAUAAUGUUAAGUAUUAGACUAUUUAUUUUUGUAAUAUUUUAUAUCUAUUAAAUAUUAAAAAGUAAAGAAAAAUCAAUAUGAUACUUUUUCUAUUUUUAAAAAAUUAAAUAUAUUGGUUUUUGUACCUAACAAAAUGUUUAUAAUAAGUUAUAAAAAGUAAAAAAAAAAAAAACAAUUUAAAAUUAGAAAGAAAAUUAUUUUUAGCAAAAAAUUAAAAAACCAAACACUCUCUUAGAGUUGGCAUAAGUCAAACUCCUUUUUGAAUGUUUUAUUUAAACAGUGAUUAGUAAAUUUCUAAACUUGUUUCCUUCCCGAAAAAUAAGGAAAAGAAAAAAUUACUAAAGAAAAUUGCAAUACUAGCGGUCACCAUUUAAACCAACGGAUCAUGCCUAUUAUUCUUUGUUCUGCAAUCAUGGCAGGAAUGAGGCUAAGCUUAUUGAGAAAAUUGUCCAGAGCAUUUUGGAAGGCAUGGACGAGCCUUUGAGAAAAUCAAUUGAUGAUGGUAGGGACCCAGUGGUACGAUUUUUUUAAGAAAAUGAGCGAAUUUAUUCUGAGAACUUUGAUACAAUCGACUAGUAGAAUAACGGCUCGUACUCAAUUAACUAGUCGCCAUGGUAGUGAUAUCGUGAGAAAUUUGAUACAGUAGCUAAUUCAAUAAGGGCUUCUAUACAAUCAGCUAAUCCCAAUGAUAUCAUGAAAGAUUUGAUAAAAUUAACUGCUGAAAUAAGGGCUCUUAUAGAAUUAAUUGGUCCUGAUGAUGAUGCUAUCGUGAGAGAUUUGACACAAUUAGCUAGUGAAGUAAGUGCUCUUAUGAAAUUAAUUGGUCCCCUCGAUGAUGCUGUCGUGAGAGAUUUGAUGCGAUUAGCUAGUGAAGCGGAGGCUCGUAUACUAUCAAUUAUUCCCAAUGAUAAUGGUAUCAUGAGACGUUUUGUAGGUGAAACUCAUCAGGUACCUUCGCGAGCAGACAAAAGGCUUCAAAGGCGCAUGGAGCAAGUGCGUUCCAUCUCUUCUGACCAUGUUGGAGAAGAUUUGAAGAGACAAGGAAAACUUCUUUCAAAAGUAUCAGGGUGUAAAAAUCUAGGUUUGAAAUUCCUAUAAGGGCAAGUUUUCUGGGUUUAACACGGAGCACUACGAUAAAGGCAAGACUUCGUGCCAAACAAGUCCUUAUUGUUCUUCACUACGUGAAUGAUUCAGUAGUCAGCAACUAUGCCAAUGCCUCCAUAUUGAUUUUAAUACUAGAUUCUUGGAAUCUCCUGUAUGUGCUGCUUUUGCAGUCCUGUGAUGAUGUGUUUCAUGGCAGCCCUGCUACAAUAUUUUGUGAAUCGAAGUUGAGUGAUCUUCGUUCCUGUGAGGUGGCCGCAUUGGCAAUCCACUGAACUGGGGUGAUGGAGGUCGUUCUAGCGGAAGUGGUAGGAGAAGAAGCAGGAAAGGGAAAAACCCUAAGAAUGGAAGAUUUUGAAGAUAGGAGGUGAUAGAUAAGGACUGACUCCCACUGCUUGCCAAGGAGCUGAAGCUUUUGAAUUAAAAGGCAUUUUCUUGUAAUAUAAUAGUAUGUUCUUGGACUGAUUUACAUGCUCUAUUUUGACUUCAUCUGCACGGUUCUAAUCAAUAUUAAAAACUUGAAUAUUGUUUUAUUCUAUAAUUAGCUUCUUUUAUUUAUGAUCAUAUUCACUUAAGUACUACUUUAUUCUCUUAUUCAUGUUCACAUAUUAGUAUUCAUAAGAUUGAAAGGAUCCACUUGAUAGUUUUAUUAGUAUAAGGAAAGUCGCAUUGUUCUCCCAUGUCUUGAAAAAUCAUUUGUAUUACUUCCUAAAAAAGCACUUGAUAGACGAUUCUCUGAAAAAUACUUUCAUUAAAAGCACUUUAGAUAAAAAUACUAUUAAUUAAUCGCACUUUACAUGAAUUUGUGGUUCUAUGGAAAAAUAUAUCCAUGUAUAUUAGAACAAGCAUAAUUAUGAUGCAUAUUAAAAGAAAGGCAUGUUUCCACAGUAGUGGAGAAGAAAGGAAAAGUAGUUUGUAUUUUCUUAAAGGAUUCGUGUGAGCAAGUUGUCCACCAAACCUUAUAAAAAAAUGGUUAAAAUAAAAGUCAUUUAAGAAAAAUAGUUUAUUUCUAAAUAUGCUUUCAUGAGUAAAAGUAGUUUGUAUUUUCCUAAAAGAUGCAUAUGUGAGCAAGUUGUCCACUCAACCUUAUAAAAAACGGUUAACAUAAAAGUACCUUAUAUCAAAAGAUGCCUUCACGAGGAAAAGUAGUUUGUUUUUACCUAAAAGAUCCUCUCCUAUUGUUAGAAGAUUCUUAAAAUAAAAAAAUCCUCCACGAAGUUGCUUCUCACUACCGGGCAACCUCCUCUCAUCUUGUUUUAGUUGUUUCAAGCUCUUGUUAGAAGAUUAUUAAAAUUAUCUUUCUUUAAUAUUGCUGCUCAUGAAUGGAACCUACCAAAAGACUUGUGUGUGGACAAUAUAUUUGUUGUUUUAGGAUUUCUUUUUAAUGAUGAAGCAUUUUCUCAAACCUUGGAAUCAAUCGAGCUAGCCUAGUAUGAAGUCUAAAAAAAUUUGAACAAGCAUAAAUUCUACUUUAACCUAAGGUUGGUUAGGGAAUGCUUGGGUCCUUGUUUUAACCAUCUACAACCUUCAAAAAACAAAUUUGAUAUCAUUCAUUUCAAUUCCUAAUGUCCUCAUGUUUACUCACUUUUUUUUACCAAUCCUACUAUAUAUAUACCCAAGUUGAAAAAGUCCAAACUAACUUGCUAUUGACCUAGGUACCUUUUCAAAAUAUUGGUCCUUAUUUCUCAUUCUAUAAUUAUUAAGGAAAAUAAUUAAAAAUAUGUACAAAAUCAAAAUCAAUCAUGACAUAAUAGAAAUUAUAAAGAACAUGUACACAAUCAAAUGCAUAAUGAAAAAAAAAACUCACUCCAAUUUGCAUUUUAAAAAAUAAGUUAAUUUCAUUCACCUCAUCCAAAGUUUUCACUAAAUACACCUAACCUCUAUCGAUUUGAAAUUUCAUCAAGUUUUCAUAAAUCAACACCCUCUCCAUGUUCCUCAAGUUUUCUUCAUGUUUAGUCAAUGCUUCUCCAAAAUUUCCAUUUGUGAUAUCUUACAUGUGAGGGAUCCACAUUGUAGAAAAUAGGGAGAACCCUCUGUCCCUUGGUUCUCAUGCACUCUAGAAUCUUCACCAGCUCCUCCAAACACCACCUGGAAGAAGCAUAAUUUUCUGACAAAAUGAUGACAGAAAACUUGGAGUUUUCAACAUGGUUUUGAAAACCGAAUCGGACUGGCCGGUCAUGGUUUCGGUCCAAUCAGGUCAUGAAUUAGACCGGAAAUAGGUUGAACUAGGAUCGAACCUAUUGAACUGGUGGUCCGACCAGUUCACCGGACAAACCGGUCUGUUCGAUUAAAAUUUUUUUUUUUUUCAGCAUCAAAACGAUGUCGUUUUGAUGUUUCUGGAGUCAAAACGAUGUCAUUUUGGAGGACCUUCUUCCAAACCCUCCAUCUCCGACAAUUGCCGCCCACCCCCAACGCGCUGCAACAGGCUCCCACCAUCAGCCAUUUCACCUCAAUGGCAACCAAAGCUCUACUUCCUCCUCCAACAAUGGCAGCAAGAGCAUCAAGUUCCUCAAGAAGACUCUCUCCUGCACAGACACUAGUUCAAUGCUUUCUACUGAGGUCGUCCCAAAAGGGUUUCUGGCCGUGUGUGUUGGGAAGGAGCUGAAGAGGUUCAUCAUCCUGACAGAGUAUCUGGGUCACCAAGCAUUUGGGGUUCUGCUGAGGGAAGCCGAAGGAGAAUUCGGGUUUCAGCAGGAGGGUGUGCUCAAGAUCCCAUGUGAAGUGGCUGUGUUUGAGAGGAUCUUGAAGGUGGUGGAAGAGAAGAGAGAUGUGUCCUUCUUGUAUGAGUUUGGAUUGAAUGCGGAGAAGGAGAUGAUUGGUUGUUGUUCAUCCUCAGAUUGUGAGCUCACACCUUCUCACCAUCCUCAAAUGAGUAGGUGAUCAGAAGAUGAGAAGAUCAGAUCAUAUCAGAUUUCCUCAAAUUGUUGCUUGUCCCACCCAAUUAGUGAUUUAAAUUUCAAUUUGUAAUAAUAAAUUGGCCGAGAAGAAAAGAAAUAGGCACCGGUUGUAGAUCGCACAACCCCCCUCCCCGACUAGUGGUAGUAGCUGCUCCAACGAUUUAUUUUUAUAUAAUUUUUUUUUUAUGUUUUAUUACUUUUAUAUUUAUUAUUUAAUGUGUUAUUUUUAUUUAUUGAUCAUAAUUUUGAUAGAUAUCAUAAAAAUUUAGAUAGAAUUUAUUUUUUUAUUUUUUUUAUUUUAAUAAUAUAUAAAAUGAUAAAAUAUAAAUUUAUGACGUCACCGAUUCGACCGUCGGUCCAAUCAGUGAACUGUGAACCGGGAACUUUUCCGGUUCAAUGACCGGUCCGAUUAUAAAAACAUUGAUUUUCAAUAGCCACAACAAGCGCAGAAGCUAUGACAUCACCCCUCUCAAGCUUGUCAUUGUCGAUGAAAGUGUCGACUCCUUUGGUGCAUAGCUCCUUAUAGAGAUGGGCAGUGAAGCUAUUGCAGGUGUCUUAUCCUCUAAAGCUCCGGAAACAUAUCAUAACUAUUAGAAUUUUUGGGUUGUGUAUUAAUGGUGUUACUGACAAGUUUUUGAAGAGUGAUGGAUGUUGGGUUAUUGUUGCUGGUUUAUGCUUCUAAUUUGCUAUGAAUAUCUAUACCUACAUACUUACAUUCAGUUCAUAAAUGCAGUUUCUUCUUUUAUUCUACAGAAAGGUUGCAGUCUUAUAUGUAGUUCUAAGUGUGGUUGUGAGUUUAAACCAGCCAUGAUUCAAAUUAUUUGAUACUUUCUUUUCAGGGAACACACUAUCCAAACUAUUUUCGUAACUUCAAAAAUAUGAGUAAAAUUGGGCUACAGCCAAUAAAACUGAAUGAAUUUCUCAAAUUAAAUCAGAAGUAAACAAGCUUAUAAAGUCAUCUUCAUAGAGAGUAGAUGACAAUUGGAGACUCUUCAUUCUCAAAGUUUUUGAACAUCAUGAAAAAUUAUUCUUGGAAAAUCACUAGUGGAAUGCGAUGACCAGGUCAAAUGCUCACUACCAAUCAAAUAAAAAAUUCAGGAACCAAAAAUACAAAUUCUACUUUGCCUUAUUCUAAAACCUAAUUCAUUAGGUACGUUAUAAUUAUCAAAGGCAUUAAAAUCAAUACCAGCAGGGUUCGAAUCAUAUACUCAGAAAAAUGGUGACAAAUAGUUUAAUGAUAUAUGCAUUGUAUAAAAGUUUUAAUAAGUUUCUACCCAAUUUAUCACAUAAAAGAAACCAACUAGGUUCAUAAAUAACAUCAGACAAGUAUAUAAAAUAAUUCAUAAGAAAGCAAGAUUCCAAGCUCCUGGAAUCGCUGCAUUUGCAAAGGAGUUGCUCUGCAGAAAGCAAGAAAAUUAACUCCCUCCAUGGAAAUUCUGAUUCUGGCCUCUGCAAAAGAGGAACAGCUUGUCACAUGGUGUAACUCAAGAUUCUUAUCAUUUCCACCCAAAGAAAGUUUUGAAUGUUACAAUUUGCCAUGAUUGUCAAACUCGUGUUAAACAAAAUGUAGAAGAACCGGAUUUUAUGACUCAAACAUCAUAAAUGUUAGCAAAUGUUCCUGCAGUUUUUAUCCUAGUACUCAACAUCAUAAGUUUCUAAUGCUUAUAACACAAGCAAAACUACUACUAUUAAAAUUGAAUCAUUCACAGUCAGAAAAGAAGUAUGCUGGGUGAUUCAUCAGGCAACUUGCAUUCAUCACCCAACACCAACUUUGCUUCAUUUUCUUAAUCAAACUCCCCAUAUUCGCCACCAAGUGCUAAAUAAAACUCAACACUGUCAACAACUAAUUUUGAAGGCUUAAUAACAAAUUUCAGCAUAAUCAAAGGUCAGAUUCAAACAAAAAUAUCUGCCUAAAAUAUCAAAGAAUACAAGAAAAAAUGACAAAGAGAAUUUCAGUUGCUUCAAUCAAUAUAUCUCAAUAAGAGAAAAGUUGAUGACUCACCGAAAAGUCAGACAGAGAUAUAAUAUAUAGACAUGAUUGGAGGAGUUCGCUGAGAAUUAUUGACGAAAAAUAUCAUCACUGAUUUUGAGAAUGCAUGACCAAAUCAACAGAAAAGAGAAUUUUAUUGGAAAAAAGACCUGGAUGAUGGUAGUCAUUCUUGAGGACGUUUGCGCUUGAGCUUGAGCGUGGGAUCAUUGGUGGGUCCAUCACUGCAGCCACUAGAACUAGAGUCCAUUCCACUUCGAUUGAGUCCUGCUCUGUCACUGCUUCUCUCAACUACAUUACACCCCCUACUCUUAAGCUGUUUUCUAUUUUGUGGAUGGAUUCCUUCAAGAUCUUCUGCAUAUAUAAGACAUACGCCACACUUCUUCACCACAUUGGAUGCACUUGAGUUGAAUCUGUGGGCUGCUUCAAAAGAAAUCUCAAUGUGAUUCCACUCAUUGGGGUCAUUGAAUUGAAACAACCUCAACUGGGAACACGGUUGAUAACCCAGCCAGACAUGUUCUGACCCAACAAUGUUGCCUGUCCAAUGGAAAUCAUGGCCGAAGUCUUUCAAGUCCCCAUAAUUAAAAACAUCAGAAUUCAAAUGGCAUAUAAUUCUCUCAGGAAGAUGUUCAAGAACAGAGCAGAGAGCAAAUCCCAAGAAGUCAUCACUAUACCAAUUUGUAGGUAGCUGAAUUUUUAUAGAAGAUCCCACAUUCUGAUGCCAGAUCCACUCAGGAAUCCCAGUGCCAGGAAAAACAAUACUAAAUGCAAUAUUUUCAAGCAAUUUCUGCAUCAUAACAGGUGAAGUAGUCACAGAGGAAUCAGAAGCAGUGGAAGACACAUAAAUAUGUGGAAAUAUUUGUAAUUCUGUCCUCUUAUCAUCACUGGAUUGGUCCUCAACUGGUUUGGAGCAAUUAUAGAAUAGGAACUGUAGCCCUUGCAAUGUGCUUACACUUGAUGAGCCUGGCAAAAGAGACGUGCAAUUGUGUGCAUCUAUGUCUCGGACACUUGGUGGAAGCUCCGGAAUUCCUGUGAGACUCUGGCACUGCGCCAAUCGAAGGUCUUUUAGGUUUGUAAGUUCACUGAUGCCAGCAGGUAUGCUUAGAAAAUUGUUCCGGCUUAGAUCUAAUUUCUUCAAUGAGAUUAAGGAGCAAAUACCGUUGGGGAUUGCUCCUUCUAUUAGUUUGCAGUCACUUAUGUCUAAAUUUGAUAAGGACCUGAAACUAGAAAAACUAGAAGGCAAGCGCAAACCAAUCCCAUUUGAACUGUUUCCAUGCAAUAACCAGAAUGAAAAGAGCGAACCCAAUGAGGUAGGUGCUAAUAUUUUACAUCCAGGAUAGAUCAAUACUUGCAGGUUUCUCAAAAGAACAAUUGAGUCAGGAGGUUGUGCUAUAGCAGUUCCAUCUGCAUGGAGCUGUGCUAGACGUUGCAGGCUCCCGAGGUUCCUCGGCAAAUUGUUUAAUUAUGAACAACCAGAGACAAUGAGUGUUUCAAGAGAUGUCAAAUUACACAUGCCGUUUGAAAGACUCAGAAGGUUUUUGCAUUUCCUCAGAUUCAAUAGAACGAGGCCUUUGAGACGUUCAAUUGAUGAGGGUAGCACUUCGAUAGGUGUCCCAUCUAAAAGAAGCUCUUUCAAAUUGUCCAUAUUCUCCGUCACUUCUGGAAAACUUUCAAGUUGUGAACAUCCAGAAAGAGAGAGAUUUUCAAGGGAUUUCAACUUACAAAUACUUGUCGGAAGACUCUUAAGAUUUUUGCACCAUUUCAGAUCCAAUAAAACAAGUCCAGUGAGAUGCCCAAUUGAGGAGGGAAGUUCCUCAAUAGCAGUUGAAGCUAAAUAAAGCUCCAAUAAAUUUUCCAUGUUACCUUGAAUAUUUGGAAACUUCUUGAGCCCUGAGCAGCCAGAGAAAUUGAGAAUUUCAAGCGCUUUCAUGUCGAUGAUGCUUGGAAAACAAAUAAGCUUUUUGCAAUUUUUCAAAUUCAAUAAAAUAAGCUUGUUCAGCUUUCCAAUAGAUGGGUGAACCUCAAGCAAACUUGAACAACCAUCAAGAAUUAGUUUCUCCAGAUUGGGCGCACUCACUGUGAUGUCUGGAAUUUCAAUGAGGUGUUGAGAGCAACUAACUCUUAUAGUAUUUAACUUUUCAAGAAGCUGUAACAGGAAAAAAAAAAAAAAUUACUUUGAUAUAUUUGCUUUCAUGGACUUUAGAGUUUAACCAAAGAAGAAAUAUGAAUAAAUAAUCAAUCAUCAUACCAAGUCACCUUCCCAAAGUCGUUUUAAGCUGCUAUAACACAUGUCAAGUUCAACAAGGUCCUCUGCAUAAAAUCCUAAUGGCAAAGAUUCCAAAGGAUAACCAUGCCAAUGGAGAUAUCUUAGCUCAUGAGAAGGGAAUUCAAAGUCUUUAGAUAGCUUUACUUUAUUAUCCUCCCUCGUAGAAGCAGAUUCUAGAUCCCAAUGGAUUUUGAGUAGUCUAAGAUUCUUCAUCAUUGCAAAAGCUUCAGUAGUAAUAUGUAUCCGCGUCAAUCUAGACAAGUUCAGAAGUAUGCCUUCAAUUGCCUUUGUUCCCUGGUAAACAAGAGUAGAUGAUGAGUAGAGCAAAAUACAUAGAAGUUAAAUAAGACAUGUAACUUAAACAAAAAUGAUAUUGUUGAAGCUUAGGUAUUUUGAAUAACCUUAAACAUGAAAGUAUAUUCAUUUGCAUUUUCUCUUACCAUUUUUCUUGUCAAUACACGAUUUACAACCUCAGGAUAGCACAAUCUGCUCCAUUUUCCAGGGUCUCUAGGACAUUCUUGUCGAACAAUUUCUCGUCCCAUUUGUUGUAACAAAUCAUGCAUCCAUAUCUUGUUGUCUAAAAUAGUUACAAAGCACUUAUCACCAAGGACUCCUAUUCCACUCUCCGCAUAGAAGUUGCAAGCAUCUAGGAUUCUAGUAACAAAAUCUUUCUCCUCUCCAUUAAAGAAGCAAGCAAUAUCUAAGAAUAUCUGUUGUUGUGUGUCAUCUAAUUCAUCAUAACUUCUCUUAAGCACACGUUGGAUUUCUUGGUUAGGUUCCCUCUGCAGUUUUUGCAAUUCACUUUCCCAUUGACGUACUGUCUUGCCAUAUAGGAAACAACCCAAAAUCUUAAGACCUAGCGGAAGACCAUUAACAUAAUGUACAACAGAGUUUGAAAGUGUUUCAUAGUCUUCUUUGGGAUGGUUCUGUUUAAAUGCAUUCCAACAAAAGAGUUCAAUAGCUUCCUUGUGAUCUAAUUUCUUAGCCUCAUAUAAUGCAUCCAUUCCAUGCAGCUCCAACAAAUGCUUAUCUCUAGUUGUUACAAUAAUUCUACUUCCUGGACCAAACCAACUAUGGUCACCAGCUAAGGCUUCCAAUUGGUUCAAAUCGUCAACGUCAUCAAGAACAAGAAGAACCUUUUUAAAGCAUAGUCUGUCUUUUAUCAUAUGGACCCCUUCAUCAACAUUCCUUAUAAAGUUCUUCCUUCUUGGCAAGAUAUCAUGAAGAAGUUGUUUUUGUAAAUAAAGUAGACCUCGACUUUUAGAAUCCUCUCUAACAUUAGCAAUAAAGCUAGCAAUCAUGAACUGGGCACCAAUUCGGUUGUAUAAAACUUUGGCCAUGGUUGUCUUACCAAUUCCUCCAAAUCCAUAGAUCCCAACCAUGCGAACAUCAUUUGAUAAUGGAUCUAUUAUUUGUGGAAAAAUUUCUUCCAUUUCUUCCAAACGAUAAUCCAUCCCGAUGAGGUUCUUGUCAACCUGUAAGAGUUUCUGACUAAAUUUCAUCAAAAUAACGCAAGUGAUAUCCUCAAUAAAAUCUGCCUCAGACUUGCUGCCAGAAAGCACAUACAUAGGUGAGCUAACAGAGCAACAAAUGGUAGAAAACAUGAAGUAAACUUGAUUAUGCUUGGUUUAGUACAAAACAUGAAUUAUGGGCAAUUAGAAUUUGUUAAGGGGAUAAGGAUGAAUUAAUUAGAUGUUUCAAGCACCAUUAGAACACUAUAAGAAGAAGAAAGAAAAAAACCUUCUAAAUGUUGCCCUUUAUUUCAUCUUUGCUAACCUCUACCUAUACUGGAAGAUUACUCAACUCCCUUCUUAGAUGAUGUUGGCCUUUAUUUUAAACUUUACACUCUUCCUUUCAUAAGCUUUUUUUUCAUUAGGUCUAUCCUAAGUUAGCAUUUGUAUGUAUCAGAAAACACUAAAAAAUCAAGAAUAGUUGUUUGCCCAUACUAACAUAUUAACCUUAUAAAAGAAUGGAAAGAAAUAGGAAAUCAAUUAAAUUUUAGAUGGGCUUUGAUAGAUCAAUUUAAUGACUUGAUAACUUAAUUUAAGUCAUUAAUAGAUUAAGUAUGUUUAGCAAAAUAACUUAAUAUUAUAAUUUAAAGUAAAAAAUAAUUUUAAAUAUUAAGUCAAAUUAGGUUCUUUAUAAUCUGCAAUCCCUUUUACCUCAUGUCCUCAUGUUUAGUGAGAGUACUACACAAUCAUAACUCCACAUUCACAACCCAUCUUUUAUAGUAAAUAUUUUUUAACCAUUCUAGAUAUCUACAAUAUAUGUUUAACAAAUAAAUUUAUUAUUUAAGAUUAGUCAAAGUAAAUAGGAGUUAAAAUUAGUGAGAGUAAAUAUGAGUUAAUUUGAUGAUUUAGAAUAAAUUUUAAAUUAACUUUAUCAAACAACCUUAAUACUUAAAGUGAAAAUUAAGUAAUAUAUUUUAAGUUAACAACUUAAGAAUAAUUUAAUACUAAUUCCGUCUAAUCUACUCUAUCUAUCGGAAUUCUCCAUAUUAUAAAUUCACUUUAUUUUUUAGGAUAAGAUGCAUGUGCUGAUUAUAAAUUCUAGUAGAUUUCUGAUUUAUCAUUAUGUAUAGAAAGAUAAAAGGAUACUUGCAAAAGAUUAUGCGGAUCGAACAAGCUAUAUUUACCCAUUCUGUAUAUGCCAUCCAGAAAGAUUGCCCACUUCCCUCAAAGCUGCUCUCAACUUCUGUGUAUACUCCAGAGGAAUUUUUCUUUCAUGAUUGGCCAACGCUUCUCCAUAACUCUCCCCCUGAUUUCGCACAUCGGAAGGAUUCACAUGAUAGAAAACUGGAAAAACUAUUUUUCCCAUUUGUCGCCUCGACUCCAUGAUCUCCUUCAACUCGUCCAAACACCACUUGGAAUGAGCAUAGUUUUUCGAGAGAAUUACGAGAAAGCACCUUGACAUCUCAAUAGCUCUCAAAGUAGUUGGCAAAAUCAUUUCUCCCCUGAUAUAAUCCACUCUAAAGGUUCGAAACCCUUUCUGAUACAAAGCUGCAUAGAGAUGAUCUGUGAAAUUUUGUCUGGUAUCUUGACCCCGAAAACUCAAGAAAACUUCAUAUUCCCAUGGACCAAUACAAGUAGAAGUAGAAGAAGAAGACGCCCUUCGAAGAUCCAUCCCAACAAGCUUCUUCUCAACCUGUAAGAGUUCCCGGUUUAAACUCUUCCAAAUAGUGGAAGUAAUCAUCUCAAUAACAUGUGACUCGGGUCUGCAAGUGGCAAAGCAUGACACAUGGGGUGAGUCAAUGGUUGCAAACACCAGCAAAACAUGAAUUAAGUGCCCUGGAUCAUAUAUGCUUUUAGCUUUACUUAGAAAACACGAUUUAUCAUGCAAAGAAAAGAAGUUAUAGUUACCCAUUCCUUAAACACCAUCCGCUAAUCUUCGCCACAUUCCACAACGCUUCCCUCCACCUCUUUAUCUUCGACAUUCCUUCCUCGUCUGCCGUUCUUUCAUGAUCGGCUAAUGCUUCUCCAUAACUCCCCAUCUGUUUUCGCACAUUGGAGGGGUCCACCUGGUAGAAAAUCGGAAACACUAAUUGUCCCAUACACUGCUUCCACUCCAUGAUCUUUACCAGUUCAUCCAAACACCACCUAGAACGGGCAUAGUUUUUGGACAGAAUUACGACACAAAUCCUUGACUCUUCAAUAGCUUUUAAAAGUUCUGCUGCAAUCUCUUCUCCUCUUCGUAGCUCCUCAUCAUCUCUAAAGGUACGAAUCCCUUUCUGAUCCAAAGCUCUGUAGAGAUGAUCUGUAAAAUUAUGGCGAGUAUCUUCACCCAUAAAGCUCAAGAAAACAUCGUAAUUCCAUACACGAGUAGAAAUAGAAGAAGAAGAAGAAGAAGCUCUUUGACUUUGAGGGUCUGCAAAAGCCAUCCACUCUUUACUGUGAGAACUCACUCAACUUAACUUAAAUGGCAGGCAAUUUCUUCAUAAAAGGCGGAAAGAAAUGGCAGGAAAACACUGGUAGGUAGAAAGACAGCGAUGAACUCUGCCUUGGAAGGUCGGGAUGCUGUGUGCUAAAAUUGUUGUGAAGGUCUCCACUGUAUCCCGAAUCUUUUCUAUUGUUUACAAAUUAUUGUCCAUGUAUAUAUCAAAUAUAAAAAUGGAUUACAAUAUUUUUAAUUAUUAUUUUAUUUUAAAUGCAAGAAAGAAGUUUGAUUCCAGCUACCAUCCAUCCACAUACGAUGCCUAAAAAAAAAAUUGAUUGGGUUUAGCUUGACACAUGGGUCUGAACAAACCGGCUUUAGCAUUCAGGUUCUCAUGCCAUAUAUCCAUCAUCGUCUCCGAGGAAGAAAGAAAGCCAUGAAAUCUAGUUUAAAUGAAAUUAACCUUAAAGUAAGUGUUUAGUUUAGAUGUUUGCUAAAAAAUUAAUUUAAAACUUCAUCCGGUGAUAUGAAAUUUAAAUUUUAGAGUUUAUUUACAAAUUAUAAUUUAAAACCAAUUUAUUUUUAAAUAAUUCAGUUCUCUUGGGUUUUGUUUUAUAAAUUCAAUUUAUAUGACAUUAAUUUAAUUUAUAUUAUUAUUGAUUCAAUCAUGGCAGGUGGGGAUGGAGGACGAAAUUUCCUUCCAUUGACCUAAGAAAGAUUCAAGUCUUUUCCUCCCAAUAUUUAAAGACUCAUUGGGAUAUGUAGAUGACAAUGAGAAGGGAAUUAAUUGACUCAUUUUCUAAAAGGAGACACCACAAAAGCCCAAAGUUUAAAAUAAAGUAGCCUUUAUGCUGCCCAAACAAUUCACUACGUAUGACUAGCUCUUUCAACUACUACCACUAUAUGUUUUUAUCAUAAAUUAAUUUGUGGUUGAAAAAGUAUUUUAUGGUGAAAUAAUUUUUUUAUUAAAAAUUAUUAUGGUUAAAAAAAUAUUUUGGGGUAAAAAAGUCUUUUUCAUUAAAAAUUAUUUGUGGGGAUGCUUGAUAUAAGUUGGUGAGUAAUUAUUCUUAGGGUUUUGCUUUGAAAAAACUUGUGUAUAAAAUGAUUAUCUAGGAAUUAUAUUAAGUGAUUAUCUAUAUUUGUCACUUUUAAACUUUAAUAAAAAUUUAGUAAAAGAAUAGUUAUAAUUUAUUUAAUGUUACUAAAGUUAUAACUCUAAGACUGUAAAAAAAUAUUUUUGAAAUACAUUUGUGAAAGUGUUCAUUGGUAAAUUAGAAUAUAGAAUCUACUCUUAAUUUAAAAUAGUAUUAUUAAUUUCUUUGAUUGUAAUUAUAUUGUUAGUUUUUAAUUUAUAGUUGAACUUGUAUAUGCAAAGGAUUGGGUUAAACAUUGAUAGUAUUUUUUUAAUUCAUAAAUUAUUACAAUGUUAAAAUAAAUUUAAAAAUAAAUAAAUAAUGUAAAUUUUGAGGAGGGUACGAAAAAUGUGAUGAAAGUACAAAGAAUAUAAAAAUAGUAUAGGAAAUGUGAAGAAAGUACGAAGAAUUUAAGGAACGUACAAUGAAUGUAACGAGUGUAAGAAGAAUAUGAAGAAUAUACAAAAAAAAUGUGAGAAAAGAACGAAAAAUGUGAGGAAUGGAUAAAAAAUGUGAGGAAUUGAUAAAAUAAUGUGAAGAUAGUAUGAAGAAUGUGAGGAAUGUAUAAAAAAAAUGUAAGAAUGGUAUAAAAAAAUGUGAAAAUGGUAGGAAAGAAUAUGAAGUGAGUACGAAAAAUGGGAGAAAUAUACAAAAAAUGUGAGGAGUGUAAAGAUAAUAUGAGAAGGUAUAGAGAAUGUGAAAAUGACACAAAAAUGUGAGAAGAGUACUAAAAAUAUAUGGUAUGAAAAAACAAAGAGAUAUAUGUUCUUUUCUUAAAUGCGAUGUUGGAGUUAUAUUUUUUUUUAAUUAAAAUGUUUAAAAAUCUUAUAUUUGUUCUUAUCUUUUUAAAAAAUAUUUUAAUAAGAAAAAUGAUAUGGUUCAAAGCAAGCUUGAAAAUGACAUGUACAAAUUUCAAGUCUCCGAAUCAACUAAUUCUCAUUCAAAUUGUCAUUCUCAUGAGCCUUUUAAUCAUCCUAAUGUAGCAACUAAUAAUGCUAUUAUAGUACCUAUGCUACCAACUCUCCUAAAAGCAAUUGUUGUUAGGAAAGGUGUACCCUAACCUUAUAGUGCAUUCACCCAAGCGCCACACAAGGGGAAUUGAUGGAUGCAGCCAACCCUCCGAACUACUAACAAUCCCCCUCCCACCCCCAGCGACACCCCUGGGGUUCAAACCCAUGACCUCGGCUCUGAUACCACUUAUAGGACCUCAGACGCUACCAACUCUCCUAAAAGCAAUUGCUGUUAGGAAAGACGCAUACCCUAGCCUUAUAGUGCAUUCACCCAAGCGCCCACGGCGAACACAAGAGGAGUUGAUGGACGCGACCAACCCUUCACUCUGCCAACAACUAUCUCUAAGAUUUUUUAUAUUUGACAUUCUUGUUUAGGUCACCCUUCUAUUGAGAUUGUAAAGAAGGUGUUCUCACUCUCUAUUUUCUUAGUUGUAUCGUUUGCGUACAAAGGGUCAAGCUUUGUGAUUACUACUCAAAAAGUGCUAUUUCAUAGCUUGUAAUUAACUCUUUUAAACACUUUUGAGUAGUAGUUAUCACCUUUUAACCCAAUUAACAUAUUAAGGACCCUUGCAAUCAAUUCUAAUCAAAUUGUGUUAAGUUUUGGUGUUUUGAUAGCUUUUUGAUCACCAAAGCAAUCCGAGAUUGAGAAGAGUUCUUUGGAAUCCAUGGCAAAAGAUGUCCGGACAGGGCGUCCGGACACACCAUCGGAGGGCGGCGGAACGUGGGUUGUGGCAGGCUAUUGGAAUGACGUAGCAAGGCUUGUGCGCUUUAGCAAUGAUCCUGACAACAUAUCCGGAAUUCUGCUCCGUCGAUAUUACACCCGGAUGUCUCACAUCCGGAAUUCUGCUCCACCGACAUUCCACCCGGAUGUAUCACAUCCGGAAUUCUUCUCCGCCGACAUUCCAUCCGGAUGUCUCACAUCCGGAAUUCUGACGCCGGAUGGGAAAGGAGGGCGUUUCAACUUCCCCGGUCAGACAUAUCCGGAUCUUUUGAUAGCGCUUACCUGGAGAGUUUCGCAGCCAUUUUGCAUAGUGCCGCGGUGUUCUCCUGAAGCUUCCAAAUAUUUGCAACCGACAUUUUGAGAUAUUUUGCUUUAGAUAUUUGAUGUCUAAAUCCCCAAACUCUUCUUAUAACCCACCAAUUAUAGGAUUCCUUAGUUCUUAAGUUUGGAAAAAGGGUGAAUAACCCCUUAUAUAUAGUUUGUAAUCUUCUUUAGAAAAUAUCCAUCUCUCGGGAGCUUGUUCUCAGAGACGGAUCCUUUGUACAGUUUUGCAAGGAAGUAAAAUACAGAGCCUUUGCUCUGCCUUACCUUCUCGUUUUAAUUGUUUUGUAUAUUAUUUACUUUUUAUUUCUAGCCAAUCAAACUCUGAGGAUUUUUCCUCAGAGGAUGAGAGGCUAGGCUCUUCGUCUCUUGGAGUGAAGAAAGCCGGGUAAGUUUCCAUAUGCAUAAAUUGGAAGUUUUGUUGUUUUAGUUUUUAAUGAAGAAAAAGUGUGACCCGUUAAUGGUUUUUAUCUUUUUAGUUAACUUAAAACGCCUUUAAAUCACCUGGGCCAACACUUGAUAAGGCAAGUGAUCUCCAUCCAUUGAGAUGCACUAGUUUAUCUCUUGCGAGCCUUUGGGAAGUGGUUUAAAGGUAGGAUUUUCUAGAAUAGCCAACACUUGGUAAGCUUUUGGACUCCAAGGAGACAUCCAUUAGUUAUCUCUUGCGAGCUUUUGACGGGUAAUCCAAGGUUAAAGAUCACCUUGAAUGGUAAAUGCUAGGUGAGAGGCAUGAGCCAUUGCAAGGUGCAUCAGUGAGAGGGAUUUAAUGUUUGAACCCAUUAAAAGGAAGCAUCUGUACCACACCGGUUAGAGAAUUAACUAUAUGUUAAUUCUCUAAAGCGAGGAAAAGAAACAAGUGACCGGAACUCCCUUUUUGUACAAGGAAUCUAAGCCCAGUGAUCUAAACUCCAAGAAACACUUUUCUUUGUAAUUAAAAUCAGUUACUAUUAUUUUUGGUUAGCUUAAAACCAAUCCUUUUUCAAACAUCUUUAUGUUUUCUUUUAAAGCUAACCUUGAAAUGAAAAGGCACCAAUUCAUCUUUGAAUUAAUAUCAAUUGUGAAAUGAAAACCCAUCCUAGUGAACGAUCCUAGAGCCACUAUGCUAUAGUAGCUUUGUCUUUGCUACCCUAGUUCAUGGUGUAAUAGGUUAUAAAUUUUGUUGAUUACUCCCUGAGAACUACAAUCAAGGGAUACCAGCUGGACACGAAUCAGCUAAGACACCAAUUGGGAACGAAUCACUUUGUCAAUCAAUAUUUGUUCACUUCAAAAAUCUUGUAGAAAACCACUUUAACAUUAAGAUAAAAUUAUACCCAAUUGAUGGUAGGGAUGAGUUUAAACCUUCUCAUUCUUAGUUAAUCAUGACAUUAAACAUUGAUUGUCUUGUCCCAAAACUCCAUAGUAGAAGGCUCAGGUAGUAUGUAAGAAUCAUUAUGUUGUAGGUUAGCCUUGUUUGCUCAAGCAUUUAUGCCUUUCAAAUUUUGGGUGUAUGCAUUUCAUGUUGCUAUUUUUCUCAUAAGAAAAAUGGCUUCUUAUAUGUUAAACUUUCAAUCUCCCUAUCAGGUUCUUUUUAGAUCAAUUCUUGAUUAUUCUUCCUUUAAAUCCUUUGGGUGUCUUUGUAAUCGCUUUAUUCAUCUUUUUAAUAAAUAGAAACUACAAUAUUGGUCUACUAAAUGUCUUUUUGUCAGUUAUCACACUCCUCACAAAAUGUAUCUUUGUCUUUAUUAAACCUUUGAUAAAGUUUACAUCACUCAUCAUGUUGUUUUUGAUGAAUCUUGUUUUCUUGUGGUUGUAGGCACUCUCCCUAGUGUUUCUACUAACUCAUCUCCUUUCCUUAUUUUUCCACUUGCUUUUAUUCAUGUCUUUUUCUUCUCCUUCUCAUGGUUCCUUCAAUACUUUACAUUCUACUCAUCAUUCUUCUUUUGUUUCCCCUAUGUCAUCCCCUAUUCAACUUGUGGUUUUGGACUCUAAGAUGCAUCCAUUACCUCCAACUAUUAAUACUCAUCCUACGCUCACUCAUGUCAAAGCUGGUGUUUUUAAACCUAAGACCUAACAAGCUAAUGCUUCCAUUGAGUUAUCUAAUUUUUAGCAAUUUAUCAAGGAUCUUCAUUGGUAAAAAGCUAUGGAAACUAAUUAUGAUGCCUUAAUGGAGAAUGAUACCCAUACACUAGUUUUUCUACAUUCAAAAGCUAAUAUUGUUGGUUGCAAGUAGGUUUAUAAGUUCAAGUACAAUCCUAAUGGCAACAUUGAACAUUUUAAGUCAUGCUUGAUUGCCAAGGGAUUUCAUCAAACACCUGCCAUUGACUGGUUUUAGUCCAGUGGUCAAAGUGGCUACUAUUUGAAUUUUUCUCAUGAUUACUCUCUCAUUUGGUUGGAUGAUUUGCCAAUUAGAUGUGCAUAAUGCCUUUUUAUAUGGUGAUUUACAUGAGCAAGUAUUUAUAUCCUAGCCAUAAGGAUUUUUUCAUCCCAGUAUCUUGACUAUGUUUGCAAGCUUAACAAAGCUCUCUAUGACCUCAAAUAGGCUCCUCAUGCCUGGUUCACCAAAUUAAGAUUGGCCUUAAGCAGCUUGGGUUUUAGAUGUGUAAGGGAUGAUAAUUUAAUGUUUGUUUAUUAUUUAGCCUCAUAUCUUAUCAUUAUCUUGGUCUAUGUUAAUGGUAUAUUAGUUAUUGGUAGUAGCUCUACUCAAGACCCUCAAUUGAUUGUUUUCUUUAUUGCUUCCUUUCUUUAUAUGAUCUUGGUGUUAUCAAUUAUUUUUUUGGUGUUGAGGUCACUCAUACAUUUGGAGCCCUUCUUCUUACUCAACAUAAGUACAUUAAGGACUUGCUUAAUUGCACAAAGAUUCUCACUUGUAAACCAACUGCUACUCCUAGUUGUGUUAGUCCAACCUUGCCUCAAUUUGAUACUUGAUAAGUCCAUUUAGAGCAACUUAUUAUCUAUGAUUUAACUUGAUAUUUCAUUAGUUUAAGAGUAAUUUUAUCUCAACAAUCAUUAUUUUUAUUGUUUUAGGUCUCAAAUAGCCAAGAGUAUGAAAAGUGAGCAAUAUGAGGCAAAAUUGGAAGAAAAAAUGAAGUUUGACGGCCUCUUACGUGACAAUUUGCGUAACUCACCCGAGAAGAAAGCGCCAUUGCGGGAAGGACUUAAGCGCCACGGCGUACGCAUGUGGAAAAUCAUAGUUGGGGACUCGAGACAAAACCGUCGCAAUUGGAGAAGCUUGUCCGUAGCGGCGCCCAAAGGAAUUUCAGAAAUCCUAAGAACCCGAGACUAAAGCGCCACGGCGGGAGACACUGAGCGCCACGACCUGAUAUUUAAAAUUUGAAAAUUAUUCGUCCUUAUCUCAUUCUGUUCAGAUCAGAAUUAGGUGGGACAUCAGUUUACGAUAUUGGGGCUAUAAAUAGACGAAAGUAGGGUUUAUUUGGGGAUUUUGGAGACUUGGAAGAAUGAGGAUCUUGAAGACCUAGGAGAAGAGAGAGCUUGGAGAACAAGAAGGAAAUUUGUAGAUUUUCUUCUAUUUGUCUGGUUUAUUCUUCCAUUUUCUUUAUGAUUGUAAUUCAAGAUGUUUGUUCUUCAUCUUAAGAUGAACUAAUUUCCUUUGUCUAGGGCUGAGAUGUAGCUCAAUCACGAUUUUUGUUUUUGAUUGGUUUAAAUUAAUUCUCUGUUUUGCAUCAAUUUAUUUGUGUAUCUAUUCUGCGCUUAAUGCUCUCAAUUCUUAAGGGCCCAAGUUUUGAUUGAUUUUAUGAUUUAGGUUGAUAACGAGAGUUAGAAUCUAAAUUAAAUCCAUAGAAUAGAUUACGUUAGAAUGAAUGAAUAGUAGAGAUACAUUACCAUGUUUUAAGAGAUUAAUAGUUAAAUCUAUAAUAAUUCCAUAGAUCGUAAUUACUCCUUUAGACUUAAAUUCACAUAAAGAUAUGUUAGGUUAGUAAUUUAAGGAGCAAUCUGAUACAUUUUGAGAGAAAAUAUUGGUUGGCUUAGGGAAAUAAAUCUCCAAAUAAAGCAUAACAGGAAUUAGGUCAAGCAAUCAAUUGCAUGAAAAGUGUUUGUAGUGAAAUCAAAAGCCCUAGAUCGUUUAAAUCAUAAGAGUUUGAAUUUAUUUUCUUUAAUUGUUUAAGUUGUUUUCUUUUACAACUUUAAAUAUUUGGUUGAUCAAAUAGUAAUAGAAAUAAUAAAUUUUAGUAAUUAGUAGCAUAGUCCUUGUGGGUUCGAUAUCCGUACUUAGGUACAAUUAUAUCACUUGAACAAUUCGUUUACUUACGAACCAACACAUCAAGUUUUUGGCGCCGUUGUCGGGGACUAUUUGUUACUAAUAUUAAUUCCAGUUAUUUAUGUGCUAAUUUGAUUUAUUUUCUUUUUAUUCUCACUCAAUUGUUUUUCUUUUUUUAGGUUUUCUUAAUGUGUGAGACGUACAAGGAGUCUGAACUUAGUACCAAUCGACCUUGAUAUCAACAAAACACUACGAAAACUAAAUCGAAAACGCAAGCAACAAGUAAUUCAAGAGGUUCCUGCAAUGGGGGAUGAGAAUCAUGUUGAUAAUGGAGUCCCAAACAGGGUACUCAAGGAUUAUUAUGUUCCUAAUGUGGGUGUCUCAAGCAUUCGAAGGCCACCCAUCCAAGCUAACAAUUUUGAGAUCAAACCGGUAAUUAUUCAAAUGAUUCAAUCUUCGAUUCAAUUUGGAGGAUUGGCCAAUGAUGAUCCUAAUCUACAUAUUGCAAAUUUCUUAGAAAUUUGUGAUACCUUCAAGCAUAAUGGUGUGACCGAUGAUGCAAUAAGACUUCGAUUGUUUCCAUUCUCUCUAAAUAACAAGGCUAAGGCAUGGUUAAUUUCAUUACCUCCGGGGACAAUCACUACAUGGGAUGGACUAGUUAACGCUUUUCUUACUAAAUCCUUCCCACCAGAAAAAUCUGCAAAAAUGAGGAAUGAUAUAACUAACUUUUUACAGCAAAAUCAAGAGUCUCUUUAUGAAGCUUGGGAAAGGUUCAAAGAUCUUUUAAGAAAGUGCCCACACCAUGGCUUACCAAUGUGGAUGCAAGUGCAAACGUUCUACAAUAGUUUGCACCCUAAUACUCAAACCAUGGUGGAUGCAGCAAGCGGAGGAGCUUUUAUUAAUAAGACAUCGGAUGAGGGAUAUCAACUUAUAGAAGUGAUGGCUAGCAACAAUUUCUUGAAGUCUACGGAUAGAAAUGCACAAAAGAGGACAGUCGGGGUUCAUGAUAUCGAUGCUUUUAAUAAUUUGGCUGCUCAAGUUGCAAUUUUAAAUAAUAAUUUUAAGAAACUGAAUGUUGCUACUGUUUCUAAUCUAGUUUGUGAAAAUUGUGCAGGUAAUCAUCAUAACUUAGAGUGUCAAGUUGGAGGCCCAUAUGAAGCAAAUCCAUCCAAACAAGUGAACUAUGUGACCAAUAAUCAACGUCAAUACAAUCCCAACUCCAAUUAUUUCAACCAAGGGUGGAGGAAUCAUCCGAACUUCUCAUGGAGUAACAACACUCAUGUGCAAAAACCACCUUCCGGUUUCCAAUCUCAAGAUAAUAAGCCAAACUUGGAAGAAGUUUUCACCCAAUUUAUACAAAAGACUAACGAUUUUAUUGAUGAUACUAAAGCAAAUUUCAGGAACCAAGGUGCAAGUAUUCGCAACCUUGAGCAUCAAGUGAGGGAGAUUUCUAAGUUAUUGACGGAGAUAACACAAAGAGCACUUCCUAGUAUCACAAAGACGAAUCCUAAGGAGCAUGUAAAGGUCAUAACUCUUAGAAGUGGGAAGUAGUUAGAACAAUCAAAGGAAGCCGAGUAGCAAGCAAAUAAGGAGAAUACUUCAGUUCCCAAGGAACAAGAUGCUUCCACUUCUAUAUAGCCAUCUAUUCCAAAACCAUCAUCUAAUGCCAUUCUUUUUCCUCAAAGGCUGAAAAAACAAAAUUUAGAUAAGCAAUUUUCUAAAUUUAUUGCUAUUUUUAAGAUCUUACAUAUCAAUCUUCCUUUUGUAGAUAUGCUGGAGCAAAUGCCGAAAUAUGCUAAAUUCUUAAAGGAGGUGUUAUCAAAUAAGAGGAAAUUGAUGGACAAUGAGAAUGUGAUGCUCACUGAAGAGUGCAACACCAUUCUUCAAAGGAAGCUUCCUCCUAAGCUAAAAGAUCCAGGGAGUUUCACUAUACCUUGCACUAUUGGUGAUUUUUAUUUUGAUAAAGUUUUAUGUGAUCUAGGUGCAAGUGUUAAUUCGAUGCCUCUUUCUAUUUUCAAGAAACUUGGACUAAGGGAAGUAAACCCUACUACGGUAUGUUUGCAGCUUGCGGAUAGAUCUAUCAAACAUCCAAGAGGCAUUAUUGAGGAUGUUUUGUUAAAAGUGGAUAAGUUUAUAUUUUUGGCUGAUUUUAUUGUAUUAGAUAUGGAAGAAGACCGGGAUGUUCCACUUAUAUUAGGAAGACCUUUUCUUGCUACAGAUAGAACUCUUAUAGAUUUUCAUCAAGGUAAGUUGAUUUUAAGGGUUCAAGAUGAAAAAGUUACGUUUAAUGUUUUUGAGGCUAUGAAAUUUCCAUCUGAUAUUGAUGCAUGCUUUGCAAUCAGUGUUUUUGAUAGGGUGGUAGCUAAAACAUUUCAUGAAACUUUUCCCACUUCACCUUUAGAAAAUUGUAUAAUGAAUGGUAGAAAUUUAGGAACUCUUUGUGAUGAUGAUGAUGAUAUAAUUGAAUGUGUUAAUAAUCUUGAUGCAUUGCUAACUUAUGAGUUUCCAAGAAAGUUAAAAUUUGAGGAAUUAGAGGCCAUUCAUGUUAACAAUCAUACAUUAAAGAAGAAGCUUCCUAAACUUGAACUUAAAUUGUUGCCAUCUCACCUCAGGUAUGCUUUCUUAAAAGAUUCUAGUUAAUAUCCUUUUAUUAUUAACUCUUCUUUGAAUGAUUUGGAGGAAUAAAAACUAUUAAGAGUUUUGAGGGAGCAUAAGAAAGCUAUUGGAUGGACUAUUGAUGACAUUAAUGGAAUAAGCCCAUCGAUUUGUAUGCAUAAGAUCCUAUUUGAAGAAAGCUACAAGCCAACAGUUCAACCACAACGAAAAUUAAAUCCAUCUAUGCAAGAAAUGGUUAAGAAAGAGGUUGUGAAGCUUUUGGAUGCAGGUAUAAUUUACCCAAUCUCGGAUAGUACAUGGGUAAGUCCAAUUCAAGUAGUUCCUAAGAAGGGAGGUAUAACUGUAGUGAAGAAUGAUAAUAACGAACUUAUCCCCACAAGAAUGAUAACCGGAAGCUUAAUGAUGCCACAAGAAAUGAUCACUUUCCUUUACCCUUCAUUAACCAAAUGGUGGAGAGACUUUCCGGUCAUGAUUAUUAUUGUUUUCUAGAUGGAUAUUCAGGAUACAAUCAAAUCCCCAUAGCACCGGAAGAUCAAGAGAAGACCACUUUUACAUGCUCAUAUGGCACUUUUGCUUACUGACGAAUGCCAUUCGAUUUAUGCAACACUCCGGCCACUUUUCAACGUUGCAUGAUGUCCAUUUUCUCUGAUAUGAUUGAAAAAUGCAUUGAAGUGUUUAUGGAUGAUUUUUAUGUUUUUGGUUCUUUUUUUUAUGAUUGCCUUUCUAAUCUUUCUUUGGUUUUGUAGCGAUGUGUUGACACAAACUUGGUUUUAAAUUGGGAAAAAUGCCAUUUUAUGGUAAGAGAAGGUAUUGUGUUAGGACAUCGAAUUUCUGUAAAAGGAAUUGAGGUGGAUCGUGCUAAGAUAGAUUUGAUUGAGAAGUUGACACCACCUACAAAUGUAAAGGGAGUUAGAAGUUUUCUUGGUCAUGCAGGAUUUUAUAGAAGAUUCAUUAAGGACUUUUCAAAAAAUUUCUAAACCUCUUUGUGAUUUAUUGGCUAAGGAUGCAGUUUUUGAUUUUUCUAAAGAAUGUUUAAAUGCUUUUGAAACUCUUAAGUCUAAACUGAUAUCUUCUCCUAUUAUUGUUGCACCUGAUUGGGAAUUGUCUUUACAUUGAUGUGUGAUGCUAGUGACUUUGCUAUAGGUGCUAUUUUAGGGCAACGGAAAAGUAAAAUUUUUCACGUGAUUUAUUUUGCUAGCAAGGUUUUAACAGAGGGUCAAGUAAAUUAUGCAACCACUGAUAAAGAACUUUUAGCAAUUGUUUAUGCUUUUGACAAAUUUCGAUCUUAUUUGAUAGGGUCUAAGGUGAUUGUCUAUACUGACCAUUCAACUUUGAGGUAUUUAUUUGCUAAGAAAAAGGCAAAGCCAAGGCUACUUUGUUGGAUCUUGCUAAUACAAGAAUUUGACUUGGAAAUCAAAGACAAGAAAGGAACUGAGAAUUUAGUUGCAGAUCAUCUUUCUCGGAUGAAUCAUGUGGAGCCUAAUGAAGAAGUUGAUGAUGAUAUUAAUGAAAGAUUUCCUGAUGAGCAACUUUUUGCAGUUGAAAAAGCGUCAUGGUAUGCAGACAUUGUUAACUAUUUGGCUAAGAAGAUUUUGCCUCCCAAGCUUACUUAUCAAAGGAGGAAGAAGUUUUUCUCAGAUCUCAAGUACCAUUUAUGGGAUGAUCAUUUCCCAUAUAAGCAAUGCGACGAUCAAAUAAUUAUGAAAUGUGUGCCGGAAGAGGAGAUGGAGAGUAUUCUGCAUCAUUUUCAUUCUCGUGAAGUUGGAGGACAUUUUGGAGCUACUAAAAUUGCAGCCAAAGUUUUACAAUCAGGAUUUUAUUGGCCUUCUCUUUUUAAAGAUUCAUUUAAUUUUGUUGCCAAUUGUGAUAGAUGUCAAAGGGUUGGAAUAUAUCUAGGGAAAAUGAGAUGCCUCUAAUAAAUAUUUUAGAAAUAAAAUUGUUUGAUGUAUGGGGUAUUGAUUUUAUGGGUCUUUUUCCAUCCUCUUAUGCUAAUGGUUUUAUUUUGGUUGUUGUAGAUUACGUUUCCAAAUGGGUUAAAGCUGAGGCACUGCAGACCAAUGAUGCUAGAGUGAUGGUUAAAUUUCUUAAGAAGAAUAUUUUUGCAAGAUUUGAUACACCAAGAGCUAUCAUAAGUGAUGGGGGAUCUCAUUUUUGUAAUAGUCAAUUUGAGUCACUAUUGGGUAAAUUGGAGUAACACAUCGUAUAGCUACUCCUUAUCACCCGCAAACAAGUGGUCAAGUUGAGGUAUCUAAUCGUGAGCUCAAGCGAAUUCUGGAGAAAACAGUUAAUUCUUCUAAGAGGGAUUGGUCAAGUAAGUUGGAUUACGCUUUAUGGGCUUAUAGAACGGCAUUCAAGACACCUAUUGGGAUGUCUCCAUAUCAAUUGGUUUAUGGCAAAUCGUGUCAUCUUCCGGUUGAGUUGGAGCACAAAUCAUUUUGGGUUGUUAAACUUUUGAAUUUUGACUUACAAACUGCAGGGGAAAAGAGAUUGUUACAAUUAAAUGAGAUGAAAGAGUUUCGUAAUAAUGCUUAUGAGAAUGCUAAGAUUUAUAAGGAUAAGGCAAAAAGAUGGCAUGAUAAGCAUAUUCAGAAGCGCAAUUUUGAAGUUGGUCAAUAAGUUCUUCUUUUCAACUCACAUCUCAAGCUUUUUCUGGGUAAAUUAAGAUCGCGAUGGUCUGGUCCAUUCAUAGUUAACAAGGUUUUACCAUCAGGAGCAAUAGAAGUUCAUCAUCCAUCAAAGGAGACUUUUACAGUGAACGGGCAACAAUUGAAGCACUAUUUGGGAGGAAAUUUUAGCACCGAACGGGUGUCUGUUGUGCUUUCAAUUCCAAAGUACAAGAGUGGAGAAAGUCUAGCUAACAACUUAAAUUUUAGCGCUUUUCGAAAGACAACUCGAUUUAUUUUGAGCAAUUUUUAUUUUCGAAUCUUGAAUUAUUUUUAGUUGUUAGGAUUUUUAUUAAUUUUGUUUUUAUUUUGUUUCAAAGUUAAUUUAGUUAGUGAAUUUUUAGAGUUAAUUGUUUGGUAGUUUAGGAUUAAUUUUUAUUUUUUUUAUUUUUAACUAUUUUUCCUUUAUUUUCAGGAGAAAAAGGGCUUUUUACAUACCCAGUGAAAGGAGCCGCAGCGGGAGGCAUUGAGUGUCGCGGUUGACUCUUCAAAUGCUACUUAUAAAGGACCCGAGGCUAAACCACUGCAGCUAGUAAGGCUUUGCGCCGAAGCAGUCACCCCCAAUUGAAUUUCUCUUAUAAAAAUUAGGGCUUUGCGCCGCGGCGAAAAGACUUGAGCACCGCUACGCGAUGAGUAAAUGGGAGUUUUAAAAGGGCCAUUUUCCUUCAUUUUUCACAAACAACUUUUCUCAUUUUCUCAUCUUCUCUCCAUUUUCUCUCUAUCCUUCGAUCCUAAUCAUAUUUAAACUCCGAAUUCUUUGUUUUCUUUUGGGAUUACUCAUGGGUUUUGGAGAUUUGGCAAGAUUAAAGCUUGAUUUGGUGUAAUUUUGGAAGGAAAAUUGCAUAUCCAAUCCGUCUUCUUGUUGGGUCACGAUUUGGGGUGAUUGUUUCUACCUUUUUGCUGCAAUUUGGACACUACUAAAUGAUAAAUGAGCGAUUUUUUUAUGUGCCCCAAAAAUUCAUCAAAAAUGGAGUUUUUUCUUUUCCUUACUUUAUUUUCUUUUGUUCAUUGAGGGCAAUGAAAGUAAUUAAGUUUGGGGGGAACGAUUAAUUUCUUCUGGGUUUAGCUAAGUUCAGUUAAAAAUGUUUUUUUCGAAACUUCUUGAUUUUUUAGCAUUAUUUUUCGAGUUGAUUCAUAUAGUCAAUGAUAAUAUCUUGAUUGCUAUGAUGCGUGGUUGUUAAGAUGAAAUUUGAUAUUGCUUAGAUUUUGAGGAUAAUUUGGAUGUUUGUUUUGUUUGGAUUUGAGAUUCAAUGUUGGUCUAGUAUGGUGAUUUUGAUAACAAUCCCAUUUUGCAUGCUUAGAGACAUUUUAUUUAGACAAUUGUGGAUGAUAGAACUUGGCUGAUUGUUACUCAAGGUGAAAUCCUAGAUUUUCAUGUUACUUAGGAGAUGAUUUAGGCCAUUUUUAGAUCGUUUGAGCUUUUCUUACCUUACCCAAAAUAUUUUAUCCGCUAGUUACCUAUUUGAGCCUUUUUAUAUAAUGUUAGCCUUAUUUUUCUUUCUUUAAGCCUAUCUUCCUACCUAUUUUAAGCCUAAACACUUAUCCUUACCCUUGAUGAGAAUAUUUACAUGUUUGUUAUUUAUUUUGUUUGAGAGCAAAAAUAUCUUAUUGAGGAAAAUAUGGAAAUGUGUAUUGUUAACCUAGUUAUAAUAGAGAAAUAAGUUUGGGGGUUUUGAAGAAUAAAAGGAAGAGUGUGCAUAAAAAAAAAAAAAAAUUGGCAUUAGGGUGAAAUAUGUGAAAAGUGCUUAUGAGCACGAAAGAAAGAAAAAGUAUGAAAAGUUUCAAGAAGGUAGGAAGUGAUGUUAAUAUUAAAAGCUCCUUGAGUCUGUUACAUUUUGUUCAAUUGUGAAUGUUCUCAUUCUUUGAAUUUAUCCUUUCCAUUCUUUGUGAGCCAACACCUUAGCCUAACAUUACAAGCUUAUUAAAGACCUUUUGAUCCGAGGUAACAUGAUGAAUAUACAUUAGUGUAGGAUAGCAAGAAAGCCAAGCCUAUGAGAUUCGAUAUCAUACAUUACUUGUUAGAGGUCGACUUUGUCUAUAAUUGUUUUUAUAAAAUCAUUUAGGUAGUAGAAUUGAUUGUUUGAAAGGUUGCUUACUUGGAUUUUUCAUAAGAUUGAAGGUUUGAAUGGAAUGAAUGUCUGAGUAAUCCUUCUUGAUUCGUGCCCCGUUAGUGUACCUUGAUUUUUGGUCCCCUGAUGGGAGUAAUCAACAAAAUUUAUAACCUAUAUCACCAUGCACUAGGAUAGCAUAAGCUAGUAUAGCAUAGUGGCUCUAGGAUCGUUCACUGGGAAGGGUUUUCAACUUACAAUUGAUACCAAUCCAAAGUUGAAUUGGUCCCUUUUCAUUUCAAGGUUAGCUUCAAAAGAAAACAUAAACUUUGGUUGAAAAAGGUUUGGUUUCAAGCUAACUAAAAAGAAAGUAAUGGGAAUUACUUAUAAAGAAAAAGCGUCUCUUGGAGUUUUAGGAUCACUGGGGUCAGGCUCCUCAUGCAAAAACAGAGUUCCGGUCACUUUGGUUCUUUUCCUCGCAUUGGAGAAUUAACAUAUAGUUCAUUCUCCAACCGGUGUUGUACAGAUGCUUCCCUUUUAUGGAUUUUAGUACUAAUUCCCUCUCACUGAUGCAUCUUGCAAUGGCUCGUGCCUUUCACCUAGCAUUUACCAUUCAAGGUGAUCAUUAACCUUGGAUUUCUCUUCUCAAGCUCGCAAGAGAUAACUAAUGGAUGCCUCCUUAGAGUCCAAAAGCUUACCAAGUGUUGGCAAUUCUAGAAAAUCCUACCUUCAAGUCACCUCCCAAAAGCUUGCAAGAGGUAAACUAGUGCAUCUCCAUGGACGGAGAUCAGUUGCCUUACCAAGUGUUGGCUCAGGUGAAUUGAAGGCGUUUUAAGUUAACUAAAAACAUAGAAAUCAUAAACGGGUUACACUUUCUCUUCAUUAACAACUGAAACAACAAAACUCUCAAUUAUUGCAUUCGGGACCUUACCCGGCUACCUUAGCUCCAAGAGACAAAAAGGCCUAGCCACCCAUUCUCUGAGGAAACAUCCUCAGAGCUUGUUUGGCUAGUAAUGAAAAAUAUAAUCAAAUUGAGUAGGUAAGGCAGAGCAAAGCUCUGUAUUUUACUUCCUUUCAAACUAUACAAAAAGUUGUCUCUGAGAACAAGCUCCCGAGCUCCCCUUUUGUAAAGAAAAUUACAACUAUAUAUAAGGGGUUAUUCACCCUUUUUCCAAACUUAAUAACUAAGGAAUCCUAUAAUUGGUGGGUUACAAGGAGAGUUUGGGGAUUUAGACAUCAAAUAUCUAAAGCAAAAUAUCUAAAAAUGUCGGUCUCAAAUAUCUGGAAGCUUCAGGAGAACACCGCGGCACUGUGCAAAAAUGGCUGCGAAACUCUCCGGGUAAGCGCUAUCAAAAGAUCCAGAUAUGUCUGACCGGGGAAGUUGAAACGCUCUCCUCUCCCAUCCGGCGUCAAGUGCUGGAUGUGAAAUAUCCGGAUGGAAUGUCGGCGGAGCAGAAUUCCGGAUGUAAGACAUCCGAGUGGAAUGGCGGCGCACUUUCCUAUCCGGACUCCCUCAGGGAGAAGCACACGGCACUCGUGAUCAUCACACCCCGGACGAUAGCAUAUCCUAUUCGGAUAUGUUGUCCGGAUUAUUGACGCCCAUGUUCCUCCGCCCUCCGAUGGUGUGUCCGGACGCCCUGUCCGGACAUCUUUUGCCAUGGAUUCCAAAGAACUCUCCUCAAUCUCGAAUUGCUUUGGUGAUCAAAAAGCUAUCAAAACACCAAAACUUAACACAAUUUGAUUAGAUUUGAUUGCAAGGGUCCUUAAUAUGUUAAUUGGGUUAAAAGGUAAUAACUACUACUCAAAAGUGUUUAAAAGAGUUAAUUACAAGCUAUGAAAUAACACUUUUUGAGUAGUAAUCACUUCUCAUUUUUGUAAUGUUCGAUAGAUUCUUGACGGCUUUGUGUUAUUAGUAAUUUUUGAGAUAAUAUUAUGAAUCAAACUUGACAAAUGAAUUUGAUUCUAGAAGUUUGAGAAGUUUUGAGUCUUGAUUUAGUUUGUGAUUUAAUUAUUUUUAGAAUAGUUUUAGGUUAGAUUUUAUUUUGUUUUUGCUCGAGGACUAGCAAAAUGUUAAGUUUGGGAGAAUUUGAUAAGUCAAUUUAGAGCGACUUAUUAUCUAUGAUUUAACUUGAUAUUUCAUUAGUUUAAGAGUAAUUUUAUCUUAACAAUCAUUAUUUUUAUUGUUUUAGGUCUCAAAUAGCCAAGAGUAUGAAAAUGGAGCAAUAUGAGGCAAAAUUGGAAGAAAAAUAUGAAGUUUGGCGGCCUCUUACGUGACAAUUCGCGUAACUCACCCGAGAGGAAAGCUCUGCCGCGGGAAGGACUUAAGCGUCGCAGCGUACGCAUGUGGAAAAUCAUAGUUGGGGACUCGAGACAAAACCGCCACGUCUGGAGGUGCUUGUCCGCCGCGGCGCCCGAAGGAAUUUUAGAAAUCCUAGGAACCUGAGACUAAAGCGCCACGACGAGAGACAAUGAGCGCCACAACCCGAUAUUUAAAAUUUGAAAAUUAUUCAUCCUUAUCUCAUAUGUUCAGAUUCGAAUUAGGUGGGACGUCAAUUUACGAUAUUGGGGCUAUAAAUAGACGAAAGUAGGGUUUAUUCGGGGAUCUUGGAGACCUGGAAGAAGGAGGAUCUUGAAGACCUAGGAGAAGAAAGAGCUUGGAGAACAAGAAGGGGAUUUGCAGAUUUCCUUCUAUUUUUCUGGUUUAUUCUUCCCUUUUCUUUAUGAUUGUAAUUCAGGAUGUUUGUUCUUCAUCUCAAGAUGAACUAAUUUCCUUUGUCUAGGGCUGAGAUGUAGCUCAAUCACGACUUCUAUUUUUGAUUGGUUUAAAUUAAUUCUCUGUUUUGCAUUAAUUUAUUUGUGUAUCUAUUCUGCGCUUAAUGUUCUCAAUUCUUAAGGGCCCAAGUUUUGAUUGAUUUUAUGAUUUAGGUUGAUAACGAGAGUUAGAAUCUAAAUUAAAUCCAUAGAAUAGAUUACGUUAGAAUGAAUGAAUAGUAGAGAUACAUUACCAUGUUCUAAGAGAUUAAUAGUUAAAUCUAUAAUAAUUCCAUAGAUCUUAAUUACUCCUUUAGACUUAAAUUCACAUAGAGAUAUGUUAGGUUAGUAAUUUAAGGAGCAAUCUGAUAUAUUUCGAGAGAAAAUAUUGGUUGGCUUAAGGAAUUAAAUCUCCAAAUAAAGCAUAACAGGAAUUAGGUCAAGCAAUCAAUUGCAUGAAAAGUGUUUGUAGUGAAAUCAAAAGCCCUAGAUCGUUUAAAGCAUAAGAGUUUGAAUUUAUUUUCUAUAAUUGUUUAAGUUGCUUUCUUCUACAACUUUAAAUAUUCGGUUGAUCAAAUAGUAGUAGAAAUAAUAAAUUUUAGUAAUUAGUAGCAUAGUCCUUGUGGGUUCAAUAUCCGUACUUAGGUACAAUUAUAUUACUUGAAUGAUUCGUAUACUUGCAAACCAACACAUCAAUAGGGAACCAUUUCUUCAUGUCUUUCUUCAUCGCAAUAUUGUUAGUGUUCAACAAUAUGUCUUCAUUACCCAAACAAACCUAUCUUUUAUUGUUAAUAAGUUUGUCAGUUCAUGUCUCAACUUACUUCUACAUAUUGUUUAUCUAUGAAACACACUUUGCAUUAUUUGAUAGGAUCUUUAUAUUAGUAUCCUUUUACAAGAAAUUGAUCGUCUUCAUUUUCAAGCUUAUUCAAAUUCUGAUACAGUCUAGGCUCUUGUCCUAAUGACAAGAAAAACAAUAAUGAUUAUUGUGUCUUCCUUAGGUUGAAUUUGGCUUCUUAGUCCUCUAAUAAGCAAUGGGUUAUUUCAAGGAGUAGUGUUGAAUUAGAAUAUUGUGGUCUAACUACUACAAUUACUAAACUCACUUAGAUCUACUCUAUGCUUUAGGAACUGUGUAUAGCAUAGGUUACCCCUCCAAUUCUGUGGUGUGAUAAUCAAAAUACUGCUUAUCUUGCUACAAAUCCUAUCUUUCAUGCUCGCCUGAAACAUAUUGAACUCGAUAUCUGACAAAAUGUUACAUAAUGAACUUGUUAUUCAAUAAAUUCCCUCUACUGAUCAACUUACUGAUGUGCUUGUUAACCGAUUGUAGUAAACUUUGUGUUGUUCCCAAAUUGAUUAACUUGCGACGGGAUGAUAAAGAGUAGAUUGCCACCUCAACCUAACUUCUAGAAUAAUCUAUUAGCUGCAACAACUAUUUGUUAUGGAUACUACACACCCAUGUUUUGCUCUUGUUAGAUCUAGUGAAUUAGACAUUAAAGCUUAAAUAAAUAUUUAACAUCACAAGCUCAUGAGUUAGGUGAUUUUUUAGUUCAUUCUCUAGAAUUUUCAAUUUACUUCCAAAGCCUAUAAAUGACCAAUUGUUGAAACAUUGUACUAACAUAUUUUUUUUUUUCCUCAAAGCAUAAAAAUCACAAAUUGUUCGAAUAUUGGAUUGACCUUUUUUUUUCCCUUAUACUUUCGUAGUUGAAUUCAUAAUUUUAGCAAUAAAAAGGGACUAAUUACUUCCAUUAUUGAUAUUGAUGAAACAAUUCCAAUGUAUAUAUAUUGACUAGAUUUAAUUCAGUUGAUUUGAGAUUGAGGAUGAUUUUAUAUGAAUUUAAUGCAUUUUCAAGAUGUUUCAAUGAAGAAUUAAUAGAUAGCAUUUAGUAUGAUUACCAAAUUUGGCUAAAGAAAAAAGGAACUAAUGCCAUUGAAUGAUGACUUAUUCUCUUCCAUUUAAUAAAGGUUAUGUUUUUUAUAUUAUAUAUUUCUUGAUGUAAUUUUCUUUUUUUCAUUCUUCUAGGAUAACUCAUGAGUUUAUUAUUAUUUUUUGGAAUAUAAGAUUUUGCUCAGAGAAUUAGAAAAUGCAAUGAAAUUGAAAAUAUAUAAUUAAAACUUGAAUUUUAAUUUAAAUUUGGGGCUAGAAUAAUUGGCUCUAAUAUUCUAGGCUCCACUACUAAUAACUUUCUCUUAUAGAUUCCAACCAUUCCAAUAUCAUUUGACCAAUUACAUCACUAUGUUUAUCAUUCAAUCUCUUGAAGAUGUUUUCCACAAUUUCAUUGAUGUAUUUGGACUCAUACCAACCAAUUAUAAAUCAUAAUAAAACAUAUGGUGAGUCAAAUGAGCUACAAAAUAAUGAUAAAAGCAACAUGAGGAAAAUUUUAUAAUAUUUUUUUAUAAGCAAAUGGUAGUAAAUUUUAUGCUUAAAUCACAUCAUGACUACAUGAUUAGUAUCCAUGUAAAUGAAGCAAUAUCUUAGUGAGGGCUCCCAAGCUCCUAAUUAAGUAUUAUUAUCAUGGAAAAGAUGAUGUAAGGGUGGUAAUUCUUGAUUAAAUCAAACUAUAAAUAGGAUUUGAAAAUGACAUGAAACUAGUGAGUUCCAUUAAUUGAUGUUGAUCGAUCAUAUUCUAAGUUGAAGUUUUCAACCUGAAUGUAUACUUCAUUUUUUUCCUCUUAGUAUUGUUAUCCUAUGAUUGUCUUCCCUCAUCCAUGUUCCUUCAUUGCAUACAUACUUAGGAUCCUUUUCUAAGUCAUUUAUUGUGUCCUUAUUAGUUGUUCAUUGUUACUCAUCUUAUCACUGUUUUUGGACCUCUUUUAGGGAUAUAUAUUAGAAGGAUUUUGUUUUUCUAAUAUGAUUUUAGUAUCCUUUAGUUUUAGCUUAAGAGUUUGUUUUCAUUCGUAAGUUUUCUUUUGAUUUUGGUUUUUCAACUUGUUUUUAGUUUAGCCCCUUUAUCUUUGUUCUUAGGUAAAUUCAUUUAGUUGCAUUUUAGGAAAAUUCACUCAGUAGUUGAUUACUACUCAAAAAGUGCUCUUUUAUAGCUUGUUAUAAACUCUUUUAAACACUUUUGAGUAGUAUUUAUUACCUUUUAACUCAAUUGGCACAUUAAAGACCCUUGCAAAUGUUUCUAAUCAGGUUUUGGCAAGUUUUGGUGUUUUUGAUAGCUUUUUUAUCAUUAAAACGAGCCAAGAAUGAAGGAGAAUUUUGUAUAGUCCAUGGCAAAGCAAGUUGAAGCUCAAACACAUGAAGAAUUCAAGGUUUGGAGAGCUUCGUAGCCUUUUCCAAAUCAAUCAAGUAUGCAAGGAAGAGAAUCAAAGAAGAAAUCUAACAUCCAACAAUUUCACCUGGCUAUGAGAAAUUUUCGCAUAGCAUGUGAAAUGUCCAAAAGGAGUACAAGCUGCAGGACAGAGAGCAAGACUGUGAAAAAUGAAUUUCGCACCCUAUGCGAAAUUUCGCAAGCCUUGCAAAAAUCCUCCUGUGUAAUUUUCAGAUAUUUUUGCACCUACUCCGUCAGAUUUUUAUCUCGAGAUAUUUUGUGUAAUUACCUAUUUUAUCCUUGUAAUCAAUUAAAGAUAUUUUUAGAUAUUUAGGAUAUCUAAAUAAGGGGUUAAAAUAUCUCUUUAUAUAUGUCUUAAAAUAUCUCUUUUGUAAGCUCUCGGAAGAUUUUCCAGAGAACACUUGUAGAUUCUUGUAGUAAGAAAUACACAGAGCUUUGCUCUGCCUUACCUACUCAUUUUGUUUUUAUUUUCUUUCUAGCCAAACAACCUCUAAUGAUGUUUUCUCAGAGGAUGAGUGGCUAGGUUUUUCAUUUCUUGGACUGAAGGAAGCUAGGUAAGGGAUCCAGAUACAAAGGUGGGAGUUUUCCUUGUUUUAAAUGAGGAGAGUUGUUACCCUUUAAUGGUUUUUAUUUUUAAGGUUUAACUUAAAAUCCCUUCAAAUCAUCUGGGCCAAUACUUGGUAAGCUUUUCAGACUUCCUGGAGAUCCAUUAGUUAUCUCUUAUGAGCCUCUAGGAAGUGGUUUAAAGGUAGGAUUACCUAAAAUGACCAAUACUUGGUAAGCUUUUCGGACUCCCUAGAGAUCCAUUAGUUAUCUCUUACGAGCCUCUGGAAGGUGGUUUAAAGGUAGGAUUACCUAGAAUGGCCAAUACUUGGUAAGCUUUUCGGACUCCCUGGAGAUCCAUUAGUUAUCUCUUACGAGCCUCUGGGAGGUGGUUUAAAGGUAGGAUUACCUAGAAUGACCAAUACUUGGUAAGCUUUUCGGACUCCCUGGAGAUCCAUUAGUUAUCUCUUACGAGCCUUUGAAGGGUAAUCCAAGGUUAGGAUCACCUUGAAUGGCCAAUACUUGGUAAGCUUUUCGGGUUCCAUGGAAUCCAUGGAUGUCUAUUAGUUAUCUCUUACGAGCCAUUGAAAGAUGAUUCACAGUGAGAGGUCUUUAGUGUUUGAAACCAUUAAUGGGAAGCAACUACAGUUUUUCAUGGACCAAUGGGAUCAAAUCUUGAUUGCUAAAUACACACCGGUUCGGGAGAUAACCAUUCUUUAUGUUAUUAUCCCCAACGCGAGGAAAAGAUCCGGAAUCUCCUCCUUUUGUCUAAGGAACCUGAACCUAGUGACCUAAAACUCUAAGAAAUCCUUUUCUUUGUAAUUAAUCUCAGUUACUAUUUUUGGUUAACUUAAAACCAACCUUUUUCAACCAAAAUUAUGUUUUCUUUUAAAGCUAACUCAUAAAAGAAAAAGCAUCAUUUCAGUACUUUAACUAAUAUCACUUGUAAUAUGAAAACCCAUCCUUGUGGACGAUCCUAGAACCACUAUACUAUGCUAGCUAUGCUACCCUAGUGUAUGGUGAAUUAGGUUUAUAAAUUUUGUUGAUAACUCCCGUCUGAGGACUGAAUCAAAUAGAUCACCAAUUGGGGACAAAUCAAAUGGCGUCGUUGUCGGGGAUGGUGCCACUUCACAGUGAUAUAACCUUUACAAAACACUUGUGAUCUUCAUCACAAGUUUGGUGAUUUUUCUUUUCUUUUACUAACUCUUUUUAUUUGUUUUCAUUUUAGUUUAUCUUUUAUCUAGUUUUUAGUUAACCUUAAUUUUUUUUUUCUAGAAUUGUAUUUCUUUUGUUUUCUGUGUUUUUGUUUCAAUUAUUGCUAGUUGUGCAUGCCCUAUUGGAUAUGAGACAAUGAGGGAAGACUUAUGAAAAUCGAAACUCCUCACGAAACAGAGUUGGAAUUGUGCUUGAACGUCAUGGAAGCUACACCUGAAGAUCAGCAUAGUCAACAUGCUCAGGAGGAGAAUUUCAACGCAUACCGAUCCAUGAGGGACCGCAUGCAUGCACCUCGUAUGAGUGCACCGUCAUGCAUAGUGCCACCUACAGAGCAACUGGUGAUCCGACCACAUAUUGUGCCACUUCUACCUACUUUCCACGUGAUGGAAAGUGAGAAUCCCUACGCGCAUAUCAAGGAAUUUGAGGAGGUUUGUAAUACUUUCCAAGAAGGAGGAGCUUCAAUCGACUUGAUGAGGCUCAAGUCAUUUCCUUUCACCUUGAAGGAUAAGGCCAAGGUCUAGCUUAAUUCUUUAAGGCCAAGGAGUAUUCGAACUUGGACUGAUUUGCAAGCUGAAUUUCUUAAGAAAUUUUUCCCGACCUAUAGGACCAAUGGCUUGAAAAGGCAAAUUUCAAACUUCUCAGCUAAAGAGAAUGAGAAAUUCUAUGAGUGUUGGGAGAGAUACAUGGAAGCUAUCAAUGCUUGUCCUCACCAUGGCUUUGAUACAUGGCUAUUGGUGAGCUAUUUUUACGACGUUAUGUCUUUCACUAAUGAAGCAACUCCUAGAAACUAUGUGCGAAGGAGACUUCAUGAGUAAGAAUCCGGAGGAAGCCAUGGAUUUCUUGAGUUAUGUAGCUGAAGUUUCAAGAGGAUGGGAUGAGUCGAAUGCUAGAGAAGUGGGAAGAAUGAAGUCUCAACUUAAUGCUCCUAAUGCUAAGGCUGGAAUGUAUACUUUGAACGAAGAAAUCGAUAUGAAAGCAAAAGUUGCAGCUAUGGCAAGAAGAUUGGAGGAGCUAGAAAUGAAGAAGAUAUGAGAAGUGCAGGUCAUUUCUGAAACACCAAUGCAAGCUAUGUCGUGUUCCAUUUGUCAAUCUUUUGAGCACUUAGUGGAGGAGUGUCCUACGAUUCCAAUUGUGAGAGAAAUGUUUGGGGAUCAAGCAAAUGUUAUUGGACAAUUUAAGCCCAAUAACAAUGCUUCAUAUGGCAACACCUACAAUUCAAAUUGGAGGAACCAUCCGAAUUUCUCAUGGAAACCAAGGGCACCUCAGCACACACAACCUGGCCAAGCACCUCCGUAAGCCUCAAAUCUUGAACAAGCCAUUAUGAAUCUUAGAAAGGUCGUGGGAGACUUUGUUGGAGACCAGAAAUCCAUCAAUGCUCAGCUCAGUCAAAGAAUUGACAGUGUAGAGAGUACAUUGAACAAAAUAAUGGACGGAAUACAAAAUGAUCUAUCUCAGAAGAUAGAUAAUCUCCAGUACUCAAUCUCAAGGCUCACCAACCUCAACACAGUAACAAAGAAAGGAAAGUUUUCUUCUCAACCUCAUCAGAAUCCCAAGGGUAUCCAUGAAGUAGAGGCUUAGGAGGGAGAAUCUUCACAUGUGAAACAAGUCAAAGCAGUUAUCACUCUAAGGAGUGGUAAAGAGAUUGAUCUGCCUACCUCCAAGCAAGAGCAUGAACCAGAGAGUGAAACAUAGAAAGAAAAGAGGAAGGAAAUCAAAGGAAAGAAAAAAGGGAACAGUGCAAAGAAUGAGGACCUUGAAUCUACUGUGAAUGAAGAACCAGAGAGGACCAUCAACCAAGAAGAUAUGAUGAAGAAACACAUGCCUCCACCUUUCCCCCAAGCUUUGCAUGGCAAAAAAGGAAUCAAUAAUGCAUCAGAAAUUCUUGAAGUGUUGAGGCAAGUGAAAGUUAACAUCCCUUUGCUAGACAUGAUUAAACAAGUUCCGACUUAUGCAAAAUUCCUGAAGAACUUAUGCAUUAUAAAAAGAGGGUUGAAUGUGAAUAAGAAAGCCUUCUUGACUGAGCAAGUAAGUGCCAUUAUACAGUGCAAGUCUCUAGUGAAAUACAAAGAUCCAGGUUGUUCUACCAUCUCAGUGAUUAUUGGAGGGACGUGUGUGGAGAAAGCUUUGUUGGACUUGGAGGCAAAUGUGAAUUUGCUACCCUAAUCUGUCUACAAGCAAUUGGGACUUGGAGAGUUGAAGACAACAUCAAUCACUCUAUCUCUAGCAGAUAGAUCUGUGAAGAUUCCAAGAGGCAUGAUUGAAGAUGUCCUAGUUCAAGUUGACAAAUUCUACUACCCAGUGGAUUUUGUUGUUCUUGAUACAAACCCAGUUGCCAAAUGAACUAACUAUGUUCCUAUCAUACUUGGAAAACCAUUCCUAGCUACAUCAAAUGGUAUCAUCAAUUGUAGGAAUGGAGUCAUGCAACUUAUGUUUGGCAACAUGACGUUAGAGCUCAACAUCUUCUAUUUGUGCAAGAAACAAUUCCAUCCAGAAGAAGAAGAAGAACCAAAAGAGGUGUGCAUGAUUGACAACUUAGUGGAGGAGCAUUGUGAUCAGAAAAUGCUCAAAGAUUUGAAUGAAAGUCUUGGGGAUCUUGAUGAAGGGUUACCUGAACCCUCAGAUUUGCUUGCACUUUGCCCCCUUGGAAGAGGAGGGAAGAAAUUCUACCUUUAUUCAAUGGGGAGGAGACACAAGAAGUUGUUAAGGAGGAGCCCCCAAAGCUUAUUCUGAAGCCACUACCCACGGAGUUGAAGUAUGCAUACCUGGAAGAAAACAAACAGAGCCUUGUUGUUAUUUCUUCAUCUCUUACCACUCCUCAGGAGGAUUGUCUACUUGAAGUCCUCAGGAGAUGUAAGAAGGCGAUAGGGUGGCAAAUAUCUGAUCUGAAAGGGAUCAACCCUUUAGUUUGUACCCAUCAUAUAUACAUGGAAGAAGAAGUUAAGCCAGUUCGAAAACCUCAGAGAAGGUUGAACCCUCACAUGCAAGAGGUGGUGUGAGCUGAAGUGCUUAAGCUACUUCAGGCUGGUAUUAUCUACCCCAUAUCAGAUAGCCCAGGGGUGAGUCCUACGCAAGUCGUGCCAAAGAAAUUAGAGAUCACGGUGGUGCAAAAUGAUAAGGGAGAAGAAGUUUCUACACACCUCACUUCAGGUUGGAGGGUGUGUAUUGAUUAUAGAAAGUUGAAUGUUGUAACAAGGAAUGACCGCUUCCCGUUGUCGUUUAUUGAUCAAGUGCUUGAGAGGGUCUCUGGCCAUCCAUUUUACUAUUUCUUGGAUGGCUACUCCGGGUAUUUUCAAAUGGAAAUUGAUGUUGAAGACCACUUUCACAUGUCCAUUCGGAACCUACACAUACGGAAGAAUGUCUUUCGGCUUAUGCAAUGCACCCGCAACAUUCCAAAUAUGCAUGUUAAGCAUUUUCAGUGAUAUGGUGGAGCGUAUUAUGGAAGUCUUUAUGGACGAUAGCACCAUAUAUGGAAGUACGUUUGACGAAUACUUAAUCAACUUGGAAGUUGUUCUGAACCGAUGCAUUGAGAAACACUUGGUGCUUAACUAGGAGAAAUGUCAUUUCAUGGUACACCAAGGGAUUGUCCUUGGGCAUAUUAUCUCAAAGCAAGGCAUUGAAGUGGACAAAGCAAAGGUUGAACUUAUUGUCAAGUUGUCAUCGCCAACAACUAUCAAAUGAGUAAGGCAAUUCCUUGGUUAUGCAGGGUUCUAUAGGAGGUUUAUCAAAGAUUUCUCUAAACUUGCAAGACCUCUUUGUGAACUAUUGGUAAAGGAUGCUAAAUUUGUAUGGGAUGAUCGAUGUCAACGGAGUUUUGAAGAACUGAAGCUAUUUUUGACAACCGCUCAAAUACUGAGAGCUCCCAACUGGCAAUUGCCCUUUGAAGUGAUGUGCGAUGUCAGUGACUUUGCUAUAGGAGCUAUUCUUGGGUAAAGAGAAUAUGGAAAGCCCUAUGUGAUCUACUAUGCGAGCAAAACGUUGAAUGAAGCGCAAAGAAACUACACAACCAUAGAGAAAGAAUUGUUGGCUGUAGUUUUUGCCUUAGACAAAUUCCACACUUAUUUGGUGGGGUCUUUCAUUGUGAUUUUCACUGAUCAUUCGACCUUGAAAUAUCUGCUAACUAAGCAGGAUGCAAAAGCGAGGCUGAUUAGAUGGAUUCUCUUGCUUCAAGAGUUCAAUCUUCAUAUCAAAGACAAGAAAUGAGUGGAGAAUGUGGUAGUCGACCAUCUGUCAAGGCUAGCCAUCGCAACAAAAUUCCCAUAGUUUGCCCAUUAAUGAUGAUUUUCCAGAGGAGUCACUCAUGUUGAUGAAAGUCGCUCCUUGGUAUGCUCAUAUUGCUAACUAUUUAGCUAUCGAAGAAGUUCCAAGUGAGUGGAAAGCACAAGAUAAGAAGCACUUCUUUGCAAAAAUUCAUGCCUAUUAUUAGGAAGAGUCAUUUCUAUUCAAAUAUUGUGCAGAUCAAAUAAUACGGAAGUGCGUCCCUGAACAAGAGCAACAGGGGAUCCUCAGUCAUUGCCACGAAAGCGCAUGUGGAGGCCACUUUGCUUUUCAAAAGACAGCUAUGAAGGUAUUGCAAUCGGGUUUCUGCUAGCCAUCACUUUUCAAAGAUGCCCACACCAUGUGCAGGAGCUGUGAUAGAUGUCAGAGGCUUGGGAAGUUAACACAUAGGAACAUGAUGCCUUUGAACCCCACUUUAAUAGUUGAUCUUUUUUAUGUCUGGGGCAUUGACUUCAUGAGACCUUUUCCUAUGUCCUUUGGCUACUCCUACAUCUUGGUAAGGGUAGAUUAUGUUUCUAAAUGGGUUGAAAUGAUCCCAUGCAAAUGCACUGAUCACAGAGUUGUUCUCAAAUUUCUCAAAGAGGACAUCUUCUCUAGAUUUGGAGUACCCAAGGCUUUAAUCAGUGAUGGGGGUACUCAUUUUUGUAACAAGUCGUUCGAAACUCUCUUAGCCAAGUACGGGGUAAAGCAUAAGGUAGCUACACCUUACCACCCUCAGACUUCUAGGCAAGUUGAGUUAGCAAAUUAGGAGAUCAAAAACAUACUGAUGAAGGUGGUGAAUAUGAGCAGAAGAGAUUGGUCUGUUAAGCUUCAUGAUUCACUAUGGGCGUACAGAACAGCUUACAAGACCAUUCUUGGAAUGUCUCCUUAUCGCCUAGUCUACGGCAAAAUGUUCCAUCUCCCCGUGGAAGUGGAAUACAAAGUUUGGUGGGCAAUCAAGAAGCUCAACAUGGAUUUGAGCAGAGCCGACAUGAAGAGGUUCUUAGACCUUAAUGAGAUGGAGGAACUGAGAAAUGACGCCUACAAUAAUUCAAACAUUGCAAAACAAAGAUUGAAGAGGUGGCAUGAUCACUUAGUCUCCCGCAAAGAAUUCCAGAAGGGACAAAGAGUCUUGCUAUAUGACUCUAAGCUCCAUGAUUACUACUCAAAAAGUGCUAUUUCAUAGCUUGUAAUUAACUCUUUUAAACACUUUUGAGUAGUAGUUAUCACCUUUUAACCCAAUUAACAUAUUAAGGACCCUUACAAUCAAUUCUAAUCAAAUUGUAUUAAGUUUUGGUGUUUUGAUAGCUUUUUUAUCACCAAAGCAAUCCGAGAUUGAGGAGAGUUCUUUGGAAUCCAUGGCAAAAGAUGUCCGGACAAGGCGUCCGGACACACCAUCGGAGGGCGGCGGAACGUGGGCUGUGGCAGGCUGUCGGAAUGACGUAGCAAGGCUUGUGCACUUUAGCCAAUGAUCCGGACAACAUAUCCGGAUAGGAUAUGCUAUCGUCCGGGGUGUGAUGAUCGCGAGUGUUGUGUGCUUCUCCCUGAGGGAGUCCGGAUAGGGGAGCGCGCCACAUAUCCUCUUAGAGAAUCCGAAUGGAGUUGCUCCGGAUAGCGAUGCGCACUCCGUGUCAUCAGGAGAAGGGGUCCCUACACCUUGCACACGCAGACAGCCCCCUUGCGAUGUGUGGCAUCGCACAUUCCACCCGGAUGUAUCACAUCCGGAAUUCUUCUCCGCCGACAUUCCAUCCGGAUAUUUCGCAUCCGACGUUUGAUGCCGGAUGGGAGAGGAGGGCGUUUCAACUUCCCCGGUCAGACAUAUCCGGAUCCUCUGAUAGCGCUUACCCAGAGAGUUUCGCAGCCAUUUUGCACUGUGACGCAGUGUUCUCCUGAAGCUUCCCGAUAUUUGCGACCGAUAUUUUGAGAUAUUUUGCUUUAGAUAUUUGAUGUCUAAAUCCCCAAACUCUCCUUGUAACCCACCAAUUAUAGGAUUCCUUAGUUAUUAAGUUUGGAAAAAUGAUGAAUAACCUUAUAUAUAUUAUUAUUGUAAUUUUCAUAUAAAUAUCUCUCGGGAGCCUAUUCUCAGGGAGACGACGCAUCCUUUGUACAGUUUUGCAAGGAAGUAAAAUACAGAGCCUUUGCUCUGCCUUACCUUCUCGUUUUGAUUGUAUUGUAUAUUAUUUAAUUUUUCUUUCUAGCCAAUCAAACUCUGAGGAUUUUUCCUCAGAGGAUGAGAGGCUAGGCUCUUCGUCUCUUGGAGUGAAGAAAGCCGGGUAAGUUUCCUCAUGCAUAAAUUGGAAGUUUUGUUGUUUUAGUUUUUAAUGAAGAGAAAGUGUGACCCGUUAAUGGUUUCUAUGUUUUUAGUUAACUUAAAACGCCUUUAAAUCACCUGGGCCAACACUUGAUAAGGCAAGUGGUCUCCAUCCAUUGAGAUGCACUAGUUUAUCUUUUGCGAGCCUUUGGGAGGUGGUUUGAAGGUAGGAUUUUCUAGAAUAGCCAACACUUGGUAAGCUUUUGGACUCCAAGGAGACAUCCAUUAGUUAUCUCUUGCGAGCUUUUGACGGGUAAUCCAAGGUUAAAAAUCACCUUGAAUGGCAAAUGCUAGGUGAGAGGCACGAGCCAUUGCAAGAUGCAUCAGUGAGAGGGAUUUAGUGUUUGAACCCAUUAAAGGGAAGCAUCUGUACCACACCGGUUAGAGAAUUAACUAUAUGUUAAUUCUCUAAAGCGAGGAAAAGAAACAAGUGACCGGAACUCCCUUUUUGUACAAGGAACCUGAGCCUAGUGAUCUAAACUCCAAGAAACACUUUUCUUUGUAAGUAAAAUCAGUUACUAUUUUUGGUUAGUUUAAAACCAAACCUUUUCCAUUCAAACAUCUUUAUGUUUUCUUUUAAAGCUAACCUUGGAAUGAAAAGGCACCAAUUCAGCUUUGAAUUAAUAUCAAUUGUGGAGUGAAAACUCAUCCCAGUUAACGAUCCUAGAGCCACUAUGCUAUAGUAGCUUUGUCUUUGCUACCCUAGUUCAUGGUGUAAUAAGUUAUAAAUUUUGUUGAUUACUUCCUGAGGACCAAAAUCAAGGGACACCAGCUGGACACGAAUCAAAUGGCACCACUGUCAGGGACCAUUGAGAUGACAGCUGAGACACCAAUUGGGAACGAAUCAUUCCACAUCUUCCCGGGAAAACUGAAGUCAAGGUGGAUAGGUCCGUUUACUAUCCAACAAGUGCAUUCAAAUGGAGUGGUGGAACUACUCAAUUCCAACAACAUCGAGAGUUUCAAAGUCAAUGGCCAUCGUCUCAAGCCAUUUGUGGAGCCUUUUUCUCUAGACAAUGAGGAAAUCAUCAUCUUUGAGCCACAUCAAGCUUAACAAGACAAGUGGUUAGAUGGACUUAGUCUGUCGAAAGACAUUAAGUCUAUAAUUUUUUGUUUUAAUGUUGAUUUAAAGUUUUAUUGAUUUAGUACUUGUUUUAAUUGUAAUUUCUUGCUUUAAUUUUAUUUUUUUGUGAUUUAAUUUAAUUUUUUAUGAUCAAUUGCAAGUGGAUUUCAUAAUAGAUGGGAAAAACCUUUAAAAAAUUUAUGGUGGAGGAAAAACAGAGCAUUUCGCACAUGCUGCGAAAAUUUUGCAAGGCUUGCGAAAAUCCCAAAUAUCAUUUCGCAAGGGGUACGAAAAUUUCGCACACCCUGCAAAAGCCAAUUCGCACACCCUGUGAAAAUUUCGCAAGGCAUGCGAAAAAUUCGCAUACCCACCUUUGCAUUGCGAAAAUGCCAUGCGAAAUUGCUUUGCUUUGCGAAAAUGUUUUGCGAAAACCUGUGCCAAAUUAGAGAGGGUAUGCAAACCCAUUUCACAAUCCUGUGCGAAGUCCAACAGCCGGUGCGAAAACCAACAGUCACUUAAAACUCUAUUUAAAGCCCUCUAAGCCCUAUUUUCAUUUCGUACACCCCAUCUACCCAUUGCGAAAGCCUCUAUCACCUUGCGACGCCCAAACUUCCAUCGUUUUUCUCCAUUGGACGCCCCGCGACCACCCAUUUGAAGAGGCGACCCCCACCGAACUUGAAGAACACAGACCCGAGCCUUUCACUCCAUUUUUUACAUGGCGCGAAUUAGAGGAGGCCAUACCGACUCUUCACUCUCUCGCGAGCCGAGGCCAAGAGCCUGCUCUCCUCAAGAUUCGACAUCUCAGGCCCUUGAGGCCCCAACCAUUCCAUCUUUUGAGGGAGGAGUGCCCUCUAAUCCUCCUCAACAUAGAUACGAGACGUGGAGACCACCGACUACACCUGGGACUACUUCUUCGCGCCCUGAGACCUCAAUACGUUGCACUCCAACUAAGAGGGCCAGGACUUUAGGCCCUGGAAAGUCGUCUAGAUCUUCACAGCCUGAUCAUAGGGCCCCUGUCGAUUCUCAGCGUCCUUCUAACAUGUCACCGGAAGCCAUCAUCAAACGACCUAUGGUCACCGCGCCGCCCAUUAAGGGCAAUUCAGAUUGUAGAGCCAGACCAUUUCAUUCCGAGCUAUAUUUUGACCUCGAGGUUAUGCGACAGUAGUCGGAGCUUCGGGAUUCAUUUGGACUACUCCAGAGGUACCAUCUCGAGCACCUUAUGACUCCCAGGGAGUUCUUUUACCCCAAAGUGGCAAUGGACUUCUAUCAUUCUAUGACUACUCAAGGCGCCUGGAGUCCUACCGCCAUUCACUUCAGCAUUGAUGGGCGCCAGGGUAUCCUUGAGGCUAGACACAUUGCAGAGGCUCUACAUAUUCCAUACGAGCUAGUGAAUCCAGCAGAUUGCCAGGAGUGGUCCCCUGUAUCUCAGUGGGACAUGGUCCGCAUCUUAUCCAUGGAAACCUUUGGAGAUUCAGUCCUUCUACGUAAGGAGCUUCCACCUAGGAUGCUCCUAGUAGAUGUGUUGCUACAGUCCAAUCUUUUUCCCCUUCAGCAUUUAGUGCAGAUGAGAGGAGCCAUUCUGAACGCUUUAUUCCGGAUAUCCAAGGGUUUCUAUUUCGGGCCACAUCACUUGAUUAUGGCCUCUCUCCUCCACUUUGAGGAGAAGGUUCACAGGAAGAAGCUCCAGAGAGCCGACACUAUUCCACUACUGUUUCCGAGGUUGCUAUGUCACAUAUUGGAGCAUAUGGGUUAUCCUACUGAGCCCUACCUUGAGCGCCGCCAUCAUUGUCGAGAGCGAUUCACUCUCAACAAAUGGACACAGUUGGCGGGCUAUUCGGCACCUCUAGAAGUCCCACCCAGGCCAGCACCUCCAGUGCCACCAUAGGCUGAGUAGGCACAACAGGAUGAGCUUCCCACGGAGUCUGUACCACCUACCCCUACAACACCUAUGCCUGAGGCCACUUAUACUGCUCCUCCUACCACUCCUGCCGUUCCACCAGUUGCACCUUCUAUAUCUGAGGCCUUCAUCACCAUUUCUGCCACAGAGUUUCGCGCCAUGGUACAUACAUUCCAGACACUGACCACUACACACAAUGCUUUAUUCCAACAGAUGGCCACCAUGCGUGCUCGGUAAGACCAUCAUACUGCUAUCCUUCAUCAUAUUCAGCAGCAUUGGGGACUUCUGCCACCACCUCAGCCUGACAUUCAUGGACCAUCACAGCCCAUAGCUCUAGUUAAGGAGACUAUUCCAGCUGAGGAGACCACUAAAGCCAAUGUCCCGAUCUAGCCUACUCAGGAGGCCACCACAGAGGCAUCACCUCCACCAGAGGCCCCCGCUACUUGAUCAUCUCUUUAUCAUAUUGUAUUUACUUAUUAUAUUAGUAGACAUAAUUACAUGUUUUGAUGUUUUAUAUUAUGGGAUUGGAUGUAUUACAUGAUCAUAUCUCACAUUGUACUUUCUCAGAGUAAUAUAUACACAUCAUUUUUUAUUAUAUUUGUCAUUCUUCUAUUUCCUCUACUCAUUACUCUUUUGUUUUUUGAAUCAUGUGGUUUAUCCUAUACGACUCAAACUCCAUGUCACUCAGGAGGUACCACUUCCUUCUUUUAUUUUCAAUCGCUCUUGCCACAUUGAGGACAAUGUUGAUCUUGGUUGAGGGGAGAGUUAAGGAAGAAAGUUUUGUUAAUAAUGCUAGGUUAUUUUGUUAAUUUAGGUCUUUUUUCUUAAUUUUAAACUUUUUGCUUAAUUUUAAAAGUUUUUAUUCUACCAUCCAUGAUUAUUAAGAAAAUUUUCUCAAAAGGAAAUGGGAGAUAUUGAAUUCUUAUCUUUUUACUUGAAUCUUAGAGUUUAUAUUAUGUGUAUUGAGGUUGAUGAAUUAUUGAAAAUCCUAUUGAAUUCAACCUUAUUUCUUCCACUUUAAUCUUACCACACACUAUGCACAUUAGGUUCCAUUUAUAAGAUGAAAAACUAUCUCACCCCCUAAACUUAGGAAAACUUUGACUUAGUACCUUUGACCUCAUUUUAAUAGUAUUGGGACACCUUAUAAAAGGCCAAUGAGCCUUUGAAAAAAAAAAUAAGAAAGAACAAAGUGUUUCGCUUGCCUUGAAACCCGAGCAAGAUCCGAGGGGUUUAUGGCGAAAGUCUUUAAAACCCGAUGCCCUAAACCUUUAUUGGUUGGGAGUCACCAACCUCAAUGCUCGUUGCAAGGGUGAAUAGGUGGAGUUUAACAUAUUGUAGGUGCUUGGGUAUUAAAUGUCAAUCUCAAAAGUCCGGGGUAAAAUCUGAAGAGUUAGUGGUCGAAAGAUCCUUAAAGCUUGAUGCCCUAAACCUUGAUUGGUUGGGAGCCAUCGAUGGAUCCCUAUUACAUGGACACUUUAGAAAACAAUACCUUAAGCAUUGCACACUUACAAUGAAAAAAAAAAUUUGUGAAAUAAAAGAGGUGCGUUUUUAGCCUAUUGGAGGUUGGUCAGUUUGCUAAAGUUUGAGAAAGAACUAGGUUGGGGGGAGAGAUUAGUUCAGCAUACUAUAUUCGGAAACUAAUAAGCUUAACACAUAGAUUUUUGUGCAAUAGUAAGGAUUGAGGCUAUGAGAGUGGAAAUCCUUUUAAUACUUAAAUUUGCAUAAUGCCUACUUUUUAUGAAUUGUGAUCAGGCAAGAUAUUUGAUAAAUUCUUGUUGAAGGUUGAGUUUUGCUUCUUUAAUGUCCCAUGAGAGAGUAUGCUCUACAUCAUGCCACUUGAAAAAAUUUUGGAGUGAUCAGCAUGAUUUUGUAAAUUAUUUUACUGUCUAUUUUUCAUUUUUCUCUCCUUCAUUGCUAAGGGACUAGCAAUAUGUCGGUUGGGGGGAGUGAUUACUACUCAAAAAGUGCUCUUUUAUAGCUAGUUAUAAACACUUUUGAGUAGUAUUUAUUACUUUUUAACUCAAUUGGCACAUUAAAGACCCUUGCAAAUGUUUCUAAUUAGUUUUUGGCAAGUUUUGGUGUUUUUGAUAGCUUUUUUAUCAUUAAAACAAGCCAAGAAUGAGGGAGAAUUUUGUAUAGUUCAUGGCAAAGCAAGUUGAAGCUCAAACACAUGAAGAAUCCAAGGUUUGGAGAGCUUCGUAGCCUUUGCCAAAUCAAUCAAGUAUGCAAGGAAGAGAAUUAGAGAAGAAAUCUAACAUCCAGCAAUUUCGCAUGACUAUGCAAAAUUUUCGCAUAGCAUGCGAAAUGCCCAAAAAGAGUACAAGCUACAGAACAGAGAGUAAGACUGUGAAAAAUGAAUUUCGCACCCUAUGCGAAAUUUUGCAAUCCUUGCGAAAAUCCUCUUGUGUAAUUUUCAGAUAUUUUUGCACCGACUCCGUUAGAUUUUUAUCUCGAGAUAUUUUGUGUAAUUACUUAUUUUCUCCUUGUAAUCAAUUAAAGAUAUUUUUAGAUAUUUAGGAUAUCUAAAUAAGGAGUUAAAAUAUCUCUCUAUAUAUGUCUUAAAAUAUCUCUUUUGUAAGCUUUCGGAAGAUUUUCCAGAGAACUCUUGUAGAUUUUUGUAAUAAGAAAUACACAGAGCUUUGCUCUGCCUUACCUACUCAUUUUGUUUUUAUUUUCUUUCUAGCCAAACAACCUCUGAUGAUGUUUUCUCAGAGGAUGAGUGGCUAGGUUUUUCAUUUCUUGGACUGAAGGAAGCUAGGUAAGGGAUCCGGAUACAAAGGUGGGAGUUUUCCUUGUUUUAAAUGAGGAGAGUUGUUACCCGUUAAUGGUUUUUAUUUUUAAGGUUUAACUUAAAAUCCCUUAAAAUCACCUGGGCCAAUACUUGGUAAGCUUUUCAGACUCCCUGGAGAUCCAUUCGUUAUCUCUUAUGAGCCUCUGGGAGGUGGUUUAAAGAUAGGAUUACCUAAAAUAGCCAAUAAUUGGUAAGCUUUUCGGACUCCCUAGAGAUCCAUUAGUUAUCUCUUACAAGCCUCUAGGAGGUGGUUUAAAGGUAGGAUUACCUAGAAUGGACAAUAUUUGGUAAGCUUUUCGGACUCCCUGGAGAUCCAUUAGUUAUCUCUUACGAGCCUUUGAAGGGUAAUCCAAGGUUAGGAUCACCUUGAAUGGCCAAUACUUGGUAAGCUUUUCGGGGUCCAUGGAAUCCAUGGAUGUCUAUUAGUUAUUGACCGAAAUUUCUCUAUUGUACCAAAAUACUUAGCCUUUUUACGUAGUAACUCUGGUCAAGAAAAACUAGAGAAAGAGUCACUACGGCUUUUGUAGUAUUCCGGGUAUCGUUCUCAAGGACUGGCUUAUGAAAAUUGUCAAUACUAGAAUAAAUGAAUUGUUUUUUGUUUAAAUCCUUAAGUGAAAAACAAUAUGUGAAUAAUGUGAAACUAAGUAAAAGAAAUUGGAUUAAUAAGAGAAAAUGAAUAUUGAUUUUAAAUUCAAUUGAUUCAAGUUUGGGGUUUUCCACAAUCCAACCUAGGGUAUAGAAAUUAUAGAAAACAAGGGUAUUUUAAGUAAUAUGAUCUUAGGGUUUUGGGAUCCUUGGCCACUCGCGAUCAAGUUGGGUUCUAUAACUCAAAAUUGCAUCCGAAACCUAAUUUUUCCUUUUUCAAACAGAUUCCUAAAACCAUCAAAUGAAUGAGAUUGAUUAUCAAUUUAAGAUUUGGCUUUUUAACCCUUCCUACUCCUUAUAGCUUUGUUUAGGGGCAAAUAACGGUAGGGAAAACGAGGAUAACUAAUGAUCAAGAAUUACCAAGAAUCACUAGUAUCAAGUAAUAACCUAUCGUAUCAUUCCCUAAACGAACUCACAAGGAUAGGAUAAAAAAAUAUAAUAAAUUGUCACCCAACCAAUAAUUAAUCUCAUUGUUAUAGUAAUUUACCCAUUGUCCCUAUAGGUUUCCUAGCCCUUAGGUUUUCAUGCUUCAAGCCCCAAGUUGGCUCUUAGCCUCUCAUGGGGGUGAUGUCACAUUCACAAUCCAUAGUAGGGUAAAAAUCCAUAAUUUGAAUCAAAAGAAACUAAAAACAAUAUAUUCAAGAAAGAAGGAGAAGAAAACAAACCAAAGUUCUCGUCUUCUUCCACCUUCAAUGUCAAACUCUCUAGAAAAAAAUCCAAGAUCCAAGAUCCCUAAAACCUAGAAUUGAGAGGGUUUAUAUAAUAUCCUCAAUUACCUAACAUGUGGCACACUCUCAUUGGCCACUUAUUACAAAAUAAUUUCCUAAAAAUGAUUAAAAAAUAAUAAAAUGGUGAUUUCUAGUCGUGUGGGGUCCACCUAGGCCGGAUGGAGUGCUUUAGAUGCAAUUCCCGAGGUAGAGGAGGCGGAACAUCAAAGUGGCAGUGGGUGAAUUCGAAAUUGGUGUCAUUUCGAAGUGAAUUUCGAAUUCAUAAGUUGAAUAUAUGCAAUUCCCGGGGUAGAGGAGGCGGAACAUCAAAGUGGCAGUGGGUGAAUUCGAAAUUGAUGUCAUUUCGAAGUGGAUUUCGAAUUCAUAAGUUGAAUUUCGAAAUCAUAAGUUGAAUUUCGAAAUCAUUUCGAAAUGACCCUCCAGCUUGGUGCAGUUGUCUUCAAAUGGCCAUAACUUCUUCAUUUCAGCUCCAAUUUGCAAACCGUUUGAAGCGUUGGACUCCUGACUUCCCGAGCUUCGAAACGAUAUAUAGUAUGUAUAUAAUGGACUCCAGAAAGUGCUCAAAAUUUGUCCUCAAAGUCAGAGUAUAUAAUGCCAUCAGAUUUUUGAGUUCUAAAUUUCCAUGUAGCUAAAUCUUGCUUCAUGCCUCAUUUCCCAUGCUUCCUUGCCUUCUUUCUUACUCCAUAAUGGUCAUUUAUCAUCCUCCAACCUCAUGAUAUCCUUGUUUUGCCUUUCCUUACAUUCAAUGAAUCUUGACUCACUUAUGUCCUCAUUUAGCCCUUUCUUGAUCUUUCAAAAUCUAAAGUCAUUCAAUUUGCACAAUUUUCUUCCCUUGAACCUGAGAUAAAUCUCCAAAGUAUAGAUUAAACUCAUGGCUAGGGCCUUAGCAUUGAUUUAGGUCAAGUUGGGUGAUUUGAAUGUCCUUUGGUGCACAAAUCAUAUCGAAUAUGUGCCAUUAGAGCACAUAUUUUGGCUCCAAUCAGUUAUCUCUUACAAGCCAUUGAAAUAUGAUUCACAGUGAGAGGUCUUUAGUGUUUGAAACCAUUAAUGGGAAGCAACUACAGUUUUUCAUGGACCAGUGGGAUCAAAUCUUGAUUGCUAAAUACACACCGAUUCGGAAGAUAACCAUUCUUUAUGUUAUUAUCCCCAACGCGAGGAAAAGAUCUGAAAUCUCCCCCUUUUGUCUAAGGAACCUGAACCUAGUGACUUAAAACUCCAAGAAACCCUUUUCUUUGUAAUUAAUCUCAAUUACUACUUUUGGUUAACUUAAAACCAACUUUUUUCAACCAAAAUUAUGUUUUCUUUUAAAGCUAACUCAUAAAAGAAAAAGCACAAUUUCACUACUUUAACUAAUAUCACUUGUAAUAUGAAAACCCAUCCCUGUGGACGAUCCUAGAACCACUAUACUAUGCUAGCUAUGCUACCCUAGUGUAUGGUGAAUUAGGUUUAUAAAUUUUGUUGAUAACUCCCGUCUGAGGACUGAAUCAAAUAGAUCACCAAUUGGGGACGAAUCAGUAGCACUUUAGGUAAAUUCAUUUUAGUUGCAUUUUAAGAAAAUUCAUUUAGUUGCAUUUUUAGAAAAUCAUUUAGUUGCAUUCUAAGUAAAUUCAUUUAGUUGCAUUUUAGGUAAAUUCACUUAGUUGCAUUUCAGGAAAAUUUACUUAGUUGUAGUUUAGGUAAAUUCACUUAGUUGCAUUUUAGUAAAUUCACUUAAUUGCAUUUUAGGUAAAUUUACUCAAUUGCAUUUUAAGAAACUUCACUUAGUUGCAUUUGAGGAUAAUCCACUUUAUGUAUUUUUAGGUGAGUCUCAUUUUUGCAUUUUAGUGAAUUUCAUUGGUGCAUUAUUGUAAUUAAAUUAUUGCAUUUUUAGAGAUUUUUCAUAACAUACUUUGAAAGGUUUUCCAUCUUCUAUAAGAGGACAGUAUGCAACAUCAGUUGGCACAACAAACUCUGAGUGCCAGGAAAGUUCUCUUCUUUCUCGGAUUGACCACCGCACUUUAGGUAUCUCAUACUCAACUGGUACUUGUUCAUUGUGCUCUGGAACUACUUUAAAAGAUUUUGGUUAUUCUUGUUUUGAUUGUUUGUUUCCAAUUAAACUUAUAAUGUUCAUCUUUUUCAUCAAUGUGUAUCUUCUUCUUCACUCUGUAGCAUGUCUUCUACAAAGAUGAUAUUUCUACUGAUGAUAAAAUUGCAAGCAAUGGGAUCUCACAAGCGAUACCCCUUUACUCCAUUAGUAUACCCCAAGAAUAUGCAUUUUCUGAAUUUGGAUCCAACUUUAUUCUUUCUUGGUCAUUAUACAUCACAUAAGCAGGACACCCAAAUAUAUGUAAGGAGGAAAAGUUCGCUGGCUUACUAGUCUACAUAUCCAUAGGUGUUUUCAUCUCAAUUGUUGUUGAUGUAGACCAAUUAAUUAUAUAGCAAGCAGUUUUGGUUGUUUCGGCCCAAUAUGUUUUGGGUAGUCUUGCAGUCUUCAAUAUAGCUCUCAUUCCUUUUGCAACAAUUCUAUUUAUCCAUUUUGCUACACCAUUUUUUUAUAGAGUAUAAGCAAUAGUUUUCUGUCGUUGUAUGUUUUCCUGACUAUAAAAUGCAUCAAACUCCUGGCUACAGAAAUCUCAUAUAUUGUUUAACCUCAAACAUUUUAUCUUUUUUCUCAUUUCAAGCUCCCUCUAGGCUUUAAACGCUUUGAAUACUGGAAAAACAUUUGGCUUUCUCUUAAUAGGGUACACCCAACAUCUUCUAAAAUAAUCAUUUACAAACAACACCAAAAUGCUCCCAAGAUAUGUGACUGGUGAUUCCCAAACAUCAUAAUGAACCAAGUCUAGAAUGCUCUUACUUCUUUUCGUAGAUCUACUGAAUCUUAAUCUAUGUUGCUUACUGAUAACACAAUGCUCACAGAAUAAUAAACUUGUAGUUUUGAGUUCAGGAAGCAACUUUUGAUCAGAAAGAAUUUUCAAUCCUUUUUCUUUCAUGUGACCAAGUUUGUGAUGCCACCAUCUCAUUGUUAAUUCUUCUCCAAAGUUUGCAACAAAAGUCUCUACUUGUUGAUAUGUCCUCUCAUGCAACAUGUAUAGAUUUGCAGUAAUAUUUUCUGCCUUCAUCACCACAAGUGCACAUCUAAUAACCUUAAUGAUUUCCUUUUUAGCAUGGAAUUCAUAUCCAAUGUCAUCUAGUUGUCUUAUUGAUAGCAGAUUUUUCUUUAAGCCUUUUACAUGUCAUAUCUCUAGAAUAAUGUGACUCACACCAUCAUUCAUCUUUACUUUGAUGAAGCCCAUGCCAACAAUCUCCAAAGCAUGAUCAUUACCCAUAUACACUAAUCCUCAUGGGAUAGGUUCAUAUUGGUGAAACCCUUUUCUAUGAGAAGUCAUAUGUCAUGUUGUUGUUGAGUCAAUUAACUAAACUUCAAAAAAUCAUUUUCUAACUUCUACAAUUGUUGUUGCCUCAUUGUAUAAGAUUUUGUCUUCAUUUGAAGUACUUGCUACACAACUCUGAGUAUUUGAUAGCUCAAGCUCUUUCUCUUUCAUGUUUUUAUCUACUUCUCCUUUGAAAUGCCAACACUCUUUUUUUACGUGUCAUUGCUUUCCAUAGUGAUAACAUUUAGCUUUCUUCUUACCUUAGGACUUUGAUCUAUUUUGUUUACUCCCACUAGAACCACGUUUUGUUGAUCUCCCUUUAGAGAUAAUUAGAGCCUCGAUUUGCUGAGAAGAUAUUAUGUCUUCCUUGUUUUUACGCCUACUUUCUUCCUCAAGUACAAUAGUCGCAACAUCAUUAAAGACUAGCAUUAUCUACAAUGCACCAUUGGCCACAUUUAUGAUGAGAUGAUCAUAUGAAUCAAGUAGACUUUGGAGUAGAAGUUCAACACGUUCCUUCUCUUAUAUACUAUGUUUUAUAGCUGAUAGUUAAGAAAAUAGAGUUUUUAGGGUGUUGAUGUGUUCAAUCACCAAAGUUGAUUCUAACAUCCAAAGAGUGUAGAGUUUUCUUUUCAAGAAUAUUUUGUUGUGCAAUGACUUGGCUUCAUAUAAGUUUGUAAAAGUAUCCCAAAUUUCUUUUGCUAAUUAAUUGUAAUUUUAACAUGCUUGACAGUAUAUUAUCUGCUACUGCUAAAUGCAAGCUUGCAAUGAUAUCCCCAUCCAUUUGCUUUCACUUUUUAUCUUCAACAUUUUUUGGUCUUUCACCAAUUGUUUCUAGUUAAUUUUCUUUCCUCAAGAUGGCUUUCAUUUUUAUUUUCCACAGCCCAAAAUUGUUCCCAUUGAAUUUUUCUAUUUCAAAUUUUGUCGUCAUUUGUUUCACUUUUAUAGUGAUUAGUAACCCAGAAUAGGAGUAAGUGGUUGUGUUAAAUACACCAAAAAAGUCUCGAGGAAAGUAGAUAAGUCAUAGUGGUCCCACUCUCCUUAGGCUCUAAUUGCCCUUUUUGAUAGAACAUUCCUAGACAUGUACUAACCACACAAGUAACCAUCUAUUGUCCUAAACCAAAGCUCUAAUACCAUUGUAAUGAAAUGAUACCUAGAGCGAUAAUUUGAAAAUAGAAUAAUAAAAAAUAAAAAUGGAAUAAUAAAUAAAACAAUAGAUAAAACAAUAAAUAAAAUAAUGGACAAAAAUACUUACAUGAUAAAACCUUCUUAAUUAAAAUGGAAACUUCCACGGGACAAGAUAAAAAAAAUAUCCAUUAUAUGAAGACAAAAUUUCAACCUCCCUCUCAAUUAAAAUGAAAGAACAUAAAAGCUUACAAAAGAAUGAAAUCCUUUUUUAGGAUGAAUAGUAUAAGGGGUGGAAGCCUUCUUUCAUAGGACAAGGAAGUUCUCCCUUUUUUGUUUUCUUCUGAUGUGGAAUGACUUCAACCUUAACAAAAUACUGGAAAAACUAUUUGUCCUCUUUCUUUCAUGCACUCCAUGAUCUUGGUCAAUUCAUCUAAACACCAUUUCAAUUGAGCAUAAUAUUUUUUUUAAAUGAUCACACCCUUGAUUCUUCAAUUGUUUUCAAGAGUGAUCCAAUCAUUUCUCCUCUCUGAAGUUUGUCAUCUUUAAAGGUGUCAAUGUGUUUUGGACCCAAUGCCUUGAAGAGAUGAUGGGUGAAACCAUCAUGAGUGUCUUCACCUCUAAAACUCAAAAGCACAUCAUAUCUCCAAUAUUCGAUAGUAUGAGAAGAAGGAGAAACUCUUUUCAUACUCAUGGAAGCCAUUGUUAGGUUGUUUAUGGCCAAAUUAUAGGGUAAAUGAUAUUUAAGCUCCUUUCUAAGGGGGGAAAUAAAGUGAUGUAGGAAGCUAGGCUACUUUUUGUGAUUUUCUAAGAAGUUUUAAUCUUGGAAGAUAUCAAGAAGGCAUGAAAUUUAUGUGAAGAAUGAAAGGCUCUUUUGAGGCUCAUGGAAGCCAUGUAAGAAUUUUAAGUGGCCCAGUGUAUAUUAUUAUGUGACAUUUAAAUAUCAAAUUAAACAUUAUGGUCGAAUAAAUAAUAACGUUAAAAUCCUAUUCGUUAGUUUUCAAGAAGUUAGUUUCCUAAAUUAAAGGCACUUUGAUGGAAAAUGUACUCCUUAUUCUAUAAGGAAAUUGAUCUUCUCUUCACCUUAUAAAAUAAAUGUUAUAUUCCAUCAAUAAUAUAUAUGAGAGAAAACCUAAGGGUAAAAGGGUUAAGGGAGAACAACACGAUUUCUACUAUGUUUAUUGUUUGGUCUCUUCAAGAAUUCUCUACAAAUUAAAAGUAUAUCUUUUCUCAAUAAUGGAAAUGUGAAAAAUCAUAGUGUUCUAAAAUCCUUAGCUAUUAUGAUUUAUGCAAAAUUAGGGUUUGAUUUGCAUAAUUAAAUCAUUACUUUAGAGUUUAAUUGGUGAGCAUAUAAUACCAUUGACAUAUGUUGAUGAUUAAGUAACGUGUUGUGGACUCGCAUUUUUCACGUGCGUUCUCACUCAAACGACGAGACUCAUUUUUUAUUUAGUGAAAAUUUUAUUUUUUGAAAAAGACUUAGAGUCGCCACUUAUUUUAGUUUUUUUUAAAUGAAAACAAAAUAAGAAAGAAAACCAUGUGUGACUUCUUAUUUGGGAAAGACAAAUCUAUAAAAAUUGAGUUUAGAUAUGAGGGUCAGGUUACCUAUGGAGAAGGUACACUUAUAAGCCAUAACACUCCUCUAAACCCAUAUACCUACGAUCUCUACUAAAUGAAUCAAGGGAAUUGUGAUAAUUAAUUAAUUAAUUAUAGAUACCGAAAUUAAAGACACAAAUCAAAAUACACAAAAAUAAUUAUAAAAUCAAAUUACAAAAAUGCACAAGAUAAAUGAUAUGAGAAUUAUGAAAAAUGAUUUAUUGAACUAAUUAAUUAAAAAAAUAUUUCAAAAAUUAGUUUUUCAAGAAAUUUCAAAGGAUUUUAUUAAAAACAAUUUUGAAUUAAUAAUUUUAAUUUGUUUAUUUACAAAAAAAAAAAAGUUUCAAUAUAUUUUUAACAAGUGAUUUGAUUCAAUUUCAUUUGUAUUCAAUUUUCAAAAAAGUUAUUUACACUUAUUUUAUCAAAAGAAUUUAAUACAAAAUUUCAAUUUGACAAUAAAAAUUAUUUUUACUUCUUGUUACUAGAAAAAGUUACAACUUUAUUUAAAAAGUCCUUCAAUUUAAUUUCUAUUUACAAAGGAAUUCAUUUCUUUACAAGCUUUAUUUACAAAAAUAUUUUCGAUCCAAUUUAUUAAGAAAAUGGUUUUUGCAACUUGAAUUUGCAAAAAUGACUCCCCUCUGAUUCUCAUUAAAAGGUUAUUUUAAGACCUUCAUUUACAAAAAUUACUUUUAAUCUCAUUCUAAUUAAGGAAAUAGAAUUUAUUUAAAAAAUAUAUUUUUUUGGACAAUUUUAUUAAAAAAAAUAAUCUUUUGAGAAAUAUUAUUUAAAAGCUAGUUUUCUGAACAAUUUUUUUUAAACAUAAAUUUUCAGACAAUUAUUAUUAAAAACAAUUUUUCGAAUUUUCUUAAAAACAAAUUUUUUUGGAUUUUUCUGAAAGCAUUUUUAUGAAUUUUUAUCAAGAAAACUUUAUUUUAUAAAAAAAUAUAUAUUUUCUGAACCUUUAUUUUUAUUAAAACAAAAUUUCUAAGUUAUUGUUCAAUUUUGUUCACACCCAAUAAAUAUAUACAUAAAAAUAUUUACAGGAAUCAAUAACAAUAAAACUAAAUGGAAGUGGAAAAUAAAACGUAUAUCCCAACAAGCCUACAACAAGUUCAAUGCUUCAUUUAUAGUUUUCCUGAGCUUUCUUUCCUUCCAUGAAAUUCGAUUUUCCACUUGUCAUUGAUCUAUAUUCAAUGGAAGGAGCCCAUUCAAAACAAAAUUAAACCAAAUGUAAAUAUCUAGAAAUGUACAAAGUCCAAAAUAAAUAUUUAAACUUAAAUUCAAACUUCAAAUUAGUCAAAUAAAUUUUACUAAUUAAAAAAGGGCCCAAAUUAGUAAAUAAAACUCAACAAAAAUAACCCACAUGUUAUAGGCCUUAGUCCAAGAUCUCCAAAUUAAUAACUAAAAUACAAGCACAAUUAACCAAACCUAAAAUUUGAUAAUUAAAACAAAUUCCAUUAGACCUAAAUUUAAUAUCCCAUAAUCUAAAAGAAAUUAACCCAAUUUAAUAUGUAAACCUAAAUCCAUAACCAAAAUCAACUCAAUUUAAUAUGCAAACUUGAAGUAACACCCAAAAUAUACCACAAUUAUCUCAUAACAAAUCAAAUAAUUUAAAUGAACAAAAUCCAUAUCAAUUAUAAAUCCAUCCAACAAAUUUCAUUAACAACAAAUAAACCCAAAUUUUGUAUUAAUUCAUCAAAGCUCACAUUCCAUAUUAAUUCACCAAUUCAAAUCUCACAAAUAAAAUAAAAUAAUGCAUAAAAUAAACUUACACAUUUUUUUGGAGACCAAGAAUGAAUAGGAGAGAAAAAAAUGGCAGUGGAAUUGAGGAGAGAAAGAAAAGGAAAAAAAGGAAAAAAUAAUAAUAAAAUAGGCAAAUGGGUGAGGUGAGAAAGGGAGGGAAGGGGAAAAUGAGAAAGGGGAAAAGGAGAUGGUUGACCGACAGUGGCUUGCCAAUGACGAUUGGCCGGCCGUGUUGUCCACAGUGAAGGUUGAGUGAGUGUGGUGAGAGAGAAAGAAAGAAGAAAAGAAGUAGGAAAAAAAGAAAGAAAAAAAAAUGGGGAAGGGCAUGUACAAUCUCUAAAAGUGGGUUGUCUCCGUGAUGUGGGGGGGUACGGGAGAAAGUGGGGGUAGGUGGAAAGAGAGAGAAGAGAGAAAAAUAAAAUAAAAUAAAAUAGAGAAAAGAAGAAAAUGAAAAAGAAAAAAUGUAAAAUAUAAUAAUAAUAAUAAUAAAAUGUUCUACAAAAUAAUAAAACUAAGAAUUAAAUAGUGUCUAUGGACAAAAAAAAAAUAGAUGUAAUCAAGUUUAGAAUGUAAAGAUAAAAUGAAGCUCAAAAUCAAUGUAAAAAUAAAUAUGAGACAAAUUUUGAGGUCUAUCCAUGUAUACUUUUGAUGUUAUUGUGAUGAAGUUUAUGAUAAUCAAAGUUUGACUUUAUCAAUUUUUGAUAUAUUAUAUAUAAUGUAUGUUUAUGGUUAAUAUAUAAAGUGAAUGACUUUCUUAAUUCAUGAAAUUUAUUGAAUUGAUUUAUACAUCAACCACUUUUGAUUGAACCAUAAAUAUGAUUUUGUUCAUGUUGUUGCAUCUUUAUCAUCAAUAGAUUCUAUAUGUAAGUGAAAUAGAUUAUGUUAUAUAUAUAUUUAUGUCAAUAGUGAAUUUUGUAUCUUUGAUAGUAAUGUUUUAACGAUAUAUGUACUAUAUAUAAAGAACCAAGAAAAUAUUAGAAGGGUAAACCCAACGAGAGGAAGUACUACCUAAUUCAUAAAUAGUACAAAAUGGUGAUAUGGUGGUCGAGAAAAUACCUUCCACGAAAGAACCUAAUGGAUCUCUUUAAUAAAACAUUAAUAGGCGUCACAUCACUUGUGGCUGGUUUGUGUACCGCUUCCCCGCUUCAUCAAUUGGUGUCAAGUCACUCACAUCAAAGCUUCAUUCAGAAUAACCACCUUGAUGGGCCUUAAUGUAAUUAAGGAAUGUGGAAUUGGUAUAGUGUAUGUUAAUGAAGAGAUGAAUUACUCUAUCUUCACUCCUCCUAAUGAGUCAUCUGUUGUCCUUCAAGAAAUCCACGAGGAGGGACCUAGUGCAAGCGGGUGCUCUAAUAUUGAACUCUGAUUACUAUUCUGCUGAUGAGGGGGAACCCACUGCACCCCUACUGUAAGGAUCACUCUGAAUCAGAGAUGUAGCUAGAGCAACGGUUGCAAUGCAGCCAUUAUCAGAGCAUCCCUUGGCGAGGAGGAACCGGGCAGACAAAUGCUUGAUAUGCACCCAAAUCUUCCGAUAUCAACUAUUGGUGAGCUGUGUGCUUCCUUUGUUUCUUAUCUUGAAACUGACUUUGUUCCUUUGUUUCUAAUAUUUUUGAAACAUCAUAACCAUUGGAGUUUUCGGGUUGUGCAGUAGUGGUGUUGCUGACAAGCUUUUGAAGUUUGAUACAUGCUGGGUGGUUGUUGCUGGUUUUUGCUUUAAAUUUGCCUUGAUACAUGUUGAGUUGUUUAGCAAACUCACUCUUGACAGAUUUUGGUUAUUCUUUCCCACAUGCUAAUGUGAUAUAUCUCUGUUCAAAUUCCUAUUUUCAUUCUUAUUCUCAUAUACUGAACAUACACCCUUAAGGGCAUAUGUUCUCUUCUAAUGUUAGAACAAAAAGGAUCAUGAUAAUUUUUUUUUGGGGAUGGGUUCUUUUGGCUGAAUAUGAUAGAGCUGUUAACAGUUCAUGGUUACUUUGUAAGAAUUGUAAAUUCUUUGGUUGAUUUUUAUACCAUAUUUUGUAGUUUCAUUUUGAUGGAUUCUAAGGUAAUCCAUGACUCAUUUAUCUUCAUUUUGUUAGUAAUGAUGUAUAAGAUACUUGCAGCCAAUGUUUUGAAAACCGGACUAAACCGUUAUCGGCCAUCUCUCAGGUCGAGUUUUCCCUAGGGAACCAUUUUCAUAUUAAACCGGGCUUGAACUGCUCAAGUCGGUCUGGUUUGCACCAGGGAACUAUUUUCAUAUUAAAUCGGUGUUAAACCGCUUGAGCCAUGGUUGGAUCAUUGAACCGGACGGACCGUUCGGCUUCCUAAGAAGCAGUCAAGCCCAAAACUGGGCCAAACUUCCACUUGUUGUAGAAGCCCAAUAGGCUCUACAGCCAAUCAUCCAUUAAAAGCCCAAACCGGUUGAGCCCAAGAGGGUUUAAACGAGCCAAAGCCCAACCCAAUCCGAUGUGGGAUUGAUUCCAGGUGGUAAGGAAAAAAAGUUGUGCAUGCUGCAGGUGGAUUUGAGGUCAGCUUUAAAAUCAAGGGCAAGGCCAUUGAGCUAUAUGCCAUCCAUGUACAAUAAUGCUGUAAAACUAAAUAUAUAGAAAGAUUAAUGGUUUUUUUUUCAAAUAUUUUCAUGUAAAUAUUUACGUUCAUGUCUAUUUGUAUAAUAAUAAUUAUGAAAAUAAUGUAAAUAAUUAAUAUAAUAAUUUUAAAGUAAUAAAAUACAACGAGAUAAAAUUAAAUACUAUGAUUUUAUUUUCAUCUUAAAUACUUUAUAUUUAAAUAUUAUACAUAUUCUAUUUAAUAAGGUUUCAAAUAUUAAUAUAUUUACAUUUAUCUUUAUAAUUUAAUUUGAUAUAUCUAAUAUAAAAUUGAAAUAUUAUUUAAAAUUUUUAUUAUAUAUUCUAAAUUUUUUAUAAUUAUUUUUUUAUUUUAUAUAAUAUAUAAAUUAUAUAAUUAUUACUUCAUUGAUUCUAUUGUGGUUCAACCAUCGAUCCAAUCAAUAAACCACAAAUCGAUAACUUUUUCAAUCCAAUAACGGAUCUGGUUCUAAUUAUUACAAAUGGAAGUAAUUUAUUGCUUUGAGAAGGUUAAGGAAGGAAAGAUAGAAUAAGUCCUCCUCUAUCGAAGUCCCCUUUGGUAACUGGUAACAAAACCUAAGCUCUCCCUUGUAUAUUUCAUGACAUAAUUUUAAGUAAAGAGGUAUAUUUGGCAAAUAAUCAUUCUCUUCCCCUUACUUCCAUCCUGCUCACCGUCCUAGGAAAAAUUUAGCAUCUUCAACCUUGUACCACGCGUGCUCUCGGGUCCUAUGGCUUUGUUUCUAAUCCCCAUUUGCAAAAAGUUCAGUGUGUGAAGCCUAAGGGUCUUAACGAAAAAUCAUGGUAUAAAAUGUGAACCAACCAAAAGGCUUUAUCCAAUUCUUGUGGCCAUGCAAAGCCCUUGUCUUUCUCUAGCCGGAGACUUACUUGCAAGGCGACGGAAGUGUCGGUGGCGGAGGAGCCGUCGGCUGCGGGGGAUGGCGAGAACUGGGUGCCAGUGGUGCCGCUGUCGGCAUUGCCCAAGGGGGAGCGGCGCGUGAUUAUACAGGACGGAGAGACGAUUCUGUUGUUGUGAUUAUACACGAAAUUUAUGUGAAGAAUGAAAGGCUCUUUUGAGGCUCAUGCAAGCCAUGUAAGAAUUUCAUGUGGCCUAGUGUAUAUUAUUAUGUGAUAUUCAUUUAAAUAUCAAAUUAAAAAUUAUGGUCAAAUAAAUAAUAAAACUACCAGAAGUUAAUUUCCUAAAUUAAAGGUACUUUAAUGGAAAGCGUACGCCUUAUCUGAUCUUCUCUUCACCCUGUAAAAUAAAUGUUCUAUUUGAUCAAAUACACAUAAGAAAAAACCUAAGAGUAGAAGGGUUAAGAAAGAACAACACGGUUUCUACUUUGCUUAUUGUUUGAUCUCUUUAAGACUUCUAUAUGGAUUAAAAGUAUGUCUUUUCUCAAUAAUGGAAUUGUGAAAAUCAUAUUAUUCUAAAAUCCUUGACUAUUUUGAUUCAAACAAAAUUAGGAUUUGAUUUGCAUAAUUAAAUAAUUACUUAUGAGUUUCAUUGGUGAGCAUAUAAUACCACUGACAUAUGUUGAUUAAGUGACAUGAAUACUUUUGAUGUUAUUGUGAUGAAAUUUAUGAUAAUAAAAGUUUAUUUUAUCAAUUUUCAAUAUGUUAUAUACAAUGUAUGUUUAUGGCUAAUAUAUAAAGUGAAUGACUUUCUCGAUUUUUGAAUUGAUUUAUGCAUCAACCACUUUUGAUUGAACCAUAAGUAUGAUUUUGUUCAUGGUAUUACAUCUUUAUCAUCAAAAUAGAUAUAUAUCUAUAUGUAUGUGAAAUAGAUUAUGAAAAUACUAGAAGAGUAAACAUAUUGAAAGGAAGUACCACCUAAUUCAUAAAUAGUACAAAAAGGUGAUAUGCCAAUUGAGAAGAUACCUUUUGUAAAGAACCUAAUAGAUUCUUAUACUAAAACACUUAUAGGAAAAGUCUUUGAUUGUAACGGGGACAAUAUAGGUGUCAAAUAUGCACCUAAUUUACUUUUAUAGCAUUAUGUUUUGAGGGCUAAUGGAAGAUUGUUAGGAUAUCAUCCUACAAAGCAUUACAUGAUAUAAUUAGAAAUUUGGAUUUAUCAUUUAUUUAAUUAUAUUCUAAUUGCUCUUUUAUCUAUGCUUGUAAUAGAGAGUUCCCUAUAUUCAAAUCCCAACCCUAAUAUCAUAUAAAAUAAAGUUUCAUGCUAGUAGAAUAUCUAAAUAUAUUCUCGGUAGUUUUUGGUCAUCAUUGGCAUAACUUUGGGCUAUGCACAAUAACUUUCCAUAUAUUUGGCUUUUAGGUAUAAAUUUAAUUUCUAUAUGAAAUCGUUCAAUAUAUAACUUUUUGCUACAUGAGUCUAAAAGUUAUUAACUUCCAUGCAUGGUGCGACUGGUGGGGUUUCCAAUCACUUGGAAACCAUGUCCAGAUACAUAUGAAGAGAUCAAUAAAACCAACCUUCCACUUCCUACAAUAAUAGUUUACCAAGUGUAUCUUCAAUCCUAAGCCAGUCUGGUAUUCGGUGUUGCAGCUCCUGUAAACUGGCCUCUGCUUGGUCCAGCUCCAGAUAAAGCUGCUCUACUUCAGCUAUCUUCUCAUUCAAGCGCCUACGAAUCACGUCCCUCUUGCCCUCUGCUUGUGCAUACUCAACUAAAGGUUGCACUCCUGUAAACUGGCCUCUGCUUGGUCCAACUCCAGAUAAAGCUGCUCUACUUCAGCUAUCUUCUCAUUCAAGCGCCUACGAAUCACGUCCCUCUUGCCCUCUGCUUGUGCAUACUCAACUAAAGGUUGCACUCCAACAAAUGGGCUUCUUAACCAAUCAACCUUAACCCGCGCCCUUGAAAAGAAGAAGAAUUAGCUGAAUUAAUAUUAUUGAUGUUGAAGUGUGUAUUUAUACAAGGAGGUUUGAGAUCUUUUUCUACAAAUCAGAAAUCAGCUUACCAUAUUCUAGACUAUCCAGCUAUAAGUCAGGAAUUACAAUAGGAAAACUAACAUAUACAGAUCAUCUAUUCUUAAUAUGGAAGAUUUAGGAAGAUUGACUUUCCAACACUCCCCCUCAAGUUGGAGAGUGGAUAUCCUGCACUCCCAACUUGCGAAUCAUAGGAGCAAAAAUCUCCUUUCCCAAUGGUUUAGUUAGAAUGUUUGCAAGUUGGUGUGCUGAGCUCACAUGUCUUGUAAUAAUGGAACCAUCUUGGAUCUUGUCCCUAAUAUAGUGACAAUCCAUCUCAAUAUGUCUAGUACGCUCAUGGAAAACAGGGUUAGCUGCAAUGUGCAACGUUGCCUUGUUGUCACAAUACAGCAAGGCAGGUUCCUGAUGUAAAACAACCAAAUCUUUCAAAAGGUACCGAAGCCAUGUCAACUCACAACAAGCUCUUGUCAUUGCACGAUACUCUGCUUCGGUUGAAGAGAGUGACACUGUUUUCUGUCGCUUUGAUCUCCAAGAAAUCAAUAAAGGUCCAAGGAAUACACAGUAGCCUACAGUGGACCUUCUAGUAAGUGGACAACCUGCCCAAUUAGAAUCACAGUAGGCUCUCAAUCUAAAAUCAUUAUUCGAAGAGAAGAACAGACCCUGACCAGGUGUAUUCUUGAGAUAACGUACAACUCUGAACGCUGCUUCCAUAUGAGCCUUUCUCGGUUGAUGCAUAAACCAGCUUAACACAUGAACUGCAUAAGUGAUAUCUAGCCUCGACAUAGUUAGAUAUAUUAACCUUCCAACCAAUCUCCUAUAACGACCUUGAUCCUUGAGCAAAUCGCUCUUAUCAGACAAUUUCAAUCCUCGUUCCAUAGGUGUAUCAAUAGGGGCAGCGCCCAACAAUCCUGCAUCCUCAAUAAUCUCUAAUGCAUACUUACAUUGGGAAAUAAAAAUCCCAUUUUUAGAAACAGAAACCUCAAUGCCAAGAAAGUAUUUUAAAUCACCCAGAUCUUUGAGAUGAAAAUGACUAUGUAGAAAUUUUUUUGUUGUAGCAAUGCUCACAGGAUCAUUUCCAGUAAUCAGAAUAUUAUCAACAUAUAUCAAGAGGGCAGUAAAGGACUUGCCUUGUUUUCUGGUGAACAAAGAAUAAUCGACUCGAGAUUGUGCAUAACCGACGGAUUGAAUAGCUUCUGAGAACUUGGCGAACCACUGGCGAGAAGCUUGUUUCAGACCAUAGAGUGAUUUAUGAAGGCGACAUACCAAGUUUUCCUCCCCCUGUCGCCGAAGCCCUAGCGACGGAGACAUAUAUAUUUCCUCAUGUAAGUUGCCAUGAAGAAAAGCGUUGUUAACAUCCAUUUGAUGAAGAGACCAGCCACGGGCUGCGGCAAUGCAAGCAAGCAGCGGACAGAUAUGAUCUUGGCGGUGGGGGCAAAGGUAUUCUGAUAAUCGACACCUUCUAAUUAAGUAAAGCCUUUCGCUACCAAUCGUGCUUUGUAACGCUCAAUAGACCCAUCUGAACGGUGUUUAAUUUUAUACACCCAUCGACAGCCAAUCGUUGUCUUACCGGCCGAAAGUGGAGUGAGAAACCAAGUGUCAUUAGCUUGGAGAGCCUGCAAUUCAGAACACAUUGCCUCCUGCCACUCAGGAUGAGCGGCUGCUUCUAAAUAAGACCUGGGUUCUGUGACAGCACUAUGUUGAGCAACAAAAGAUCUAUAUGCAGGCUUAUAUCUGUGAUAAGAAACAUAAUUGGCCAGUGGAUGUGUACCUUUAGUUGGACCUGGAAUCAAGAAAGACGAUUGAUUGGAGGAAACGUGGGAACAAACAUAAUCGUGGAGCUUGAUUGGCGGGGCGAUAUGGCGGCUGGAGCGACGAAGAGGAGUGGCUGGUUUGGGUGAGUGUGUCUCGGCUGGAGGAACGGACGGGAUGGAUGCAAACGGUGGCACCGGAGAAGGCGAUACUAGAGUUGUAGAAGGCGGUGGUGAAGGGUUUGGAUCAAUCUGAGAAGAAGGUUCGAUAAUGAGUUCGGAAUGUCGAGAAAGAGAGGAAAAGUCGUCAUUUUCUGUGGUGGGAGACAGUGUGCUUGUGUGGUUGGAAAGAAGAGGGGAAAGUGCGUGAGAAGUAGAGUCAAGGGAGGAAGAGAUGUCGUGGGCCACCAAGGGGAUUGGGCCAGAAUUAUGGGUGAACGAAGAGAGAGUAGAGUUGGGCUUGAGAGAGACAUAAGGAAAAAUAUCUUCAUGAAAUUUGACAUCUCGGCUAGUAAAGACCUUUUUGGUUGAUAAAUCAAAUAAUUUGUAUGCUUUCUGACCAACAGGAUAACCAAUGAAGAUGGAUGGCAUGGCACGGUAAUCAAAUUUGUGAGAGGUGUGAACAUUGGUGGCAUAGGCUAAACAUCCGAAAACACGGAGAUGGAGUAAGAAGGUGGUUUUGAGUAAAGCAAUUCAAAAGGAGUUUUGAAAGACAAUAUUGGUGAAGGUAACCGAUUGAUGAUGUGUACGGCAAUGAGAGCACACUCCCCCCAAAAUUGAGUGGGAACUUGAGCAUGGAAUUUCAAAGCUCGGGCUACUUGUAAAAUAUGACGAUGUUUGCGUUCCACAACCCCAUUUUGUUAAGGCGUGUAAACACAAGAAUGCUGAAAGAUGACACCAUUAUCUUGAAAAAAAGGAACGAAGUGAGGUAAAUUCUCUACCAUUGUCACUUCGAAAAGUUUUAAUGCGAAAUUCAAAUUGUGUGAACACAUAGCUGAAGAAAUGUUUUAAAAGUGAUUGUGCUUCAUCUUUAUAUCGCAUUAAAAAUAUCCAAGUGAAACGUGUAUAAUCAUCGACAAUAGUGAGAAAGUAAUGGGCACCAAACAGAGAACGGUGUCGAUAACGACCCCAAAUGUCACAAUGAAUAAUCUCAAAAGGUUUUGUAGAAGAAAUAGCACUAGUACCAAAAGGUAAACAACUUUGCUUAGCCAAAGGACAUAUAGGGCAAGCAUUAUUGGACUGAACAAAAAAAUUCAAAAAAUUCUUGGCAAUGAAACUCAAACGAGAAGGUGAUACAUGGCCUAAGCAACUGUGCCAGAGAUCGGUGGAAGAGAUGGCGAGAUUGCAGGCUGGUUGGUUUGUGGAUGAGGAAUGGUUGGUUAAAGAUUUCUCCGUCGCUAGUGCCACCAAAUAGUAUAGUCCGUCACGUUGUUUACCCAAACCAAUCGUCCUCCUCGUAGCCAGAUCCUGCAAAAUACACCAAUAAGGGAAACACGUCACUGAACAAUUUAGACCUCUUGUCAAACGACUAACUGAUAUUAAAUCAACUUUGAAUGUAGGCACAGAUAAGACAUCAUGCAGAUAAUAGACGGAAUUCAGAGGCAAAGUCCCUUUCGUAACAAUAUUCGUUUUUUCUCCACUAGGCAACAAUACGAGCGGUAACGAGCAAUUUUUAUCUUUAUGCAAUAACUUAGAGGAUGAAGUAAUAUGAUCCGUCGCCCCACUAUCAAUAAUCCAAUUGCGAGAAGCGACUUUGGACAAACCUGGCUUUGUUACAGCAUUCACUUUGGAACUAGAGUUUUCAUCUUGGUUAUUAAGAAGUGACAAAAGUUGCUUGAGUUGGGCUUCUGACAAUGCAACUGCAGGUUUCCCUUCAUCUGCCUCAGAAACUUGGUUAGCUGCAGAAAAACUUUUAUUUCGAUUUGAGUUUGAGCCUAAGUUUAUUCUUGCUUUUGGAUGGUCUGGUGGGUAUCCAUGUAGUUGAAAACACUUUUGGACCCAAUGACCCAUAUCUCCACAAUACGAGCACUGGGGGCGUCCUCUUCCAGAACCCAUGCGGCGCCAAUCUUGAUCAAAAAAUGGUCUGCCAUCUUGUCCCUGAGAAGACCGAUUCACCCGGAAAUUUUGAGAACUAGAGGGGUGAUCAGUCGGUUCCAUCCUUCCUGUGUUCGAUCGAUCUAUUCCAUCCUUCCAAGUUGCCGAAGACUUGUCGUUGCUACGCACAGCCAUAGCAGCACUUGCGGCAGAUUCCGCUGCUGCGUUCGUCGAAGUGAGGAGGCGUUGUUUUUCUUCUUGAGAGACAGAGGAGUAUGCUUGGCGGACAGAAGGAAGAGGAUUCAUCAGGAGGAUUUGCCCGUGAAUAGCACUGUAAGAUUCAUUCAAACCCAUCAGAAAUUGCAUCAAUUUUUGUUGAUCUUGUUGUGCCCCAUGUGAUGCAGCGUUGUAGGAAGCCAGUUCAUCCCACAGGCCUUUCAAUUUUGUGUAAUAGGCAGAGACAGAGAGUUGCUCUUUUCAAAGACAAGCAAUAUCUCGCUGAAUUUCAAAGAUGCGAGGCGCAUUGCUCUGAGAGAAUCGCUCACAGAGAUCUUCCCAAACUUCAUGAGCAGUAGAAUAAUAGAUUACACUGUCCGCAAUUUCUGGAUUGAGAGUAUUGACGAUCCAGGAGUGAACCAUGUCGUUACACCGUGACCAAGUCGCAUAACCUUCAGGAUCAAUUUCUUCUGAAGGAGCCUUGAUCGAGCCAUUAACAAAACCCAAUUUGUUCUUGGAAUUUAAAGCUAGAAUCAUAGCCCUUUUCCAAGCUGAAUAAUUGUCUCCAUUCAAAGAUUUGGAAAUCAAAACCAAACCUGGGUGAUCUGAAUGGUGAGUGAAAUAGGGAUUGGAGAGAUCUGCCUUUGAGAAAUCCGUAGGAAUCUCUAAUUUUGCCAUGAUGAUUGAAGAAAAGAGAUGCUAUACGAGAGAUUAGAGUGUAGCAAUAAAUCAGGAUUUUAGUCCUGCUCUGAUACCAUGAAAAGAAGAAGAAUUGGCUGAAUUAAUAUUAUUGAUGUUGAAGUGUGUAUCUAUACAAGGAGGUUUGAGAUCUUUUUCUACAAGUCAGGAAUUAGCUUACCAUAUUCUAGACUAUUCAACUAUAAGUCAGGAAUUACAAUAGGAAAACUAACAUAUACAGAUAAUCUAUUCUUAAUAUGGAAGAUUUAGGAAGAUUGACUUUCCAACACCCUCUCCAAAUCACUCAAUGCUCUAUCAAUGAAGUAGGUGUCUGCACCAGACAGGCUACAGGCAGUAUUCUUCUGCAUCAGCUCCACAAUCUGCAGUAUGGAACCUUUGAUGAUCUCUACAAACUGGGGUGCUGUAAAGGAGCAAUUGGCAGUUACGUCUCCAUAUUUGGUCCAUAUUUGCUGCCAAAUCGACUCCCUGGUAUUGGAAGUUACACCAGAUCCCUCAACCAUCUCAAGAAGCCCUGCAGCAGCUGUGUUAGGAUCUGUGAGAGUUUUGUCUGUGUCCUCAGCUUCAGUUGGAGCGAAGGAAGUUUGGAUCUCCUAAAGCCCAAAAAAGAGAAGGAAAAGUAUAGAACUUGUGCUUGGAAUUAACCAACAAAAAAGAUUAAUUUUGAUGUAAAAGUGCCCAAGGAAAAAUAUUUUGGUAGUUUCAGUUGAAAAUUUUGACAAACCUUGUCAGCUCCCGAAGCACCUUCCACUUCAUCUGAAGGCCAAUUAAGUGUAUCUAGGCAUUGCAACCUGUGAUUAUGCUCAAGAUGAAGUUUUGUGAUCACCCAUUGUCCAUUGUCAAGUUUGACUUGGAUCUGGACAUUGCAACCUGUUCUUGUUUCUGAUCUCUGAUACUUUGUUCCCUGGUUGGGAUGCUUCUUGGUCCGGAAGCCUUCACAUGAACAAAGAAAGCAUCGCCCUUUCAGUGUACCAUUUGCUUUCCUUUGUACCUUUCCUUUUCUUACUGUAAAACCAAUUCUCUUGGCAUACUUUUUACAAAAUUCUUCAGCUUCUAACUCAGAAGAAAACGCCAUCCCUCUCCGUGGUAUCUGAUCAUCGUCUUCAGGAUUUUUCUCAUUUACAUUAACCAAUGUUCCAAUCUCAUCACCAUUUACAUUAAUAGCCAUUUCAGUCUCACCACUAUAGAACGAACUCCACCAAGAAUCAAAAUUAAGCUCAUCCUGUACAAAGUGAGAUAGAGAGAGAAGUUUUCUAUGAGAAAAAUGAGAAGCAAAAAGUGGUACAAUGCAUAACAAUAAUUUUCUUCUGUUACACCAACUAUUGAUUCAAACUACAUCUUAUCCUGUAACUCUUGUAGAACAAUGAAUUAAUAUAAGAAGAGUGACACUGUAAGACGGCUUAUAGACAAGUAGAUGGAGUAACCAAUUCUUGAUUUGCUGGUAGCAGCUUUAUUUGGGCAGAAAAGUUUUUGAAUUAUUUAUCUUUAAAAUUAACCGUUGUUCUAGAAAAUGGAUCGAGCUUACCUGGAUAGUGAGGCGCCUGAAGGUACCGCCAACUCUGUUGUGGUUUACUAAAUCAUCAGAUUCCUGUAUGGCACCCCGAACAUCUGGGCGUGAACCGAUGGAACUAUACCUGCAAGAUGAUAGGGUUCGAUAGACAUUCUGGUGCAGUUGAUGGGUGUGGAUCCAGAGGAUCGGUGCUUGAUUGCUUUGCUUCCGGCUGGUGCAGGACCCUCAAAUGUUUGGGAUCUCGCCUUCCCAAGCCAAGACUCCUUUUAUGGCUCUCGCAGCCUGCUGUGUGGGACAGCGUCCUUUUUCCUUGUUUGCUUUGCUUCCGUUCCCAAAUUCCAACCCACUGCGCUUUGACCAGAUGGUCCAAAUCUCCAUUUCUCGGCCACGUCGGUGCCUUUGGUGCUCUUUUCCCUUGUUUUAUUUCCUUCAGUGCCUUCACUACAAAAUACAUGGUCCCACCCACCGUUUUUAAAAUUCAACCCAUCUUAUCUAUUUAAGCAUCCGUUGUCUUUUUUAUAAUUCAAAGAUAAAGGUUUUUUAUCUUUCCUCCCAAGAGGCUACUACUCAAAAAGUCAAAACUUCAGAAACAUUAAAUAUAUAUAUAUAAAAUAGAGAAUUAUCAAAACGGUGGGCGGAAAGUGGUAAUCCUUUUUAAAAGUCAUCAUGUUGACCAAUUCUACUCCUCGGGUAAUCAUUUGAAAGAAAUUUUCAAUUAUAUCCUAUCUAAACUUUAUUUUUUUAUUUUUUUCUUUUGUAUUAUUAUUAUUAUUAAAUAUUAAUACUACUCUUAAUAUUAUUAUUUAUGAUAUUAGUAUUUUAAAUUUUCAUAUUAUUAUUAGUAUCAUUCUUAUUAAUAUUAUUUAUUAUUUUUAUGAUUAUUAUUCAUAUUUUUAAUAUUAUAUUAAAAAUAAUAUUAUUAUAUUUUUAUUACUACUACAAAGAAACCUUAGAAGAUAAUUUAUAUUUUUUCGUUCUUAGAACUUGUAAACUUUAUUAAAAAUUUAUUCUUUUUUUUUCAUUUUAUACUUUAUAUGUUAUAUUAAGAUUAAUUAAAUUAUUAUUAUUAUUAUUCUUAUUAUUGCUAUUAAGAUAUUAGUUUUAUAUUAUUAAUAUUUUAAUAAAAUAAUAUUAUAUCCAAGUUAUAGAUAUAAUAAAAAAUGCAUUGAUGUUAAUAAUAUAAUAGAAUAAAGCAAUGUUUCUAAUACUAUUAGAUUUGUUACAAAAUGUAAGUACAACAUUUAUCUAUUGAAUUUAUAACAUAAAUACAUUAAAAAUACGAUAUAGUACAACAUUUUUAAUAGUUUUCAUGUAAAAAUAAAAUAAAAUUUUAUCAUUUAAAUUUAUCUCAUUUUAACUGUUAUACAUUCCAUCAUGUUAAUGUCUUGUAAAUUACUAUUGCAUUUUUUUUCCCACAAAUAAUAGAUUCAUGUUUAUCAUCUCACAAAUAAAUUUUAAUUAGGAUUUAUAUUUAUUUUAAUUUUUAAAAUAUUUAUAAAUAUAAAACAUAAUACAAUAAUUUAGUUUACAACAUUAAACUUUACCUUGCUCCACAUCCUUUCAAAAAGCAAGGAUGACCUUGCCCCAUGUGCUUUCAAAAAAUAAGGAUGAAAAUAUGGAUAAUUAUGAAUAUAUCAGUUAUUUAAUUUUACUGAUACAUUAGAGAUGCGAAUAUUUUCAUACAAAUAUCGAUGAAUAAAAAAUUGAUCAAAACUCAUGAAAAUAUUAUGAAAAUCUCUAAAAAAAAUGAUAUAAAAAUAAUAAUAAUAGAAAUAUUGAGAUUGUUUUGUUAAAAUAAAUUGAUAUAUAUAUAUAUAUAUAUAUAUAUAUAUAUAUAUAUAUAUAAUAUAAGUUGUGAUAUUUAACAAUAAUGUUUAUAACUUGAAAACAUAUUUUAUGUAUAUACACCAAAUUUGAAUAUAUUUAACAAUAUAUAAGAAAUGAUAAUAAUUUGUAGAAGAAUUUUUUGUUUCACACAAUAACCAAAACUAAUUAAUUUAUAAUAAUUUUAUUAUAAUUAAUUUAUAACAUAUAUAUACAUUAAAUAUGUUCGAUUUAUAAUGUAGCAUGGUUGGUUGGCUGGUGGUGGGGGAUUUUCCCCAACUUGAGGUUCUACCUUUCAAAUGAGCGCAAUGUGUAGGCUGGUAAGCGAGCCCAUUGCAAGAUGUUUGAAAAAAAAAAAAAGGAAAAGAAAAAGAAAAAAAAUGAAUCAUGUGGCAUUGAAAUUAUUGGUGCAUCAGUCGUAUGUCGGCGAAAAAUGGCAAGAAAAAAAAAACUCAAUCGGUCAAUUUAAUCUACUAUUCUUAUAAACAAGUUUGUUUGGCUAAAGGGUAGAUUUCACAAACAUGCUUGGAAUCAAAAUAAAUUUCAAGAUUAAUUUUAGCAAGAACUUGAAGAGAACUGGAUGACGAGUGCCCAAGAUGCUAAUGCCAAAGAUUGGGAUGUUUACAAAUGGCAUAAGCCAAGGCUAGAUUUUGGUCUUGUGCUAGGUAGUAGAGGUCAUUAUGUUGCUUGCCCAAGCCAAUAGUCUUCCUUGUAGCAGUGUUUUACACAAUACAAAAAUUGGAAAAGAACAUCACUAUACAUUUAAAUGUCCAUGUUAGUUUACUAAAUGAUAGUAAAUUAACUUGAAAUUGUGAAACUUUGAGUACUUCAUCAAGUUUAAUGUGGGGUGAAAUAUUCAAUGAACUAAUCGACUUAAUAUGUGUUUGACCACCAUCUGGCAAACUAAUGGUGGUUAUCUUAUGCAAAUUUUUUAGAUCUAGUAAUUCAGUUGAAGAAGUCACAUGAUUUGCGGCUCCACUAUCAAUAAUCCAACACAUAUUUCUGAGUGUAGGUAAUCUUGAAUGAUUUUGGAUGAUAUAUUUAUACUUGUGGCAUUUGCAAAAUAUUGUGAGUUACCAUCAUUGUUUUUUUGAAUCAUGGCCAUUAGUUGGUCAUAUUCCUCAGUUGUGAGCCUUAAUCCGUCACUUGUUGGAAGAUAUUUUGCUUUUAUCUCCAUGACCUUGUUUGUUUCCACCUUCACAUUGUUUGCAUUUUAGUGACACUGAUUGGGAGACUUCACGUUCUUCCCAUGAAGCCUGUGACCUAUUGGAAAGCAAUAUAGGUAGUAACACUUCUCAAUGUUAUGAUAAUCACCGUCACAAUAAGAGCAAUGUAGCAAAGUUUUUUACCUUUAAACCUAGUGUGCUGGAGUCACCUUGUUGUGCCAAUCUGCAAGCAUGGCAUGACGGUUCAUGUUCCCAUGUUUGAUAUAAACUUCAACCUGUUUUUCUUAUUGAAGGACAAGUGAGUAAACUCGACAUGUAUCAGGUAGAGGUUGCAUAUCAAUAAGAUUUGUCCAUGAAUGGUAGCAUAACUAUCAUUCAAUCCCAUGAGAAACUGCAUAACUCUUUCUUUCUCAUCCUUUUCCUUGAGUUUCUCCAACCCUCCACAAGAGUAGGAUAACACUUCAUGAUAGGAUGAAAGUUCAUCCUAAAAAGCUUAAAGCUUUGUGUAGUAAACCGAAAUUGAUUGUUGGCUCACCUAUGUUCCAUGAUUUCUCGUUUGUUUUAAUAAAUUCUUGAAUUAUUUCCUUGAAAAAAGCAUUCUUUUAGAUCUACCCUAACUUUUGUUGAAGUUUCAACAUAAAUCACACUGUUGAUUAUGUCUGGAUGAAUGAAAUUCAAUAACCAUGAGAUCACCAUAUCAUUGCAUCAUUGCAUCAUUGCUAAGAAGGAAAACUAUCAUAUGUCAAUGGAGUUGGAGUCAGCUUGAUUGAACCUAUGACAAAUCCAAUCUUAUCUUUAGUACUCAAACUAAUUCUCAUACCCCGACUCCACGUGUUGUAGUUAUCUCCUUCAAGUACCUUAGAGAUGAGUACCAUACUCGGAUGGUUCGAGUGGUGUAGAGAGAAGGAAUGUGAGGCUUCUAUGGUAGCCUUAGACGAUGUCAACAAUCUCAUUCUGUUAUUAAUGUCCAUGGCAGCAACUGUAACAAGGAAUUAGGUUGCAAAAAUAUUUGGAAGAAUUCAAAGCCACCAAGUUUGGUGCUUUGAUACCAUGUCAAAAACAAAGUAAAACAGAAUAUUUUGGAAAUCUUCAGUAUAUUGAAUGUUUUGACUUACAAAGAAAAAAAUACAUAUAUAUAAAACAUCAGUUAGCCUAUUAUAGGAAACUAUGUGUAAACAGAUCAAUUACAAUCAAUCAAAAAAAUAAUCUCAUAUUAACAAAUCUUAUCCUAAAAUUAUGAGAUUCUUGAUUCUUUUCUUGUAAUAAGUUCCACGGUUGGAGUCAAAUAAAGCUCCAAUAAAUGUUCCAUUUUACCUUGAAUAUCUAGAAACUUCUUGAGCCCUGAGCAGCCAAAGAAAUUAAGAAUUUCAAGUGCUUCCAUUUUGAUGAUGCUCUAAAAAUUGCUAAGCUUUUUGCAGUUUUUCAAACUCAAUAAAAUAAGCUUGCUAAGCUUUCCAAUAGAUGGGUGGACCUAAAGCAAACUUGAACAACCAUCAAGAAUUAGUUUCUCCGGAUUGGGCGCACUAAAUGUGAUGUCUGGAAUUUCAAUUAGGUGUUGAAGAAGCUAUAACCAAAAAUAAAAAAGAAAAACCAAUAAUAAUAAUUACUUUAGUAUAUAAGCUUUCAUGGAGUUUAGAGAUUAACUAAAGAAGAAACAUGAAAAAAAUAAAAUAAAAUCACUCAUCAUACCAUGUCAUUUUCACAAAGUUGUUUUAAGCUGCUAUGACACAUGUUAAGUUCUACAAUGUCUUUUGCAUAAAAACUUUAAUAGUUUUUAUGUAAAAAUAAAAUAAAAUUUUAUCAUUUAAAUUUAUCAAACUUUAACCGUUAUACAUUCCAUCAUUUUAUCGUCUUGUAAAUUACUAUUGCUUUUUUUUUCCCACAAAUAAUAUAUUCAUGUUUAUCAUCUCACAAAUAAAUUUUAACUAGGAUUUAUAUUUAUUUUAAUUUUUUAAAUAUUUAUAAAUAUAAAACAUUACACAAUAAUUUAGUCCCAACUCAAGACUUUACUUUGUUCCACACCAUUUCAAAAUCCAAUGAUAAAAAAAUAUCGAUAAUCAUGAGUAUAUUGAUAUUUUGAUUUUAGGAAUAUAUCAUAGAUACGGAUAUUUUGACGUAAAAUGUCGAUGGGUCAAAAAUUUGAAUGUACUUAAUAAUAUAGAAGAAAUAAUGAUAAUUUGUAUAAGUAUUUUUUAUUUUAAAAUUUUGAUAAUUUUAUUCAUAAAUUUAUAUUUAUUUUGUAUUUAACACAGUAAUCAAAAUUAAUUUAUUUAUAAUAAUUUUAUUUGAAUUAAUUUAUAUAUAUAAUUAUAUUUGUUUAUAUAGAUAUAUGGUUUAGAGCCCGUUUGACAGUGAUUUUUAAAAGUGUUUCUACCCUUAAAAACACUUUUAAGUGUUUUUGGGAUGAAAAUAAAGUGUUUGGCAAAUUUUAAAAAACACUUUUGAAAAUCUGGAAAAACACUUAAAGUGAUUUUUAGAGAAUCACUUAACAGGUGUUUUUUUUUAAAAACACUUCAAUUUUUUUGAAAUAUUCCAAAAAUGCCCCCCAGUGGUCAUAUAUUGUUUUACUUUUAAAAUUAUCUUUUAUUCAAUGUUUUUUUUUUUUUUAUUGAUUUAGAUGUUUUUUGUAAAUAUUUUUUAAAAUUUUAGUAUAGUGAUAAAAAAAUUAUUAUUUUUAAUUAGAAAAGUCUUUUUCUUUUUUAGAAAUUAAUAGGUAAAAUCAUAUAUUGUUUUAAUUUUAAAAUUAUCUUUUAUUCAAUGUUAUUUUUUUAGUGAUUUAGAUGUUUUUUCAUUAAUAAAAAGUUUUUUUGUUUAUCAUACCAUUUUUUUUAAUUAAAAUUGUAUGUCCUUUUUGGUAAUUUAUUAAUAUUAAAAGUGUUUUUAUAUUUAUACAAUAUAUUAUCAAAAACACUUUAGAAUCAUUUUUUCUGAUUAUCAUAAAAGUGUUUUUCACAUAAACACUACAGUAGAAAACACUUCAAAUAAAAACACUUCCACUAGAAUCACUACCAAACGGGCUCUUAUAUAUGUAAUGCUGAGAAUGAACAUAUAUAUUAAAUAUGUUCGGUUUAUAAUGUAAAACAUGGUUUUCCCAAGCUCGAGGUUUUACCUUUAAAGUGAGCGCAAUGCGUGGGCUGGGAAGUGAGCCCAUUGCAAGAUUUUUGAAAAAUAAAUUAAUAUUUUAAUAUCCCUCACUUAAAAAUAAAUUCUCUUAUAGCAUGUUGAGACAAAAUAAAUAAAUAAAUAAAUAAUGGUCUAUAGAAAGCAGGUGGGUCAACAAGGACCCUUUGUCUUCGAUGAUCUCACUGGCAUUUAAUUUACUUGUUGCAGAAACUGCCUGUUCCUUACACUCUGCGAGUUUUGCUCAGACUUGACUUUCACAACUCAAAUUUCAGAAUCCAUCUUCUCUGCCGCCUCGUAAUGGCUGAUCCUUCUUUCCAACGGAGCUAUGAUGUGUUCCUGAGCUUUAGAGGAGAAGACACCCGCAAUAGCUUCACUGCCCAUCUCUAUAAGGAGCUACGCACCAAAGGAAUCAACACGUUCAUUGACGAUGACAAGCUUGAGAGGGGUGAUGUCAUUUCUUCUGCGCUUGUUGCGGCUAUUCAAAACUCCAAGUUUUCUCUCGUUGUUUUGUCAGAAAAUUAUGCAUCUUCCGGGUGGUGUUUGGAGGAGCUGGUGAAGAUUCUAGAGUGCAUGAGAACCAUGGGACAGAGGGUUCUCCCCAUUUUCUACGAUGUGGAUCCCUCGCAUGUAAGACAGCACAACGGAAAAUUUGGAGAAGCACUGGCUAAACAUGAAGAAAAUUUGAGAACUAUGGAGAGGGUGCCGAUUUGGAGGGAUGCUCUCACUCAAGUUGCCAAUUUAUCCGGUUGGGAUUCCAGGAAUAAGUAAUUCUCUACAGCUUUCCCAUCAUCAUCUUCAUCCUCAUAUCACUAAUUUCAAUAUAUGCAUCUGUUCAUUAAUUAUCUUGUUUACUUUAAUUUUACCUUUCUCUUUUUGAGUGAUGAACUAAUUUCAUGUUUAUACUUCAAAUUUGGCAGGCAUGAGCCUAUGCUUAUCAAGGGAAUUGCCACUUAUAUUUGGAAUAAAUUGUUUAGUAGAUCCUCAAAUUAUGCUGAUCAGAACCUAGUUGGAAUAGAAUCUAGCAUACGAGAAAUAAAAUCCCUGCUAUUUACCGAGUCUCUAGAUGUUCGCAUGGUGGGGAUUUGGGGCAUGGGCGGCAUAGGUAAAACAACCCUUGCCAGAGCUGUUUAUAACCAAAUCUCUCAUCAAUUUGAAGCUUGCUGCUUUCUUGAAAAUGUCAGUGAUUAUUUGGAAAAGCAAGAUUUCCUUAGCUUGCAAAAGAAAUAUCUUUCUCAACUAUUGGAAGAUGAAAAUCUAAAUACAAAAGGAUGCAUCUCUAUAAAGGCUUUGCUUUGUUCUAAAAAGGUUCUCAUUGUCAUUGAUGAUGUGAACAAUUCAAAAAUAUUAGAAGACUUGAUUGGGAAGCAUGGUUGGUUUGGUAUCGGAAGUAGAAUCAUCAUAACAACAAGAAAUAAGCAGUUGCUAGUUACACAUGGGGUGAAUGAAGUCUAUCAGGCUGAAAAAUUAAAUGAUGAUAAUGCGGUUGAGCUCUUCAGUCGAUAUGCCUUUAAAAAAGCCCAUCCUAUAGAUGAUUAUGUGGAGCUCUCUCAAUGUAUAGUGGUUUAUGCUCAGGGCCUUCCAUUAGCUCUUCGAGUUUUAGGUUCAUUUUUAUUUGAUAAGAGCAAACGGCAAUGGGAAAGUCAGUUGGAUAAACUAAAAAAAAUUCCUAAGAAGGAAAUUCAAGAUGUGCUUCGAGUAAGUUUUGAUGGGUUGGAAGAUAACGAGAGAGAUAUAUUUUUGGACAUCGCAUGUUUCUUUCAAGGGCAUGAUAAAGAUUAUGUAAUGGAAAUAUUCAGAUCUUGUGGUUUCUUCCCUGAUAUUGGAAUAAGAGUUCUCAUUGAGAAGUCUCUUAUAUCUGUUGUUGAGAAUAAAUUGAUGAUGCACAAUUUGUUACAAAAAAUGGGUCGGGAAAUUGUUCGUGAAGCAUCUCCUAAGGAACCUGGAAAACGCAGCAGGUUGUGGAUUCAUGAUGAUGUAAAUCAUGUAUUGACAAAAAAAACGGUAAGAGACAAAUGUAUAAACCCUUUUUUUAUAUAUAUAGGUAAUUAGGUUGGUCUAAAGUGCAACUUAGGAAGUACCAACUUUGUUUAAUUGCGUAGUUUAGUAUGUAUAUAAUUUUACUCACUUAUCCAUUACUCUUUUUUGCUAGGGAACCGAAGAAGUUGAAGGAAUAUCCCUUGACUUGUCCAGUUUGAAAGAGAUAAAUUUCACUAAUGAAGCUUUUGCACCGAUGAAUAGGCUCAGAUUGCUCAAAGUCUAUACAUUGAAUUUUCUCAUGGACUCCAAAAGAGAGAAGUGUAAAGUGCACUUUUCCCGAGGCUUUAAAUUUCACUGCGAAGAACUGAGGCACCUAUAUUGGUAUGAAUACCCUUUGAAAUCACUGCCCAAUGAUUUUAACCUCAAGAAUCUUGUUGACCUCAGCAUGCCUUAUAGCCAAAUAAAACAACUUUGGAAAGGGACCAAGGUAUCGCUAUGAUUUAUCCAUGUUAUUUUAUUUAGAUUGUAUGUACCGUUCAUGAAAAAUCAUCUUCUUAAGCCUUGUUUCUUUCACUGCAGGUUCUUGAAAACUUGAAGUUCAUGAAUCUCAAGCACUCCAAAUUCUUAACGGAAACCCCGGAUUUCUCAAGGGUUACCAACCUUGAACGGUUAGUUUUAAAAGGUUGUAUAUCUUUGUAUAAGGUUCACCCAUCACUUGGAGAUUUGAACAAACUCAAUUUCUUGAGUUUGAAAAAUUGCAAAAUGCUGAAGAGUCUUCCAAGUUGCAUUUGUGAUUUGAAAUGCCUUGAAGUAUUUAUUCUUUCUGGUUGCUCAAAAUUUGAAGAGUUACCUGAGAAUUUUGGGAACUUAGAAAUGUUGAAGGAAUUUUGUGCGGAUGGAACUGCUAUUAGGGUACUUCCCUCCUCUUUUUCUUUAUUGAGAAACCUUGAAAUAUUAUCCUUUGAGAGAUGUAAAGGACCACCACCAUCUACCUCAUGGUGGUUGCCAAGAAGAAGUUCAAAUUUCAGUAAUUUCGUAUUGUCUCCUUUGUCAAGUUUAAGCUCCUUAAAAACUCUAAGCCUAAGUGCCUGCAAUAUAUCAGAUGGAGCAACUCUUGAUAGUCUUGGCUUCUUAUCUUCACUGGAAGAUUUAGAUUUAAGUGAGAACAACUUUGUUACUCUGCCUUCAAAUAUCAGCCGACUUCCUCACUUGAAAAUGCUUGGGUUGGAAAAUUGUAAAAGAUUGCAAGCACUGCCAGAGCUUCCAACAAGCAUACGUAGUAUAAUGGCUCGUAAUUGCACAUCAUUGGAAACAAUCUCAAAUCAAUCAUUUAGCUCCCUACUAAUGACUGUCAGAUUGAAGGAACAUAUCUAUUGCCCAAUAAAUCGGGUGAGAUUUUCCUCCGGUAUAUCAUAAUUCAAUUUCCCACUAAAUAAUGCACAAUUUAAUUUCAUUUGUGGUAGUGUAAAAUAAAUGUCGAAUGAUUUAAGAUGGUAAAGCAGCAAGCAAUUUCUAUCUCUACUAACAUCCUCAUCAUGUUCAUUCUACAGGAUGGACUUUUAGUUCCUGCACUUAGUGCAGUUGUUUUUGGGAGUAGAAUACCAGACUGGAUAAGGUACCAGAGCUCAGGGAGUGAAGUAAAAGCAGAGCUACCUCCAAACUGGUUUGAUUCCAACUUCCUGGGUCUUGCUUUGUGUGUUGUCACUGUUCCCAGGCUGGUGUCACUUGCUGAUUUUUUUGGUCUUUUUUGGAGAUCAUGUACCUUGUUCUAUUCCACAUCCAGUCACGCUUCUUCCUCCUUUGAUGUUUACACUUAUCCAAAUCAUCUUAAGGGAAAGGUGGAGUCAGAUCACUUGUGGCUGGUUUAUGUACCGCUUCCCCACUUCAUCAAUUGGCAGCAAGUCACUCACAUCAAGGCUUCAUUCAGAAUAACCACCUUCAUGCGCCUUAAUGUAAUUAAGGAAUGUGGGAUUGGUCUAGUGUAUGUUAAUGAAGAGUUGAAUUACUCUCCCUUCUCUCCUCCUCCUAAUGAGUCAUCUGUUGUCCUUCAAGAAAUCCAUGGGGAGGGAUCUAGUGGAAGUGGGAGCUCUAAUAUUGAUGGCUCAGAAUCAGAGAACUCCGAUUACUAUUCUGCUGAUGAGGGGGAACCCUCUGCACCCCUGCUGUAAGGAUCACUCUCAAUCAGAGAUGUGGCCAGAGAAACACUUGCAAUGCAGCCAUUAUCAGAGCAUCCCUUGAUGAGGAGGAACUAGCCAGACAAAUGCCUGAUUUGCACCCAAAUCUUUCCAUAACAACUCUUGGUGAGUUGUGUGCUUCCUUUGUUUCUUUUCCUGAAACUGACUUUGAGUUGCUUAGCAAAAUACCUUACUUUCUAGUAUUCUGGAAACAUCAUAACUGUUGGAGUUUUUGGGUUGUGUAUUAGUGGUGUUGCUGACUAGUUUUUGGAGUUUGAUACAUGUUGGGUUGUUGUUACUGGUUUUUGCUUCAAGUUUGCCUUGAUACAUGUUGAGUUGUUUAGCAAACUCUCUUGACAGAUUUUGGUUUUCUUUCGCACAAGGUAUUGUGAUACAUCUCUGUUCAUAUUCCCAUUUUCAUUCUUAUUCUCAUGUACUAAACAUAUACCCUUAAGGGCAUAUGUUCUCUUCCAAUGUUAGAACGAAACAGAUCAUGAUCAUUGUUUUUGGGAUAUGUUCUUUUAUCUGAAUAUGAUAGAGCUAUUACAGUUAAUGGUUACUUCGUAAGAAUUGUAAAUUCUUCCAUUGAUAUUAUACCAUAUUUUGUACUUUCAUCUUGAUGGGUUCUAAGGUAAUCCAUGGCUCAUUUUUCAUUCAUUUUGUUAGUAAUGAUGUAUAAGAUACUCGUAGCCAAUGUUUUGAAAAUCAGACCAGUCGUCCAACCGAUUGAACCGUCAAUCAGCCAUCUCUCUAGUCUGAUUUGCCCUAAGGAACUGUUUUCAUAUUAAGCCAGUGUUGAACUGCUUGAGCCGGUCUGGUUUACCCUAGGGAAUCAUUUUUAUAUUAUACCGAUGUUGAAUUGCUCGAGUCGAUGGUUGGACCAUCUAAUUGGAUGGACUGUCCGGCUUCCUAAGAGUAGUCAAGCCCAAAACCAGGCCAAAUUUGCACUUGUUGUGGAAGCCCAAUAGGCGUCACAACCAAUCACCCAUUAAAAGUCGAAACAGAUUGAGUCCAAAAGGGUUUGAUGAUCAGUCAUUAUGGUCCGACUAGUAAAUCAUAAACUAGUAACUUUUCUAAUUCAAUAAUCGAUUCGGUUUUGAAAAUAUUGCUUAUAACUUAGGUUGUUUCUUCAUUUUCUACCGAGAAUGUUGUCUUAUAAUGCAGGCAAACUAUCACCAAUGGAGAAAACAUAGAGAAAAGAAGAGUUUUAUUUUUCAAUUUGUUUAGCCAAUAAAUACCUUUCUUUAAUUUACUUUUCAAAUAUGAUGACGUUCAGAAAUUAGGAAAACUUGCCCAUGAAAAUAUAAAACUUGGGUCUGCUCUGGAUUAAAGAGAAAUCAGACUUGGCGGUACAUGGAUGUUUGCCCAAAUAUAUGAAAUUAAUUUAAGUGAAAUUAGGGGAAAAGUAUACUAAUACCUGGAUUCUAGCAUAUAGUAAUGGUUAGGCUGGGAACUUGAAAAUAAAUUUUUUGUUCUUUGGAACUGAAAUAAUUUUCAGUUGACAGAUUUUAUUAUUCGAAACAAUUUUAUGGAGAAUUUAUUCUUAAAACAUAAUAUUUUUUAAGAAUAUAUUGAAGGUGUUUUCUUAAAAUAUUAUAAGAAAUAAUUGAAAAUGUAAAGAAUAUUUUAAAUAUUUUUGCAUUAUACAAUAUUUUCAUGAAAAACAAAUCAAGAAAAUUGCUUUUUCAAUACAAUAUUUUUAAGAACUAUUUUUAUUUAUUUUUUAAAUGUUAUCUAAGAAAACCCUAUACCUAAAAAAAGUCGCCAUAAAGCAUAGAAACAAAACGGAGGCAUAAUACCUCCGGAGGCACUGUAGAAUUUUUCAGCAUAAAAAGGUUGUUGUUAUUCUGAUUUGUUAGGUCAGUCUAGGUAACAAAACCUAAGCUAUCCCUUGUAUAUUUCAUGACAUAAGUUUAAGUAAAGAGGUAUAAUUAGCAAAUGAUCAUUCUCUUCCCCUUACUUCCAUCCUCCUCACUGUCCUAAGAAAAAUUUAGCAUCUUCAACCUUGUACUGCGUGUGCUCUCGGGUCCUAUGGCUUUGUAUCUAAUCCCCAUUUGCAAAACGUUCAGUGCGUGAAGCCUAAGGGUCUGAACAAAAAAUCAUGGUAUAAAAUGUGAACCAACCAAAAGGCUUUAUCCAAUUCUUGUGGCCAUGCAAAGCCCUUCUCUUUCUCUGCCCCACUUUCCACCCACACCUCUCACUCCACCCCCCUCACCUCCUCUCUCUCUCUCACCUCCCACUUCUCCAUGGCCACCGCCGCUGCCACCAAGCUCACGCCCCAUCUCCUCUCUCUCUCCUCCCCCCUCCGUCGCCGGAAACCCCUGCUGCACCACCUCCCUCCGCCGCUGCCCCGGAAUGACCGUUCUUCUGCCUUAACACUGGGACUCUCUAGCCGGAGAAUUACUUGCAAGGCGACGGAAGUGUCGGUGGCGGAGGAGUCGUCGGCUGC